AAUUCCCUCAUCAAUAAGCACAGGGAUGUUGUACAGCAAGGUGAAAAAAGUUGCUGAUGCAGGACACAACACAGCUCCUUUGAUUCCCAAUUUACUCCCAACAUCCAAAGCCCAAGCCAUGCACAAAUCAACAACAAUGAAGUUGAUUCUGUUCUCACCUUUCAAAUGAAUAUCCUCUAUGAGCUUCUCAAGUGCUUCUGGCAUGGUGUUUGGAAUGGCAUCACACAUCUUGGCCAGAUCGUUUCUGUCAUCAUCAGGUCCUAAACCAUCAGGGAUUGAAACCAACUUCAGCACUGAUUCUUGUUCAUCAGGGCUAGAACUAUCUUGUUGCUCCACCAUGGAACUCACCACUCUCCUGUGGUUAAAGUCUGUGUUCACAAAAAUGACUUUGCAUCCAUUCUCAAGCAGCUUCUGUGAGAAGGUCAUCAUGGGAUUCACAUGCCCUUGUGCUGGAUAUGGUAAAGCUAUCACAGUUGGAGUUCUCAUGUUAACACUGUUUUUAUUUGGUUUCUAUUGAUUCUGAUUUCUGAGGCCAAUUAUGCAUUCAUCUGUUCAUGUAUAUAUAGGCACAGCCCCUCACAUUAAAAACGUUAAUCAAUGCCUUAACUAUAUCAUAAUCACAGUAAGAAAUAUCUUUGGAUGAAUUUGAAAGGAAAGGUAAUAAAUGAAAAUUUUCAAAUAAUAAAAUACAUUUUCUAAAGUUCAGGUAUACAUAUAAAUGUUAAAAAUGGAAAUAUACCAUUUUCUUUCAUUAUAAAAAAUAUUGCAUAUAGUCACUAGUGUGGGCCAAAGACAGGACAUAAAGAGGUAAACACUGAUCCUAGAUGCUUGUUAGUGUCGGCAACUGAGCUCAAAAGCAAAUGCAGAUUGAAUCAGCUAAAUCGAUGCAAGCUUGAUCACAACCCAUAUUUGUAGUACUUUUUUGUUCUAAGGCAUCUUUGUAGUACUUUUUUCUUCCUGCCCUUACAAGCCUGUGGAUGAAUGUAUCAUAAACUAAUAACUAUAUAAAGAUAACCUUUGCAACACUUAUACCAAAUCAAGUCCCUAUAAAUUUAACCAAAUUCUCUGUUUUUUGAAUUUGGUUCUCUUGAAUGUUUAUUCAGAAAUGUUGUCCCAAUACUGGAUUAUGCUAAAUCAUGGAGAAAUUGAAUUAUUCAUAACAAACCAUGUUAUUAUGAAACAUGCUUGUCUCAAGUCUUAAUGUGAAAUUCUUUUAAGCUGAAAUCUAAUAUGGUAUAAGAUUCUAUAGCUCAUUUGUGUUGAAUUACAAUAAACUGAGACAAUUUGGGCAUUGAAAUUUUCUUAAAACAGGGUCCAAUGUGCAAGGCCAUACAUCCAUCCAUUUUAUUUUCCUUAAUGUUCAGAACUUUAGACUGCUAAAUAUUCUAUUUUUCCUUUUUCUCAUACUUCUUGACCCUUCAUGUAUCAUAAUCCAGCAUUCUAUACUUAUAUAAACCAAGAAAAAUGGACUUUUCCCUGAGCACUCAUUAAGCCAUUAACCCUCUUGCAGAAACAAAACUGGAUGAAAUUAAAGAUAAAAGAUUGCAAGCCAUUUGUUAAAACGUCAUCAAGUAUCCAUUCUCAAACAAUUCUGAUUCUUCCAAUAAAAACUCAUUUCUCUCCUGUUUUAUUUCACAUCCUUCUAAUCACUCUUCCCAUUCAAAAAUAACAGUUAAUUAUAUUUUACUAUUUUAUUACCUCUCCUCUACAAUCUCGAGAUCCUGCUGCAGCAGAAAAGCUCUUGCUCUGCACUAAAAGUUUAAAGACUCUGAACAGCAACAACAAAGUUACACAAGUGUAAAGUUUCUUGUUGACCAAGUAUUGUCUUGUAUAGAUGGAGAUAAAAAGUGAUUAUUUGGAGCCAACACCUCUCUACAAAUCUUGUAUAUUCAAAGAGUGGAUUAAGAGUCUUUUACCGAUGAAGAUUUACUUCUACUCCCUCUCACUUUGCUAAAUGCAAGUGAUUCAAAAUAUAAGUUAAGUAAGAGUUAGAUAAAUUCAACAGUUAGAUUUAUUCAUUAAAUACGACUGCCAUAUCAGAAAAUUCAACCUUUUCUAGAUGCAGAUUUUCUACACUAUGGAUUUAUACACUCACAAGUCCAACUCAUCAAAACCCUUGAAUAAAAGUCAAACUGCUAUAGUUUGAACCAUCCACUACUAGUCCAACUAUCGCUUUUUCUUAUUGGUGGCUAGAUCAGGGAAUUCAUCAAGUUUGAACCAUUCACUUCUAAUUAAUCCAACUAUCACUCUUUCUUAUUCGUGGCUGCAUCAGUGAGAAUAUUCUAGUUUUCAACAAGACUCAAACAAAAGAUGUUCCACCAUCUUAAAGUCAAGUCAUCCUCUGUAGAACAUCGUAUACUCAUCUCAUCAAUAAUUGUUACGAACUGAAACUGAUUUCUAUUAACCCUAUCCCUCACCAAUUUCUACCAUGGCAGCAGAACUUGUUGGUGGUGCUCUUCUUUCGGCUUUCCUUCAGUUUGCAUUCGAUAGGCUGGCCUCUCCUCAGGUUAUAGACUUCUUUCGGAGAAGAAAACUUGAUGAGAAACUGCUCGGCAAUUUGAACAUCAUGCUACACUCCAUCAAUGCUCUCGCUGAUGAUGCUGAACUAAAGCAGUUCACAGAUCCACAUGUCAAAGCAUGGCUUUUUGCGGUCAAAGAGGCUGUCUUUGAUGCAGAGGAUCUUUUGGACGAAAUAGAUUAUGAACUCACCAGAUGUCAAGUGGAAGCUGAACUUGAACCUCAAACCAUCGCUUACAAGGUAUCAAACUUCAUCAACUCUACUUUCAGUUCAUUUAACAAGAGAAUUGACUUAGGGUUGAAAGAAGUCUUAGAAAAAUUAGAAUAUCUUGCAAGGCAAAAGGGUGCUCUUGGUUUGAAAGAGUGUACUCAUUCUGGUGCUGGAUCAGGUAGUAAAGUGCCAUCAUCUUCUUUGGUGGUUGAAAGUGUUAUUUAUGGCAGAGAUGCUGACAAAGAUUUAAUCAUUAAUUGGCUCACAUCGGAAACCAAUAAUCAAAACCAGCCAUCAAUUCUUUCUAUUGUGGGUAUGGGUGGGUUGGGUAAAACCACACUCGCUCAACAUGUAUACAAUGACCCAAAGAUUAACAAUGCUAAAUUUGAUACCAAAGCUUGGGUCUGUGUUUCAGAUCAUUUUCAUGUUUUGACCGUGACAAAAACUAUUCUUGAGGCAAUCACUGAUAGAAAAGAUGACAGUGGAAACCUAGAAAUGGUUCACAAAAAACUGAAACAAAAUUUGUUAGGAAAGAAAUUUCUUCUUGUAUUGGAUGAUGUUUGGAACCAAAGACGAGACGAAUGGGAAGCUGUGCAAACUCCUCUUACCUACGGCGCUACUGGAAGUAGAAUUCUUGUGACAACACGUGAUGAGAAAGUUGCUUCUAACAUGCAAUCUAAAGUGCAUCGCCUAAAACAAUUACGAGAGGAUGAAUGCUGGAACGUUUUUGCAAAACACGCAUCAAUAGAUGAUAAUCUUGAAUUGAACAAUGAGCUAAAGGAGAUUGGUAGAAGGAUAGUUGAGAAGUGCAAAGGAUUACCUUUAGCUUUGAAAACAAUUGGAUGUCUUUUACGCACAAAGUCAUCCAUUUCAGAUUGGAAAAGCAUAUUGGAAAGCGACAUAUGGGACUUACCAAAGGAAGAGAGUGAAAUUAUUCCUGCGCUAUUUCUGAGCUAUCACUACCUUCCUUCUCAUCUUAAACGGUGCUUUGCUUAUUGUGCCUUAUUCCCUAAAGAUUAUGAGUUUGUGAAGGAGAAGUUAAUUUUGUUGUGGAUGGCCCAAAACUUUCUAGGAUGCCCUCAACAGGUUAGACAUCCUGAAGAAGUUGGUGAACAAUAUUUCAAUGAUCUUUUGUCAAGGUCUUUCUUUCAACAAUCAAUCACCAAAAGGGGUUUUGUCAUGCAUGACCUUCUGAAUGAUCUAGCAAAAUAUAUUUGUGGGGACAUCUGUUUCAGGUUGAGAUUUGAUAAAGGAAAAUGUAUACCAAAAACAACCCGUCAUUUUUCAUUUGCAUUAGAUGAUGUCAAAUGUUUUGAUGGUUUCGGGAGUUUAACUGAUGCUAAAAGACUGCGUUCAUUUAUUUCAAUUACAGAAAUUGGGAGAACAUGCAUUGGCUAUUAUCCUUGGGAGUUCAAGAUUUCAAUACAUGAUGUGUUCUCCAAGUUUAAUUUUUUACGUGUUAUAUCUCUCUAUUCUUGUUUGGACCUUGUAGAGGUCCCAAAUUCUAUAGGUAAUCUUAAACAUCUCCAAUCGUUAGACCUUUCGAAAACUGGGAUACAAAAGCUACCCGACUCAACAUGUUUGCUCUAUAACUUGCUAAUACUAAAGUUGAACUUUUGUGGAUAUCUGAAGGAGCUGCCAUCAAAUUUGCAUAAACUCACCAAAUUACGUUGCCUGGAGUUUAAAAAUACAAAAGUGACAAAGUUGCCAAUGGAUUUGGGAGAAUUAAAGAAUCUUCGAGUACUGAGUACCUUUUUUGUCCAUAAAAAUAGUGAAUUCAGUAAUAAACAGCUAGGAGGACUCAAUCUUUAUGGAGACCUAUCAAUUAAGGAGCUGCAAAAUAUUAUGAAUUCAUCGGGAGCAUUAGCAAUGGACUUGAAAAACAAAACACACCUUAUGAGGUUAAAGUUAAAAUGGAAUAAAAAUCACACCCCUGAUGAUCCAAGGAAAGAAAAGGAACUACUUGAGAUUCUGCAGCCCUCCAAACACUUGGAGCGUUUGUCAAUCAGAAACUACAAAGGUAUAGAAUUCCCAAGUUGGAUAUUUGAUAAUUCGUUAUCAAAUUUGGUGUUCUUACGGUUGGAGGACUGUAAAUAUUGUCUAUGUUUGCCUCCCCUUGGGCUUUUGUCAUCUCUGAAGAUCCUCAAAAUUAGACGGCUUGAUGGAAUAGUGAGCAUUGGUGCUGAAUUUUAUGGGACCAACUCUUCAUUUACGUCCUUGGAAAGGUUGGAAUUCUACAACAUGAAGGAAUGGGAAGAAUGGGAAUGUAAAACUACUUCUUUUCCACGUCUUCAACAUCUUUCUGUGGAUCAAUGUCCCAAGCUGAAAGGUUUGUCAGAGCAACUUAUUCAUUUAAAGAAAUUAUUUAUUUCUCACUGUGAUAAGCUCAUCAUUAGCGGCAUGGACACAUCAUCGCUUGAACUCUUGGAAAUUGUUUCAUGCCCACUUGUGAAUGUUCCCAUGAUCCAUUACAAUUUCCUUGAACAAUUGACGAUUGAUGCUGCCUGCAACUCUCUUACAAUUUUUCUGCUAGAUUUCUUUCCAAAGAUCCGUUUAAUUCACCUGAGAAGGUGCCAAAAUCUGAGAAGAAUUUCACAGGAGCACACUCAUAAUCAUCUCAAGGAAUUAACAAUUGAUGAUUGCCCUCAAUUUGAAUCAUUUCCUAGUGAAGGAUUAUCUGCACCGUUGCUACAAAAUAAUUGUAAGUCGAGGAGCUGAGAAUUUGAAGCUGUUGCCAAAACGCAUUCAAAUACUGGUGGGAUCCCAGAGGAUGGUCCAGCCAAGCUUACAAGAAGAUGGUCUGCCCAAAUCUGUCUCUUCUCUUACAACUUGGGAAUGUUCAUUGCUCAAACAGAGUUGUCAGAAUCCAGAAGGCGAAGACUGGGGAAAGAUUAAUCACUUUCAGAAACUGAGUGUUAGGUAAUAAGAUGAAGCUAAAGUUCAGAAAAAGAUGUGGAGCAAAUCCCAUUUUUCUGCCUCUUCUACAGGUGCUAAUUAAUUUUCCACAAUAUCCCUCUCCCUUUUCAAUUACAUUUUUCUUAAGUUGCAAAUAUUUCACUCUGUAAUCAGCAUUUACUAAACCUUCAAAAGUAAUGGUAACGUUAUGCAUGUGUUUCAACCCAAAUUUGCAUAGGCAUGAUUGUGUAGCCUGUCACCUGACAUGUAGAUUAGGUAUGUAAAGCUUGUGUAAUUAUUGAACUGUAAAAGGUAUACAUGUGUGUUAAUGGAAGCAACAUUACAAUAUAUUUUAGAUAUAUGAUCUGCAUAUAAAGUCAUCCAGUUUUCCCCAUGGAUGUGUAUAUAUAUAUAUACAUGACAGCAUAAAACAAAACCACUGUCUCCUCAUCAAGUUUCUGCACUGCAGGGAUUUACUUUAUGUCAGGAUAACAAGUGGCAAAUAGAAAUUAUAUUUCACUUUAUUCAUAUUUAUCUUCCAAUAUAUAUAUAUAUGAACGGUUUUGUCAUCUGUUUUAGGAGAAAACUAUAAUCUGUUUCUACCAAUGUGUCAAGAUAUAAUGAAGAGAAAACAAGUAGAGGGGUUUGAAAUUGGAUCAUCAGAGGAUGAGUAACUAAAUAAGUCCAGGCAAACUACUACAUCUGAGAGAGAGAUUGAAGGAAUAGGAAUUGUGACAUGUAAAGGCUUCUAAGCAUCCAUUCUUAGAACUUGAAAUUAUACAUGCUUUUCUUACUGAAUUGUGAAAUAGCAUUCCAGUUGUUUUCUAGCAAUGUACCAUGAUAAUAUAAAGAGAAAAUAAGUACAAGUGAUUGAAAUUCUGUUAUCUGAGGAUGAGUUUUCCAAUACAAUUCCCAGGCAAACUCCUACAUCUAAGAGGGAAAUUGAAAUAAAGGAGGAGUGAAAGGAAAAUACUUUUAAACAUUACUUCAUAGAACAUGUACUGGUUUUCUAGCUGAUUGGGAAAGUGGAAUUGAAAUAGUGAGCAUUGUAACAGCUUAUACUUUUUGCUUUUCCACCUUGGAUUUUCAUUUGUUCAUAAAAUUAGAAGAGGAGAGAUUCAAGUAAGUAACCUGAUUAGUAAAGCUUGAGUACUUGAACCAAACAAAGUACAUGUAUUUGUUAAUGGAAGAAGCUUUAGAUAUUUUACAAUAUAUUUCACUUGAUACUUCAUUUUUCUAACUAAACUGUUUUUCUGAACCUCUUCGUGGGUCUAUUUUCAAGAAAUCUUGUAUAUAUUGAAACUGUCACCUCUUUGACUCUUACAUUAGAGAAAUGAACUCAUGCAAUUCACAAUUUCAACUCAUUGUUGAACUGUCAGAACUUUGUGUAGUUAUUCUCUUCCACCAUGGAUCCUCAAAUUUCCAAUAACUCUUCCACCAAUGAGUCUUUUAUUAUGAUUGAUGUACAACUAAACAUUGAUUUGUGUUAAAAGUCUGUAAUAUACAUUGUUAAAAAAAUUGUAUUCCUACUAAUUAAUAGAAAAUGACUUGGCUUACUGCAACUAAAAAAUUUAAGUCAAUAUGAUAAAUACAUUUUUAUAAAUUAAUUAAAGAUUAGAUGAGAAGUAAACAUACAAGCUUUAAAAAGUAAUUAAACAUUUUUUUGAAUUUUGAAAACAAUAUACAAGUGAAAUUAUAAGUAUUUAAAAAAUCUAGCAAUUAAGAAAACAGUGCAGACGUGAUUGUUUGAAAUUCAGCACAGUAGAUAUUAAAGAAGUAAGACGUUUUCCUUCUUCAUACAUUGUUUCCUAAAUAUAUAUAAAAGCAAAAUUAUUCUCGAAAAACAUGAUUAUUCUCUGAACAUGAUUUUGGAGAGGUCCUUUCUGAGCAUGUUGUAAACUAUAUUAAUAUUAAUAAUAUAAGGUAAUAGUCUAUGCUUAUAAAAGGAAAAAAAUGAAGCAGAACAUGGUGAGAAGAUGUAAUGCAGAAGCUUAAUAGAAAGAAAUGACUUCUGUCUUGUGACCUUAAUUAACUCAAACAAUUACUUAAAGAAUUGAGAUUUGGGAAAGUUACAGAGAUCACUCUUGCUUCUCAUAACCAAAUGCUCUUAAUAUAUAUUGCCUCAGUAUUUCACACAGAAGCUGAGACCUAUCACAGAAGAAUUUCAUUAGUUUUUUAUUCAUACACGCUAAACAUAGCAUAAUAAUAUAAUAUAAAGUCAUACAUCAGCAUUAUUUUAAUUUUAAAAUGAAGAUUUUAUAUUCAAACGAUAAGAUUUUUCUUUUCUUUUCUUGAAGUAAUAUUUUAAAACUUGAAAUACAUAAAAAAAAACUGUUAACAAAUUAUAUAAUUGAUCAAUAUUUAAGGGUAUCUUCUUUCCACAAGUUGAAGCUACAGAGACAGAACAAGAAAAUAAAGACGUAUAAGACACCACUAUUGUCCGACUUUUAUUCAUUAAAUACGUUUGUGAUAUCAUAUCAGAAAAUAAACAAUUAUUUCAUGACUUUGGGGCUAUCGACCUUAUUUGGAUACUCAUUUCCUAGACUCAGGAUUUUAUACAUUCAACAUUGAAUAUAGAACUAAUCGAACAUAAAAUAUGUAUCCAAUGUUUGAAAACCAAACUUCAAUCACUCUUUAUGAUUGGCUGAAUCUUUGAAUGCAACAAAGAAUAGUGGUAUUAAUCUUUUAAGAAAGACUAUAUUGGUUGAGUAGCCAUCAAAGAAAACUAUGUUCUAAAAUACUUUACUACUCAUCCUAUCAACACAUACUGCAGUUCAACACAUCCUUAGUCUCAUUUUCCAAUUCCUACCAUGGCAGCAGAAGUUGUUGGUGGUGCUCUUCUUUCGGCUUUUCUUCAGGUUGCAUUCGAUAGGCUCGCUUCUCCUCAAUUUCUACACUUCUUUCGUGGAAGAAAACUUGAUGAGAAACUGCUAGCCAAUUUGAACAUCAUGCUGCACUCCAUCAAUGCUCUCGCUGAUAAUGCUGAACUAAGGCAGUUCAAAGAUCCACACGUCAAAGCAUGGCUUUUUGCAGUCAAAGAAGUUGUCUUUGAUGCAGAGGAUCUUUUGGAUGAAAUAGACUAUGAACUCACCAGAUGCCAAGUGGAAGCUGAAUCUGAACCACAAACCAUCACUCACAAGGUAUCAAACUUCUUCAAUGCUACUUUCAGUUCUUUUAACAAGAAAAUUGACUCAGGGUUGAAAGAAGUGCUAGAAAAAUUAGAAUAUCUUGCAAGGCAAAAGGGUGCUCUUGGUUUGAAAGAGUGUACGUAUUCUGGUGAUGGAUCAGGUAGUAAAGUGCCACAGAAAUUGCCAUCAUCUUCUUUGGUGAUUGAAGGUGUUAUUUAUGGCAGAGAUGCUGAUAAAGAUAUAAUCAUUAAUUGGCUCACAUCUGAAACCGACAAUCCUAACCAGCCAUCAAUACUUUCCAUUGUGGGAAUGGGUGGGUUAGGCAAGACCACACUUGCCCAACAUGUGUACAAUGACCCAAAGAUUGAAGAUGCUACAUUUGAUAGCAAAGCUUGGGUCUGUAUUUCAGAUCAUUUUAAUGUUUUGACUGUGACAAGAACAAUUCUUGAGUCAGUCACUCAUAAAAAACAUGAUAGUGAAAAUCUAGAAAUGAUUCACAAAAACCUUAAGGAAAAAUUGUCAGGAAAGAAAUUUUUUCUUGUUUUGGAUGAUGUUUGGAACGAAAGACUAGAAGAAUGGGAAGUUGUGCAAACUCCUCUUAGUUAUGGAGCUCCAGGAAGUAGAAUUCUUGUCACAACUCGUGGUGAGAAAGUUGCUUCUAUCAUGAGGUCUAAAGUGCAUCACCUAAAGCAAUUAGAAGAGAAUGAAAGCUGGAAAGUUUUUGAAAAUCAUGCAUUAAAAGAUGGUGAUCUUGAAUUUAGCGAUGAGCUAGAGCAUAUUGGUAGAAGGGUAGUUAAGAAGUGCAAGGGAUUACCUUUAGCUUUGAAAACAAUUGGAUGUCUUUUACGCACAAAGUCAUCCAUUUCAAAUUGGAAAAGCAUAUUGGAAAGUGACAUAUGGGAAUUACCAAAAGAAGACAGUGAAAUCAUCCCGGCGCUAUUUCUAAGUUAUCACUACCUUCCUUCUCAUCUUAAAAGGUGCUUUGCUUAUUGUUCCUUAUUCCCCAAAGAUUAUGAGUUUGUGAAGGAGGAGUUAAUUUUGUUGUGGAUGGCCCAAAAUUUUCUACAGUGUCCACAACAGAUUAGACAUCCAGAAGAAGUUGGUGAACAGUACUUCAAUGAUCUAUUGUCAAGGUCUUUCUUUCAACCAUCAAACGUCAAAAGGCAUUUCAUCAUGCAUGACCUUCUGAAUGAGUUGGCAAAAUAUAUUUGUGCAGAUUUCUGUUUCAGGUUGAAAUUUGAUAAAGGUCAAUGCAUACCGAAAAUAACCCGUCAUUUUUCAUUUAAAUUCUAUGACAUAGAAAAAUUUGAUGGUUUAGAGAGUUUAACUUAUGCUAAAAGACUGCGGUCAUUUCUUCCACUUACAAAAUAUAGGACUCUUGAGCUUGGCCAUUCUCCACGAAUAUCCAAGAUUGUGAUUACAACUAUUAUAAGAGCUUUCAAUCAGUAUCCAUGGCAGUUCAAGAUAUCAAUACAUGAUUUGUUCUCCAAAAUUAAGUUCAUACGCGUCUUAUCUUUUAAUGGUUGUUUGGACCUUAAAGAGGUCCCAAAUUCUGUAGGUGAUCUUAAAUAUCUCUAUUCGUUAGAUCUUUCGUAUACUGAAAUAAAAAAACUACCUGACUCAGUAUGUUUGCUCUAUAACUUGCUAAUAUUGAAGUUGAACAAUUGUUCAAAGUUGGAAGAGUUACCCUUAAAUUUGCAUAAACUUACCAAAUUGCGUUGCCUGGAAUUUGAAGAUACAAAAGUGAGAAAAAUGCCAAUGCAUUUUGAGGAAUUGAAGAAUCUUCAAGUACUUAGUACAUUUUUCAUGGAUAGAAAUAGUGAGCUAUGUACUAUGCAACUGGGAGGACUCAAUCUUCAUGGAAUGCUAUCAAUGAAAGAGUUGCAGAAUAUUUUGAAUCCUUUGUAUGCAUUAGAAGCAAAUUUGAAAAAUAAACACCUUGUGAAACUAAAGUUAGAAUGGAAGUCCGACUACAUCCCUGAUGAUCCAAGGAAAGAAAAGGAAGUACUUGAGAAUCUACAACCUUCCAAACAAUUGGAGGGUUUGUCAAUCAGAAGCUACGGUGGUACACAAUUCCCAAGUUGGUUAUUCAAUAAUUCGUUAUCAAAUUUGGUGUUUUUAGUGUUGGAGGAUUGUAAAUAUUGCCUAUGUUUGCCUCCUCUUGGACUUUUGUCAUCUCUGAAAACCCUCAAAAUUAGAGGGCUUAAUGGAAUAGUGAGCAUUGGUGCUGAAUUUUAUGGGAGCAACUCUUCAUUUGCAUCCUUGGAGAGAUUGGAAUUCUACAGCAUGAAGGAAUGGGAAGAAUGGGAAUGUAAAACCACUUCUUUCCCACGUCUUCAACAUCUUGAUGUGGUUGAAUGUCCAAAGCUGAAAGGUCUGUCAGAGCAACUCCUACAUUUGAAGACACUGGAUAUUAAUCACUGUGAUAAGGUCGUCAUUAGCGGAAACAACAUGUACACAUUGUCGCUUGAACUCAUGAGGCUUUAUUCAUGUCCACUUGUGAAUAUUCCCAUGACAACCCAUUACUAUUUCCUUAAAGAAAUGCAUAUUGGUGGUUGGGACUCUCUUGCAAUCUUUCCACUAGAUUUCUUUCCAAAGCUCUGUUCACUUGAAAUGAAAGGGUGCCAAAACCUAAGAAAAAUCUCACACAAGGACACUCAUAAUCAUCUCAAGGAACUAGAAAUUGUUGAUUGCCCUCAAUUUAAAUCAUUCCUGGUUGAAGGAUUAUCUGCACUAGGAGCUGAGAAUUUGACGUUUUUGCCAAAACCCAUGCAAGUCUUGUUUCCAUCCCUUACUAUGCUGUGGAUAAUUAACUGUCCAGAAGUGGAGAUGUUCACAGGUGGAGGUUUUCCAUUAAAUGUAAAAUAUGUUUGUCUUUCAAGUUUAAAACUUAUCGCCUCCCUGAGAGAGGCUUUGGAUGCAAACACAUGUCUUGAAACCUUGAUUAUUAGACACUUGGACGUGGAGUGUUUUCCUGAUGAAGUUUUGCUGCCACACUCUCUAUCCUAUUUAGAAAUCUAUGGUUGCCGAAAUCUUAAAAAGAUGGAGUACAAAGGUCUCCGCCACCUCACCUCUCUCGUACUUUUUGAUUGUCCCAGCCUUGAAUGCUUACCGGAGGAGGGUCUGCCCAAAUCCAUCUCUUCUCUUUCAAUCAUUGGUUGUCCACUGCUGAAGAAGCGUUGUCAGAAUCCAGAUGGCAAAGACUGGGGAAAGAUUGCUCACAUCCCAAAACUGUUUGUUGAGUAAUAAGAUGAGGCACAAGUUCAAAAUUAGAGUUGCAGCUAUUUCCAUUUGUUUGCCACUUCAACAGGUGCCAAUUCUCCACAAUAUCUCUUUACCUUUUCAAUUACAAUUUUCUUAGUUGCAAACAGUAACCCUAUAAUUAUUGCCAUUUUCCAAACAAUAGCAGCAUACAUUAUACUUCAACUUGAUUUUUAAAUUAAUAAUAUAAUUGGAAGCCAAGAUCCUUACUUCUUUACCUGACUUCUCAGCUUUCUGAACAGAGUUCUUAGUGAUAUUCUUCAUGACCCCUCAUUCUGUCUUGAAUAAGAGAUGAUGACAUAAUGUUUAAUAGAGUACUUCAGCUUCUAUUUUCAACAAAGUUUGGUCUGGCUUCUCACUCAAACAAAAUUACAGUAUGAGUUUCAAUCUUUUGGUUUCUCCUUCCUUUCACCUCUCUAUCUGUCCAUUCAACUAAUUUUAUCUUAUGUAAAGAAAAAAAUUAAAUUACGGCUUUGUUGUAGUUUCUGGGAUGAUACGAAUUGUAUUUAUGGGGAUGUUUUCCUUUUGCAGAAUAAUAUGUAAAUGGAAAGACUCUGAUAUAUGUAAAGGGAUGCUGUUGGAGUGAGUUUUCUUGGUAUGGUUAUUGCUGCAUAGCAAUUCUGAUGGCUUAGGUGCUUAAAAAGUGCUAUGGUGAAGGUCUGGAUGGUGACGGCAAUGAUGUUGAAGUGUGCUGUUUGGCAAGUAAUUUGCUGCAUAAUAUGUUUGCUGCCACAUACACUUUUUAAUGCUUUUCUGUGCUGCUGGUGCGUCCUUUGCAUGCUGCUCCUAGUGGCUUUUAGACAAAUGCAUUGUUCCUUUUCAGGCUUUUUCAUUGCAGGAUGGGUGUAGGUUUUUUUGUAAGAGCUGAUGCAGACUUGUUUAUCUAGUUUUGGCUCUGGAAAUAUGUAUAUUAAGCCAUAGAAUGUUUGUUUUUGUUCUAAGCCAUAAGGGGAGUAACCUUGUGGUUAUAUAUAUGGGUUGGGAUACCCCUAAAGUAUUCUGUUAAUUUAGAUAAAAAAAAAUAUAUAUAUGUAAAGGGAAGCCUUCAGCUUUUGGACUCACCCAGUUGUGAAAAUUCCCAUGAUCCAUUAUGACUUCCUUCAUGAAAUAGUGAUUGAUGGUUGUGACUUGAAUAUUCAGAAAGUGGAUGUUGACACUAAAAAUUGUGAAGUGAAGAAUUUCUAGCAAGUGCCAUUUAUUCUCGAAAGAUUACUCUGUAGUUGGAAGGUAUAGUUCCAUCCAUCACCAUCCUUUAGCUUGGUAUUCCAGAAAAUUUAUUUUCUUGUCCACACUUAUCCAUCUUUCUUCUUAAUCCAUGCUUGCUUGGUGCGUUAAAUUAAUAAAGUUUCUGACAAAAAAAAACAAACUUAACAGAAUGCAGUUAUUCACACCAGUUCUCAUGUUCUUGGUUCUUUUUUAAAGAAAAUACAGAUUCAUGAUAUAUUGAAAAUCCUGUCCAUGAUAAAAUGAAGCUAGGGGUAUUGACUGGAGACAAGAUGAAAGAAACAGCUGAGAACAUUGGGUACAUUAACAAUGGCUUGUUCUGAAUAAUCUUUCUCUUUUAUUUUCUUCUUUUCUUUGAUAAAACCUUUUUCUGGAAUAAAAGUUUAAAGAUUCUCAGCAGCAACAAGGUCCAUAAUAUGCUUAUCCAAUCUCCAAUCCAAUGCUAAUGUAUCGAUGAUGUGUUGACUUAUCUUUUGUUAGGUUUUGAUUUUAAAUUCAUGAUUUAAUUGGAAGACAAGAAGCUUUACUAAUCAAUCAUUCAUACUAUUUUUUUUACAGUAUCCUUUUUUAUAUCUGGAGGGAGUAGAAGAGACCCUCUUUAGAGAUCUUACUCUUGAUCACUAUUUCUGUCUUGAAUCAAGCCUUCACAAGAGAUGGUAAAGUGUUGUGUGGACUGUGAUGUUAUAAGGCUUUCCAAAGUCUGUUUCUACCAAUGUGCCAAGAUAUGAUAAAGAGAAAACAAGUAAAAGGAUUUGAAAUUGGAUUAUCAGAGGAUGAGUUACCUAAACAAAUUCAGGGCAAACUACAAUAUCUGAUAGAGAGAUAGAAGCAAUGGGAGUUGUGAAAUGUAAAUGCUUUUAAGCAUCCAUUCUUAGAACUUGAAACUAUACAUGCUUUUCUUACUGAGUUAUGAAAUAGCAUUCCAGUUGUUUUAUAGCAAUGUACCAUGAUAUUAUAAAGAGAAAAUAAGUACAAGUGAUUGAAAUUCUGUUAUCUGAGGAUGAGUUUUCCAAUACAAUUCCCAGGCAAACUCCUACAUCUAAGAGGGAAAUUGAAAUAAAGGAGUGAAAGGAAAAUACUUUUAAACAUUAAUUCAUAGAACAUGUAUUGGUUUUCUAGCUGAUUGGGAAAGUGGAAUUGAAAUAGUGAGCAUUGCUAACAGCUUUUACGUUUUGCUUUUCCACCUUGGAUUUCCAUUUGUUCAUAAAAUUAGCAGAGGAGAGAUUUCAGUAAGUAACCUGAUUAGUAAAGCUUGAGUACUUGGACCAAACAAGGCACAUGUAUUUGUUAAUGGAAGAAGCUUUAGAUAUUUUACAAUAUAGUUUACCUGUGGCAGCAUAAAACAAAACCAAUUUAUCCUCGUCCACAGUGAACUAUUAUUGAUUAGUUCAGUGAACUAGUUAUGUACUAAAAAAUUGAAGACUUCUAAACUUCAUUUUUCUGAACCUCUUCGUGGGUCUAUUUGCUUCUGAACCUCUAGCAGAAACAAAAGGUAGAUGAAAUUAAAAAAUAAAGAUUUGAAGCCAUAUAUAAAAUGUGAAUGAAAGAAAUUCAAGAUCACCAUCCAUUCCACUUCUUAAGCUUAGAUAUCAAUCCCUUCCUCACACAGAGGAUCAAAAGGAAACUGGUGCCAAGAUGGUUGGACAAAGUGCAACUGUUAAUUGAAUCUAUGGGUGGUUCUGAGUGCUGCGUGUGGUUUGAGACUGAAUGGUUGUAUUGUGAUCAUUGACACAUUUACACAUUUAACUGUUCAAAAUUUCAUCCACAUGAUUCAUGACUGUUAUAUUAAAAAGUUGAAUAAAUGAUUUCUUUCGUAAGGCUUCCAUUAGAGAGAAGAAAUUGAACACAUAUUAACCGUUCGAUCCAUACAUAAUAUAAUAUAGUUCACCACGUUUUCAAGUUCCAAGAAUGGAUGCUUAGAAGCAUUUACAUUUCAAAACUCCCAUUGCUUCAAUCUCUCUAUCAGAUGUACUAGUUUUCCCUGGACUUGUUUAGGUAACUCAUCUCUUAUAAUCCAAUUUCAAACCCUUCUACUUUCUCUUCAUCAUAUCUUGACACAUUAGUAGAAACAGACUUUGGAAAGACUUAUAAUAUCACAGGCCACACAACACACUGUGACCAUAAGUAUUUCAAAAACAGCCACCUUACCCUCUCUUCUGAAGGCUUCAUUCAAGACAGAAAUAGUGGUAAAGAGUAAGAUCUCUAAAGAGGGUCUCCUCUCUUCUACUGAUACUGUAAAAAAAAGAUAGUAUGAUUGAUUAAAAUAAACUUCCAAUAAACUCUUCAAAAUACUUCCUUGGUUAGAAUUAAAAUCCUCAAUUCCUUCAUUUGUUAUGAAUAACGUUAAGCUUUUUAAAGGCAGAUAAAAUCAUAGAUCACGUAGGUAAAAUCUUUAGGAUUUCCAAUUCAAUCCUGGGAGAUCAAGUAGAGAAAAUAAUUCAAAUAUCCAACACCAUUCAGUCCAACAAUAGAGACAAAACUCAUCGAGAAAUAAGGAUAUCCUGAUUUGCAGCCGUUUUAAACUCUUUUUAGGAUUUAAGUCCAGAAACUCGAAUUGCUGAACCGUGGUCACAACCCUUCUCAUCCGUGUGAUUAUAGGCACUGAUUCCGCGAAAAUAGCCACGACAAUCCAAUAAAAAACAGAAAAUCUAAAGUGUAGCCGAUAACGAAUAAAUGCAUAACAAAAUUCAAAACACAAAGCUUCACUGUAUCACGUGUGCUAGAAUGCCUACGUUCUACCCGUGAAAGUUGGGAAAAUUGUUUAUUUUUAAACAAAAAUAACCCAUUUCAUUAUUAAAAAAAUUUAAUAACAAAGAUGUAUUUGGAAAGUAAAAUUUAACAAUUUAAAAAAAAAAAAUUAAAACUCUUUCACAACCAUCAUAUCACUCACAAAUUCUCAUAAAUUUUUCUCACAUAUUCACUCUAAAAUACUCCAAUUCAAACAAUCUCACUUUUUCCACACUUUAUUCUCACAUCCUCACACAUCCACUUCCUCAAAUUUUCACACAUCCACUCUCUCAAAUUUUCACACAUCCAAGUAAGUCAUUUUAAGCGAUUUGAUACGUUGAGAGCCAAGAGUUGUUACUAUAAGAAAGUGAAGCAUCCAAUCACACUUUGUAUUCUCAACCAUGGCGGAUAUCAUCAGCAAUUUUCCAGAUUCAAUCCUUUGUUACAUUCUCUCUUUUCUCCCAACCAAACAAGUUGUUACAACCAGUAUUCUCUCCAUGCACUGGAACCUUCUAUGGCGUUCAGUUCCUUCUUUGGAUUUCGACGUGGAUACAAUGAGUAUAGAUUAUGACAAAGAAAAAGAGGGCAUCUCUCGCCUUCUUCUCUCAGUGAACUCUUUUCUACGUGGACGCGAUAUGGACCAACUCCUUCAUAGAUUUCGUCUUAGAUGUCCCUGUUUAUAUAAUCAAAAUAGUAUCGAGACAUGCAUUGAGGAUGUUUUGAGAAAAAGUGCUAGACUUCAACACCUCGACCUCGACCUGGGUUUUGUCACUGCGGUGCCCUCUGUGGUGUUUAUAUGCAAAACUCUUGUAGUUCUCAAAUUGGCAUUCGUAUCACCGAAAAAUGUUUCUUUUGUAGAUUUGCCCUUGCUUAAAAUCUUGCAUUUGAAUUCUGUUAGCUUCUUAGACUGUGAAUAUCUUCUUCAACAGUUUCUUUCUGGGAGUCCUAAUAUAGAGGACUUGGAAGUCGAGACUUUUAAUAAUUUUACUAUAAAAGAAUUCCACAGUUUGCCCAAGUUGGUCAGAGCUAAAAUCGAUGCACCAGCUGUACUUCCAUUGGAAAUUAUUAAGAACGUUGAAGUUUUUGUGACAAAUAGGGUAUGCCUGUAAAAUUUGUUUCUUAUUUACUUUCUAUUUGUAUGGGAAAAAAAUGUGAUUUCUGAUGUUUUUUACAUUAUUUUGUAUCUCUUGCAGAUAUAUAAUCAAGACCUGGUUUUUGAUUUUCAAAAUUUAGUUCAACUUGAGUUUGUUACUUGGGAGGAUAGUGAGGGAUGGCUUGAUGUCUUGAAGGUGUUCAGGCAUUGUCCAAAGCUUCAAACUCUUUUCAUUCGCAUUAAAGACGAUGAAGAAGAUCCAGUUUUGCCAUACCCACUUACUGUUCCUACCUGCAUUUCAUUACACCUUAAAACCUGUUGUCUUCAAUACUACAGGGGUUCUGAAUUUGAGUUUCAAUUUGCGGAAUAUAUUAUGCUGAAUGCAAAUUAUUUACGCACCAUGAAAUUCCUCAUUCGCAGUGAUGAUUAUAGUAAUCUUUUGAGAAGACAUGAUAUGAUAAGAGAUUUAUCAUCAUGCAGUAAGAGUUCAGAUGCUUGUACACUUUCAUUUGAAAAGUAUGUUUGACUUUUAUAUUUGUGAAUGUUUAUCAAAUUAAUCUACUUUUCUUCUUCGCAUGUUUCUAAAUUUAGUUUAGUUUCUGUUUCAUAUUUUUCUUACCGAUUAGAGGAUGAUAUCAUGGUUUUGUGCUUUUAAUUCUUGAAUAGUUUAAAUUUUAUGAAAAAAUGUAAAAGAAAAUCAUUGCAAAGACUCGUAAUUCAGUAUUGGUAUGAAAGUAUUUACCUACCAUCACUCAAUUAUAAAGAUAUAAAUUUUACUAAUAUUCUCAAGUUAGAAUUAGAAUAUAUCUUAAUACAAUUGCUGCGAUGGAUCUGUGAUGAAGAGCCAUGUGUGAAGAAUGAUGAAAACACCUCAGCAAUCGAAAAGAAAAGCACACAACACUGUGAAACGAUCUCCAUAAACAGAGAAAGAAAAAGAGCACGAACAGAAGAACCUACAGAAAAGGGAAAGUGAAGAACGAAGAUGAUGCAAGUUUUUUGUUAAAGAGGCACCAAACAAAGAACUUUGCAAAACACCUCAUAUCUUAGAGUAACUUCCCUCCCAUACAAGGACGUUAGGUGAAUACAAGGAAGGGUAUUCUGGUGCUUUAUCCGGGUGUGCUCCUGCAUGGAAUCCAUGAUCCUUCUUCCGCUUUCCUGCUGCAUUCCCAAACUGCUGGUACAUGUUGUAUUCUUUUGCAGGUUUUACGCUCUAGAGUUGCUACACAUUUUUUAGAAGGAAGUACUGUUAUCAUAUGGUUCUGUUUUGGUUUGUAGAGGAAAAUAGGGUCUGUUAGUUUUAGUUUGGUGGUGCGCUUUUGUCAGCAGCUGUUUAAGCGAGCGUUAGUCCUGUGCCUAAGGUUUUAGUUGUAUUCUGCUUGUAACCUUGGGUGUUUGCGUGGUAAACCCUGCAUUGUGCCUUUAUGUGUACGCUGUGCUAGUUGGUAUAAGGGUUGGGACACCGGUAUAAGGGUUGGGACACCCUAAAGUGUCCCGUUCUAAUUUACUUUAUUCUUUGCUGAUAAAAAAAAAUAAAAUUCCUCCCAUAUUUCUAACAACCUGUAUUCUAUAAUUUCAUAAUCAAAUUUGACAAUAAAACCAUAAUCUUCAGAUCUGCACCACUUCCACUUAUCAUCCUUCAAGUCUUCCUUCACAAGGGUGUAUCCUUGUGAUUGUGUUUAUGGGUUGGGUUACCUUGAAGUAACCCUUAAUUUAAUUUAUUCAUUGCUGAUAAAAAAAAAAUCUUUCAAGUUUUCCUUCAAAUAUUAUAAAGUGGACUUUAAGUAUAACUUAACCCCAUAAAACCGACUAAUGAGUUGAGGUUGAGGUGAAGUUUGCACCCACUUAUAUACAAUGAAAUAUUAUCAUCUCUUGUCAAUGGGCACAAUUGUCUCAUUUUUUACAUCAAUUGAAACAAACUUACCUGGUUGAGGAUAGAGGUCCAACUCAUAAUGUACAGUUGAUGCACGCGUGGACACAUGACACUCAAGUCAAAGGUUGACCUGGUUAGCAAGACUAACCCAUAGUUAAGGGAUGACCUAAUCCAACCCUAAUCACAAACCAACUCCUUAAUCUGGUCCAACAGCAAGGGCCCAUCAAGGUAAUAUAAAUAUCACGCACUCCAAGGAAAAGGUACGUCAUUAUGAAUAGUAUUCUGACAGCCGAAUACGACACCACACUGACUUGAGCGUUGGAGUGUCAUCUGUAGGUACCCACCCGUCUGAGAAACCACUCGACGAGAAAGACCGAAGAAGGAGCGUUGAACACGUGAAGACCGACCGAAUAGCAUCUGGAGUCAAUAGUUUUCCCAGUCUCCAAACUAGUUCCAGAACAGAAUCAGUUCUUAAAAACCUCUUAGAUGGAUAACAAUUAGAAUACUACAACACAUAAACAAUUAGUAUACACAAUAGGUAAUGAGCAAUAACAAAUUUUACACCUAAAUAAAAGAUAUUAAUCUAACUUAAUUCUUGACCAGAAACAAUCAGAAUCUGGAUUCUUUUGUAUAACAAUUGAAAAUCUGUUCACAAGUUAAUUAACCAUUUAAAAUUGCAUGAGCUGUAACUAAGAUCAUAUAAUUAAAACCUAAAUCUUACAAGUCUUUGCUAAUAGAACAUAAAAUUUAAGAUCAUGAAUCUUAAAAAAAAAUAUCUUUUUCAAUUUUAAAAACUUCAACAACCAAAUAAUAUAUUAAUUAGAGUUUAAGUCUUAUUAAUUUUUUUUCAAUUGAAGAAAAAUGACAAAGAUGCUUUAAAAAGUAAUGUAGUAUAAUAAGACCAAAAAGUAGUGUAAAUGAAACCUAAACAAAAAUAUUUUAAGGACCAAAACAGAAAAAAAAAACUAUUAAGGAACAUAAACAACCUCAACUUCAAUAUAAUAGAAAUCAUAUUUAAUACAAGCAUUAAGACUGCAUUGAGAAGAAGUGGUAGACUUGAAACCUUGAUAUCAAUCUGGAAUGGUUUGUUGAGCUGCCCUCUGCGGUGUUUAGCUGCAAAACUCUUGUAGUUCUCAAGUUGUCCACCAUAUCACUGAAAAAUAUUUCUUUAGUUGAUUUGCCCUUGCUUAAAAUCUUGCAUUUGAAAUCUACUUCAUUUAAAUGUGAAGAUCUUCAACGUUUUCUUUCUGGGUGUCCAAAUGUAGAGGACUUGGAAGUCGGGUCUGGUUUAACCCAGAGAUCGGCUGCUAAUACUGCAGAAAAGUUCAAGAAACUUCCUAAAUUGAUAAGGGCUAACAUCCAUACACAUUUAGUUUCAUUGGAAUUUGUUAAGAAUGUUGAAGUUUUGGUCACAGAUAGGGUAAUGCGUGUAAACUUUCUUUCUUAGUUACUUUUCAUUUCUAUGGAAAUUCUAAUGUUUUGAUAUUAUUUUGUAUUUCUUGCAGAUAUAUAAAGAAGACCUUGUAUUUGAUUUUCAGAAUUUACUUCAACUUGAGUUGACCAGUUUCAUGCAUAGUAUGAAAUGGUUUGAGUUCUUUGAAUUGCUCAAGCAUUGUCCAAAACUCAAAGCUCUUUUCAUUGACUUUGAUGAGGUUUAAUAAUUUAAGUUUUUCGAGUAUGAUUCUUCUUGUUAUCUUUUCUUAAAACAUUAGGAUUAAUGUAGUUUUAUAAUUGUUUUUAACAGGAGAAGGAUGUAGUUGCGGAAGGCGAUAAAGAAGCACUUUUUCCAUGCCCCGAUACUGUUCCCACAUGCAUUUCAUUACACCUUAAAACCUGUCGUCUUAACAAUUUCAGGGGUUCCGUAGUUGAUCUUCAGUUUGCAGAAUAUAUUAUGAAGAAAGCAAAUUAUUUACAGACCAUGAAAUUCAGCUUUCACCUUUAUGAUUGUAAUUCUUCUUUGAGAAGACAAGAAUUGACGACAUAUAUCUCCUCAUGCAUGAAGAAGAGUUCUGAUACUUGUACGCUUUCAUUUGAGUAUUUAAUGCCUGAGCCUGACCUCUCUUUCUUUUGAGUAUUUAAGGUCUGUAAUAGUGAUGGUUUAUUUUUGUUUGUAUUUCAUGUAGUAACUGCAAGAAUGUAGUUUUCUUUAUCAAAUGAAUCUACUUUUUUUUCAUUUAAUCAAAGUUUGCUGCACGUUACCGGUUUUGUGUUGUUUUAGUAUAAUUUGUUUAAGAUAUGUUCCUAGGUAUGUAAAUUAUAAAAAAUUAGAUGGUACUAAAAUUAGAGGAAGACAUAAUAAAAAGUAUAUUUAUGAACUACUUGUCUAACUGAAUCAAGUUAUAUAUUUAAAUUAUUAUUGUUCUUUUUCACAUAUUUUUGCUAUUAUUUUUCUCACGACAAACAUUCUUAGUUUAUUUCUGUUGUGACAUUAAAUAUCCAAGUCCACUAAAAAGAAGAUGCAGUGGUAGCUUCCAGAAGUGGCGAUAUUAAUAUAAGGGGAACCACCUGCCCUAGUUGCAAGUGCAAACAUCUUGAUAGGUGUUGCAUAAGGGUGGCAGAAUCUUUAACCAGAAAUGGUCUAUAUUUCAGUGAUCAAGGCUUUAGUCUCAAUUAGAAGUAUUAGUCUUAAAAUGUACUGAUAUUUACUGAUAGAUUGACUAGGUUGGUUUGGUUGCCAUAGAAUUCCAAUGUGAUCCUACUUUUCUGUCAUUGUAAACAGUGAAAUCUUUUAACUAUGAUGCAUUUGUAACUAAUAAUUGGUAUGCCAAUUGGUAAUUAGCAAUAACAAAUAUGGGGUUUAAUGCAACAUUUUUGGCUAAAUGGAUUUGGAGAAAGGGAUCGGAAAGCAGAGUGAUAUUUUGGAGUCUAAAUAUGGAGUUUGAAGAAAUUUAUAGAAAAUUUAUCUGUUACAAAAGGAGUCUUAUUAUAUGAAAAGUUUUCGCACGUGUUAACACAUGAUAAAUUCAUAAAAAAUAAAUUAACAAAAAAUGGAAACUUUACAUGGCAUGAAAACAUGGAGUGUUUACAUGGAAGGUGUGCAAACGAAGAGAAGGGAAGUAUGCAUGGCAUGAAAAGUCAUGACUGUCACGUUUUCAUGGAGUGUUUACUCCCAAUAUGUUUUCGGUCAUUGCCAGAGUUUGUGUGGAGUGCCCUUGCUGAAUUAAGUCGAUUCUUUAAAGAUCUAUGUUCUAAUACAUUGAGGAUGAAUGAUCUUGUCAGAAUGAAAGAAAACAUACCAAUCAUCUUAUGUAAGUUAGAACGAAUAUUUCCACCAGCUUUCUUUGAUUCAAUGGAACACCUUGUCGUUCAUCUUCCUAUGGAAGCAAUACUUGGUGGUCCUGUUCAGUAUCGUUGGAUGUAUCCCUUUGAAAGGUAAAGAUUAUGUUAAUUAUUUUAAUGUUUAAGAACAUGUGCAACUUAUAAUAAUUACUACUUUGCUUUAGGAUGAUGGGAGAUGCAAAGAAAUCGGUGGGUAAUUUGGCACGAGUAGAAGGAUCAAUAUGUGCAUUCUACCUACAUCGUGAGAUAACAUAUUNNNNNNNNNNNNNNNNNNNNNNNNNNNNNNNNNNNNNNNNNNNNNNNNNNNNNNNNNNNNNNNNNNNNNNNNNNNNNNNNNNNNNNNNNNNNNNNNNNNNUAGACCUGGGAAACAUCCAUUAUUCUGGUAUUUUACCAUCAUCUGAUCCUGGUAGUCCAUAUAUUUCAUCCCAUUCCUCGACACCAUCUUCUAGCCCGUCUUCCUCCAUCCCCUCGUCCUCUGGGCAUGGAGAAUUUCGGCAUGCUUAUCCACACCCCACUAUAUCACCUCGUCCUCUUAGUAUUCCAGUACCACCACGACCAUCAUCCUCUGCUCCGACUUACCAUCAGAGUGUCCCUGAACCACUCCACCAGACUCAGAGUUUUCCACUCCACCCUACCUCUGGUACAUUUGUGCAGCCCACCCCUGGUACAUUUGUGCAGACUACUCCUUAUCCCAUUGUCCACACCACAUCUUCUUCAGCUGUCCCGACUACUACUGGCUCUGUGCAAGGCCUCUCUAACCAUGUUGACCAUGGUGCCACUGCUGCUUCAGNNNNNNNNNNNNNNNNNNNNNNNNNNNNNNNNNNNNNNNNNNNNNNNNNNNNNNNNNNNNNNNNNNNNNNNNNNNNNNNNNNNNNNNNNNNNNNNNNNNNUUUAUAAAUGAGGAAGACCCGCACACAUUGUCGAUUUUGAAUAAAUGUGGACGCCCUAGUGGUUCUAGCAAGGACUAUUGGUUAAGUGAUAAAGAACAUCGUUUUGCCCAUGUUCAUGUCCUCAUCAAUUGCGAUGAGGUCAAACCAUUUCUUGAGUAAGUUUAAUUGUACAUGAUUUGAAUUAAAUUAUUGUAGGUUGUGUAAUUCGCUAACUAAUUGUAAUCAAUAUUUAAAGAUUGUUCUUACAAGUGUACUCAAUCAAUGAUGAAGAUGCUUCGACAGUUAUACAUGCUAAUUUUCCCGAAUGGUUCAAGAGCUACGUAAGUGUAACCUAAACCCAUAUGUGUUUCUUAUUAAAUCACACUUUCAUAAAUAAAUGUCAUGUUUUCUUAUGACUAAAACAUAGGUUCACGAUGAAAGGAAUGUAAUAAACCCAAACUUGAAGGGACUUUCUUGGGGACCUAAUUCAAAGACAACAUCAUGGAACAUCUACUUCGUUAAUGGAUAUAAAUUUCAUACAAAGGCAUGGGCUGAUGGUAAGAAAACAACAAAUAGUGGGUUGUAUGUUAAAGGUGUCACUGGUGGAGGAGAAGAUGACUUUUAUGGUACAAUUCAUCAUAUAUAUGAAUUGGAGUAUGUUGCUCUCAAUAAGAAGGUCCCGCUUUUCUAUUGUGAAUGGUUUGAUCCUACAAUUAAUGUUGGGACUAGAUUUCAUUCACAAUAUAAUUUAGUUGAAAUCAAGUUAAGUGGCAGAUAUGGACCGUAUGAUCCAUUCAUUCUUCCGCAAAAGGUCAAACAAGUUUAUUAUCUCACUUUUUCAAACAUAUGUAAAAACCUUNNNNNNNNNNNNNNNNNNNNNNNNNNNNNNNNNNNNNNNNNNNNNNNNNNNNNNNNNNNNNNNNNNNNNNNNNNNNNNNNNNNNNNNNNNNNNNNNNNNNCUCCCCCCUAAGGUCGCCUUCAAUUUGGAAGCACGGUAGGGUCAUCAUCCGACUUCUUGGAAGAGGGUAAGUCAUCCUAAAUGUACAUUUAAUUUUAUCUUUAUAUUACUAUGUUUGUAAUUUUAUUUGUUUGUAUUUGUAGUUGGACACCAAAUCAUUUUGCUAGUGAGGCCAUUGGACAUUGCAUUCGAUCUCAAUUUAGAGGUCCAUAUCAUCAUUAUGAUGUCAUGCCUGAGGAGGACAAACUAAAAUGGUGGACUGACUUUCAGGUAAUUUUAAUUUUUGACAAACUACAGUCACUUGUUUUCUUGUUUUUCUUGUGGACUCAAAGUAACUAUUUUCUUCUUUUUAACAGACUAGAGUCACUUGGGCACCCCAUGAUGAAUGCCAAAUUAAAAAGGUCUACGAGUCUAAAGUCAAAAAAAGACUUUGUGAUAUGUUGACUAAGGCUAGGAGAAAGGCUGUCCGCCCUAUUUGGAUAGGUCAGCAAGCAUGGGUUGAACUUCUAAACUAUUGGGAUUCACAAAAAUUCAAAGAUAAAUCAACUCAAAAUAAAGCCAAUAGGAGUUCAGCUCGUGGUGGAGCACUGCACUCCACAGGUAGAAAAUCACAUUCAGAUAUUGCAGUUACCUUGGUAAGUACUUGUCAAUGCCUUACAUGAAAAUCAUUUUACAUUUGCAACCUAUAAUGCUUUUAAUUGUACAACAUUAUUAGGAACGUCAAUAUGGCCGUCCUCCAGAACCUGAUGAACNNNNNNNNNNNNNNNNNNNNNNNNNNNNNNNNNNNNNNNNNNNNNNNNNNNNNNNNNNNNNNNNNNNNNNNNNNNNNNNNNNNNNNNNNNNNNNNNNNNNCCACCCACACAAAUAAGAAGGGUGAAUGGGUUGAUUCUCGUGCUCGAGAAACUUAUGUAAGUUAUUCUUUUAAAUUGUUUUAUAUUUAUAUUUUAAUUUUCUAACAUUUUCAUUUUGUAAUGAUCUGUGUAGGAAAAGUAUCAUGAGCGCUUGAAGGUCCUUCAAGCAAAUAGUUCUCAGGACUCUAACACUGAUGUCCACCAACUUGAUCCUGCAACUAAGCUUCAAACAUGGAAGGAAGCUGCCGGAGGAAAGAGUAGAGGUCGGGUAUAUGGUACGGCAGACUUGGCUGCUAACAUCCGCCAAGGAGUCUCUUCUCUCACCCAAGCCUCUGCGUCCGACACUUCACAAUCUGGACAAGUGACUGAAAAUCAAAUGCUUCGUGCUGAACUUAGUAUGUGGAGUCAGAAGUAUGCACACCUGGAGGAUGAGCUGAAGGUUAUAAAAGAUAAACUUAUCUCUAUGGAUCAAGAAAAAACUACUUCCAAUAGCACAACACAAUUCCAUCAUGAGUAUGAUCCAGAACAGGAUGAUCAACCUAUUUCUUAAAGUACAUCCUAUAAUGUAAGUUUAACUAUUUGAUAUUUUUAUUAUAUACUAAAUAUUUUAAUUANNNNNNNNNNNNNNNNNNNNNNNNNNNNNNNNNNNNNNNNNNNNNNNNNNNNNNNNNNNNNNNNNNNNNNNNNNNNNNNNNNNNNNNNNNNNNNNNNNNNNNNNNNNNNNNNNNNNNNNNNNNNNNNNNNNNNNNNNNNNNNNNNNNNNNNNNGCUUUUCUACUUUGGAUGUGUUUCUGGAUUUUGAUUUCAUACUUUGGAUGUGUUUGUGGAUUUGGGUGUUUAUAGAUGUAUUGUGAAUGAUAGUAAUUUGUUUCAAUGUGAUUUGGUUUGGUUGGUAUUUAAUUUUUACAGGUAAUCUGGUUAGAAAGCAAAAUAAAAUGUUUUUUUUUUCUUCAUCACAUGCGUCGGCCAUAGGCCCACGCAAGUUUUUUUUAAAGAUGCGUCCGCUUUUGCGUGGGCCAAGCCCACGCAAGUUUUUUUAAACAUGCGUCCGCUUUUGCGUGGGCCAAGCCCACGCAAAUUCUGAUAUUUUUUAAAUAUAUAUUUUUAUCAUUUUCGUCGGCUAGACCGACGCACACGCGAAAUAAAAAUUCUACGUCGGACCGCCCACGCAAAAGCCGCCGCAUAUGCGUCCAACCUAUCUUCUGCAUGUUGCGUCCGUUUUGCGUGGGCUUGGCCCACGCAAGAUGCACCCAAUUUUCUGGCCCACGCUAAUUUUCAUUUGCUUCCAGGCUUUUUUCGUGGGAGGUGUAACGGACGCGAAUCGGACGCAUAAGCGUCCGUUUUCUAGCUUUUGCGUCCGUUUUUGGCCCACGCAAAUUGGCUUUUUUCUUGUAGUGAGUCUUAUUAUAUGAAAAGUUUUCGCACGUGUUAACACAUGAUAAAUUCAUAAAAAAUAAAUUAACAAAAAAUGGAAACUUUACGUGAUUCAUUGUAGGGAGAAUACGUGUCUUUUUUUACAUAUUGUGUCACUGGUUUCUCAUUUAUUCUCUCACUUGCCCUCUCUCAUUGUCUUGUUCUUUUUAUUUUCUUUAUUUUCGUAUUUUUUUGUCAUAACCUCCUCUAUUCCUUCUCUCGUUUUGUCUCUCAUAGUUUUAUUUUUGUGCAUUUCCUUCUUUGUGGUUUCUUCUGUCACAACCACCUGUUUCCUCUCUAAUAUAAUCUUGCUCUGUGCAUUUUCUUUUUUUUGGAAAUGAAUGUAGGUAUCUUCAACCAUUGUAUCUCCAAUCACGGUAUCCUCAACACGCUGAGGAAAGAUUUUUGCCUUUUUUUUUACGACUAGGAAAGCAAAAUUGCAUAGUUUGUUGAGUCUUAACCCCAAAUUGUGUUACAUCUCUCUAGGCUUUUCUUCGUGAUAAGACCUUUUUGUUCGUUUUUUGAGUUUUUUUUUUGUUAUGGACAUGUUUUGUAGUAAAUAAAUAGGUUGUUUGUCUAUAUUUCAAUUGUUUUUAUUAGUAAAGAACUGAAUAAAUAAAAUGGAGCAUUUAAGGAAUACUCCAACCUUUAUAUAAAACCUAGACAGUGUCCCUACUUUACUAGAUACAAAUAUCCCGUGCUAAAGCUUAAGCUUUUUAGCUAAACUUUUACAACAAUAGACACCCAAUGGAACUUGAUAAGAAGUUCUUAAAACCCAACUUAAACCAGAACUCUAGACAAAAAAAACCUACAAAAUAACACUCAUGGACAAAACAAAAAUGAAAUCAAACCUACAAAAACAACUUUAUAGACAACCACCAAGCAUGCUGUCAAGUUAUGCAUCUUAAGCUCUAUUUCCUCUCCUAACAUCUCGCUUAAAUUAGAGAUUAUUUUAUAAACUAAAAUAUAUUUAUCUAAACUAGUUUAUACUAUUAAUAAAAGUUAAUAAAAUAAUUUUAAAUUGAUAUCUAACCAUUGUUUACCAAGAUUUUAGCUAUUUACUACUUUAUAUUCUAAAUUAAUGUCUAUUAGUUUUUUAAAGAUUAAUUUAUAAUAUAAAAUAUGAAUAACUAAAACUUGAGUAACUAAUUUAGAUAACAAUUUAUAAACUAUUUUAUAAUUUUUUUAUUAAUAAAAAAACCAUUUUAGAUGAAAAUAAUUGUUUAGAAAUUAGUACCUUUUUUUAUUAGCAAAGAAUUAAGUAAAUUAAAUGGAAUGCUUUAGGGACAUUCCAACCCUUAUAUAGAGACCCACAUUUAAUCUAAAACUAAAAAGAGAUAUUACAAACCAAUCCUAUGCUACGUCCAUUUCCUCCAAUCGUGAAAAUCAGCUCCACGAACACAACUCCAAACCAACUUGCUGAUAACUAUGUCUACACCUAUCUCAUAUAAGCCAACCAAGACCAUCCAGAUCUGUUCAACAUAGAAAACCCAGCAUCAUAGAAAUUAGUAUCUAAUUUAGUUGAUAUAGUGACAAUUUUUUUUUAAAUUUAAUUUUUAUUUAAUAAUCUUUUUUAGUGUAUAUAAAUAUAUGAAUAAAAAAGAAAAUAAUAAAAUUAUAUCUUACAUAAAAAAUUUAAAAAUAUUUUAUAACAAAUGAAAAUAGAAACUUAAAAAACAUAAUAAACUACUAGAAAAAACCUAUUUAGCGAACAUUUACAUUAGUAAUAAUAAAUAAUACAAUCAUAUCAUAAGUUUUUCAAUGUAGAAUAUGGGGAAUAUAGCCCUACACUUUUCCUUUCAGUUCCCAAGGUGUAGGUUUCCCAUGGCAUGCACAUCAAUUUAAUUUCCAAUGCAAAACUAAAAAUAAAAAGAAACAUCCUUUAUAAUGUUUUUUCAUGAUUGAAGUUUAAUACUUAACCAGUUUUUCACGCAAGUCAACAUUAAAAACAUACAAAAUCAAUUUGAUUUUUAUUUAUCAUUUAAAUAAAGAAUAUUGAAAGGUAAACAGGGAUGCGAAAUGUAACUGAAGGAAAAUUAAGUUAGGUUGGAUCAUAUUGAUUAUUUUUUAAAAUAACAUCUUAAUCCUAUUUAUUCUUAAUAUAUGAAUAGUUUAUCACUUAAAUAUGCCAACACUGGAAUAAAACAAAUUAUAAGGAAACUUGAAAAAUUUAUUUAGGACCAAAACCAACACAUACAAAUUUAUUAAAAGAAAAUAUAAGUAUUAAUUUCACAUGCAAAGUGAAAUAAGAUUUAUCACUUAAUUUCAUUGUAAAAGUCAUAAAGUUUAAAAUCUAUAUCUUAAAAAACUUGAAAUAUAUUAACAUAAUAUAAAAUUUAAGACUCUCGAUAAUAGGACACUGAAUCAUAAUAAAAAAAUAUUUUUCUAUUUUAAAUUUAGCAAUACCAAUCACCAAAUAAGAAACUAAUUAUAGUAUAUGAAUAUUAUAAAAAUAAAUAAUACAUUGUAAAAUCACUAUUACUAUAUAGAUAAGCUACACUUAAAGAAUAUUAAGAAUAUAUUUUUUAUUAAGAUCAAAUCAGAAAAAAAUUAUUAAGCAACAUAAAGAACCAAAAAUUUAAAAUAUUUUUUUUCACAACAUUAAAAUACUAUUUAAUUAAUCUAUUAUUUUCAAUUGUUAUAUAUUUUUAUACUGUAUAUUUGUUAUUAAUCUUAUGUUAUAUCUUACAAUAUUUCUGUUCAAGCUUUAAAUAAAAUAAAAUAAGACAUUUCUAAUAUAUAUAUAUAUAUUUAUAUUUGAUAUUAAAAAAUAAAAAUAGAGUUAAAAUAUAUUAUGUAAUACAAUUUUUUUUAAAUAAUUAAAUGAAACAAAUUUACGAUCUAUCUUAAUUAAAGUAUAGUUCAAAAAUAGUAAAAUUAAUAAAUAUUGUGAAUAAUAUAAUAGUUAAAUAAAUUAUAUAAUAUAAAAGUACGAAAGUAUAAAGAAAAAUAAUAGUAAACUUAUUCUCAAAUCUCUUACCUAUUAAAAGAUACAAAAUAUCACUUUCGGUACAAAAAUUAAAAUUCUAAAAUCAUAGUAUAAAUGAAUAACAAGAUAAAUUAAUAAAAUUGUAUUUUAUAUAAAAAAAAACCUGAUAAAUAUUUUUAAAUAAAUAAAAAACUACAAAUGAAAAAUUUAAAAACAUUACAAACUAUUAAAAAAUUAUUUACCAAACAUUAGUAACAAAUAAUAAAUAAACUUUAAGAAUAAUUUUAUUCCAAAAAUAAUAAUAUUGACCUCUGAAUUUUAUAAGAUUUCUCUCACUGAAAUAUCUUAACAUAAAAAUAAAUAAAUAAAACUUUCGAUUAUAAGAUAUCUUCACAUAAUAUAAAAGAAACGAAAAAAAUCUUGAAUGGUAAAAUUAUAAAAAUCAUUAUAUUGAAAAUAUUUUUGUUAGUUAUGAAACAAAACAUUAUAAUAAAAAUUUGAAUUUACCUGUUUGAGUAAAAGUUGUGAAAAAAUAUAUUAAAAGAAAUAUAACCCAAUAUAAAAAAUAAGACAAAAAAAAUCUUGAAUUAUAAAAAAUCAUUACAUUAUAAAGAUAUUAAAAGAAAUCUAACUGAGCAUAAUAAUACUGAAGAAAAUGUAUACUAAUUAAUACACUGUAGUAUGACUCCUAUUGAUAUUCUCAAAGCUUGUCCUUUCACUUCCCAAGGUUUAGAUUUGCCAUGGCAUGCACAUCAAUUCCAAUGCAAACAUAAAGUCUCUUUAAGCGAUUUGAUACAUUGAGAGAGAUGAGUUAUUCCUAUAAGAAACUGAAGCAUCCAUGCACACUUUGCAUUCUCAACCAUGGCUGAUAUCGUAAGUGGUUUUCCAGACUCAAUCCUUUGCUACAUUCUCUCAUUUCUCCCAACCAAACAAGUUGUUGCAACCAGUGUUCUCUCCAAACGCUGGAACCUUCUGUGGCGUUCCGUUCCCUCUUUUGAUUAUGAACAUCAUGACCCAACUGGUGAUUAUGAGGAUGACCUAGAUGCCUGCUCUGACUUUCUUUACUCAAUGUUCUCCCAUCUGCUUUUGCGUGAUAUGGACAAACCUCUCCAUAGAUUACGCCUUACAUGCUGUUCUGGGUAUAACCAUUAUAGCAUUGAAAUAUGGAUUGAGGCUGCACUGAGAAGAAGUAGUAGACUUGAACACCUCGACCUCAAUGUGUAUAAGGAUUUUGUGGUGCCCUCUGUUGUGUUUAGCUGCAUAACUCUUGUAGUUCUCAAGCUGGCGAACUUAGUGCUGAAAGAUGUUUCCUUUGCUGAUUUUCCCUUUCUUAAAAUCUUGCAUUUGAAUUCUAUUUCUUUCUCAGGAUGUCAAGAUCUUUUUAAACAGUUUCUGUCUGGGAGUCCUAAUCUUGAGGAUUUGGAAGCCAAGAAUUUGGAUUCUAAUCCUGCAGAAAAGGUCAACAGAUUGCCCAAGUUGGUCAGAGCUAACAUCGAUGCACAUAUAGUUCCAUUGGAAAAUGUUAAGAACGUUCAAGUUUUGGUCACAAAUGGGGUAAUGUGUGUAAAUUUGUUUCUCAUUUCUUUUCAUUUUAAAGGGAAAAAAUGAGAUUUCUGAUGUUUUGAUAUAUUUUGUAUCUUUUGCAGAUACAUCCACCAGACCUGGUUUUUUAUUUUUGGAAUUUAGUUAGACUUGAGUUGAACCGUUUGAAGUCUAGUAAGCAAUGUUUUCAGGUUUUGGAAGUGCUCAAGCAUUGUCCAAAGCUUCAAACUCUUUUCAUUAACAUUUGUCAGGUUUAAUGAUUUAAGCUUUCGAAGUUUGUAUCUUCUUGUUAUCUUUGCAUCAAACAUUAGGUUUAAUAUAGUUUUAUAAUUGUUAUUAACAGAAACAAAAUUUAGUUGCUGAAGACGAUGAAGAAGCAAUUUUGCCAUGCCCAGAUCCUGUUCCUGCAUGCAUUUUAUUGCACUUAACAUGCUGUUGUCUUACGAAUUACAGCGGUUCUGCAUUUGAGUUUAAAUUUGCGGAAUAUAUUAUGCAGAAUGCAAAUUAUCUACAGUUCUUUGCAUUCCGCAUUUACAGGAACAAUCCUUCGAGAAGAGAUGAUAUGAUAAGAGAUUUAUCUUCAUGUAAGAAGAUUUCAGAUACUUGUAAACUUGAAUUUGUGUAGUUAAGGUCUGAGCGGUAACUGUGAUGUUUUCUUUUUUUUUUGUAUUUCCAGUAUUAACUUCAAGAAUGUGGAUGUUUAAUAUACUAAUCUAUUUUUCUUCAUCUAAUGGAAGUUUACCGCACAAUUAUCUUUUUUGUCCAGAAAUCUUAUGAAAGUUUUUUUUAGUUUUAAAAUUUUCUUCUUGCUUUAGGAAUUUUCUCAUAUCUAAUUUGCAAUUAUCUUUGUUUGACAUAUAUUAUAUAUACACACGUACAUAUAUGGUUUGCUUUUAUAGUUUUUUGUACUUUUCAUUCUUGAACAGUAUGAAAGGAAAAUGUAAAGAAAUUUAUUGCAAAAAAUCAUAAUUCUGAAUUGGUAUCUGUUGCAAAAAAAACUCAUAAUCUCUCUCUAUAAAUAUAUAUAUAUAUAUAUAUAUAUAUAUAUAUAUAUAUAUGCAAAAUUUGUAUAAAUGAAUGAUGGAGGAUGUGUGUGCAUAUAAGCAGCAUUUCUGAAAUGGCUUUUUUAAUUUUUUUUUUUUUUGAAAAAACAAAAUUAUUAAAAUAAUUGUAUUGCUACUCGAACUACAAAAUUGAAGUCAAUAUUAUAAAUAAAUUUAUAUAAAUUAAUUAAAUAAUAGAUGAAAAGUAAAGAUACAAGCUAUAAAAAGUAAUUUUUUUUUUAAUUUUGAAAAUAAUAUAUAAGUGAAAUUAUAAAUGUUUAAAAUAUCUAGCAAUUAAGAAAACAGAGAGCAUCAGUUCAGACGUGAUUGUUUCAAAUUGAUCAGCACUAAAAAGUAUCCUAUGUACUAAUUCAUGUAUUAGAAGAAGAAAAAAAUUGUCAUAUGACAAUACAUGAAAGAACACCCAAGAAUAAACAACGAUAAUGAAAAAAAUAACAAUGUGUAUGAUGUAAACUAUAUUAAUAUUAAUAAUAUAAAAUAAAGUCAUACAUAAGCAUUAUUUUUAAGUUUAAAAUGAAGAUUUUAUAUCUAAAUGAUAAGAUUUUUUUUCUUUUAAAUUCAAAUACAUAAAAAAAGAAUUAUUAAAAAAAUAUUUAAGUGAUCGAUAUUUAAGGAUAUCUUCUUUCCACUAAUUGAAGGUAAUAAAAUAACGACGUAUAACACACCAUUGCUGUCAGACUUUUAUGCAUUAAAUACGUUUGUGAUCUCAUAUUAGAAAAUAAACAAUUAUUGCUUCACUUUGGGUCUAUCGACCAUAUUCAACUCACCAAAACCAUUGAAUAUAAAACUAAUCAAACAUAAAAUAUGUAUCCAAUGUUGAAAACCCAACCAUCAAUUACUCUUUAUGAUUGGCUGAAUCUGUGAAUGGGACGAAUAAUUGUGGAAUUAAGCUUUUAACAAAGACUCAAAGAAAACCUUAAAGUCAAGUAAUCCUUUAAUUUCUGCAGAGGCAAAAAACUUCACUUCUAAGCUUUAUAUAAAAGUAUCUGUAUUGCCUUAUCAAUGAUGGUAAAACCAUGCAUUCAUCUAUUUCUCUCGGUCUAUAAGAUUUAAAACAAGAAGUUUUAGUUGCUUCUUACAUAGAAGUCUUUUAUUAUUAUUUUUUUUCCAUUUUUUCUCAAUUUUUUUACCCUCUCCAUGAUUUGAUUGGUUUAGUCUAGAUGAAAAAGGUCAUGAUUUAAAGGUACUAUGUUUCAUAUUUUUUCUGCAAAACUAUUUACACUCAAUUUCAAUUGGUUUUAAGAUGAAAUCUAACAUGCCAUUAGAGCCUAUAUACCAUCUUUGAGAGUUGAAUAUUUUGUUAAGCAUUGCCUUUUCUUGCAUGAAUAUAAUAUAUUUGUUGCACUGGGACCCACAACCCUCUUCCCAUUUCAGCAUUUCAUACUUUCAUUGGUUGAGUUGCCAUUAAAGAAAAAGAAAAAUAUGUUCUUAAAGUCAAAUCAUCCUUUCUAACUACUCUUUCCAUCACUCUACCAUUCAUUACUGCACUGAAUCCAUUUCACUUCAUUUCCAACUCCUACCAUGGCAGCAGAAGUUAUUGGUGGUGCUCUUCUUUCGGCCUUUCUUCAGGUUGCAUUCGACAAGCUCGCUUCUCCUCAAUUUCUAGACUUCUUUCGUCAAAGAAAACUUGAUGAGAAACUGCUCACCAAUUUGAACAUCAUGCUGCACUCCAUCAAUUCUCUCGCUGAUGAUGCUGAACUAAAGCAGUUCACAGAUCCACACGUCAAAGCAUGGCUUUUCGCUGCCAAAGAGGCUGUCUUUGAUGCAGAGGAUCUGUUGGGUGAAAUAGACUAUGAACUCACCAGAUCCCAAGUUGAAGCUCAAUCCGAACCUCAAACCUUUACUUAUAAGGUAUCGAAUUUCUUCAACUCUACUUUCACUUCAUUUAACAAGAAAAUUGAAUCAAGGAUGAAAGAAGUCUUGGAGAAACUAGAAUAUCUUGCAAAGCAGAAGGGUGCUCUUGGUUUGAAAGAGUGUACUUAUUCUGAUAAUAGAUUAGGUAGUAAAGUGCUACAGAAAUUGCCAUCAUCUUCUUUGGUGGUUGAAAGUGUUAUUUAUGGCAGAGAUGCUGAUAAAGAUAUAAUCAUUAAUUGGCUGACAUCUGAAAUUGAUAAUUCUAACCAGCCAUCAAUACUUUCCAUUGUGGGCAUGGGUGGGUUGGGUAAGACCACACUUGCCCAGCAUGUAUACAAUGACCCAAAGAUCGACGAUGUAAAAUUUGAUAUGAAAGCUUGGGUUUAUGUUUCUGAUCAUUUUCAUGUUUUGACCGUGACAAGAACAAUUCUUGAGGCAGUGACUGGUAAAACAGAUGAUAGUAGGAACCUGGAAAUGGUUCACAAAAAACUAAAAGAAAAAUUGUCUGGGAAGAAAUUUCUGCUUGUUUUGGAUGAUGUUUGGAACGAAAGACGGGAAGAAUGGGAACUUGUGCAAACUCCUCUUAGUUAUGGAGCUCCAGGAAGUAGAAUUCUUGUCACAACUCGUGGCGAGAAUGUUGCUUCUAACAUGAAGUCUAAAGUGCAUCGCCUAAUGCAAUUAGGAGAGGAUGAAUGCUGGAAUGUUUUUGAAAAUCACGCAUUAAAAGAUGGUGAUCUUGAAUUGAAUGAUGAGCUAAAGGACAUUGGUAGAAGGAUAGUUAAGAGGUGCAAGGGAUUACCUUUAGCUUUGAAAACAAUUGGAUGUCUUUUACGCACAAAGUCAUCCAUUUCAGAUUGGAAGAACAUAUUGGAAAGUGAGAUAUGGGAGUUACCAAAAGAAAACAAUGAAAUUAUUCCAGCGCUAUUUAUGAGCUAUUGUUAUCUUCCUUCUCAUCUUAAAAAGUGCUUUGCUUAUUGUGCCUUAUUCCCCAAAGAUUAUGGGUUUGUGAAAGAGGAGUUAGUUUUGUUGUGGAUGGCCCAAAAUUUUCUGCAGUGUCCCCAACAGAUUAGACAUCCACAACAUAUUAGACAUCUAGAAGAAGUUGGUGAACAAUACUUCAAUGAUCUAGUGUCAAGGUCUUUUUUUCAUCAAUCAAGCGUCGUAGGACGUUUCGUCAUGCAUGACCUUCUGAAUGAUUUAGCAAAAUAUGUUUGUGUGGAUUUUUGUUUCAGGUUGAAAUUUGAUAAAGGCGAAUGUAUACCGAAAACAACCUGUCAUUUUUCAUUUGAAUUCCGUGAUGUCAAAAGUUUUGAUGGUUUUGGGAGUUUAACUAAUGCUAAAAGACUUCGUUCAUUCCUUCCUAUCUCGCAAUAUUGGGGUUCUCAAUGGAAUUUCAAGAUUUCCAUACAUGAUUUGUUUUCCAAGAUUAAGUUUAUACGCAUGUUAUCCUUCCGUGAUUGUUCAUGUCUUAGAGAGGUCCCAGAUUGUGUAGGUGAUCUUAAACAUCUCCAUUCGUUAGAUCUUUCGUGGUGUGAUGCGAUACAAAAGCUACCUGACUCGAUGUGUUUGCUCUAUAACUUACUAAUACUGAAGUUGAACUAUUGUUCAGAGUUGCAAGAAUUGCCCUUAAAUUUGCACAAACUUACCAAAUUGCGUUGCCUGGAGUUGAACUAUUGUUCAAAGUUGGAGGAAUUGCCCUUAAAUUUGCAUAAACUUACCAAAUUGCGUUGCCUAGAAUUUGAAGGUACAGAAGUGUCAAAGAUGCCAAUGCAUUUUGGAGAAUUGGAGAAUCUUCAAGUACUGAGUACAUUUUUCGUGGAUAGAAAUAGUGAGCUAAGUACUAAGCAACUGGGAGGAUUGGGAGGACUCAAUCUUCAUGGAAAGCUAUCAAUCAAUGACGUGCAGAAUAUUAUGAAUCCUUUGGAUGCAUUAGAAGCAAAUGUGAAAGAUAAACACCUUGUGGAGCUAGAAUUAAAAUGGAAGUCGGACCACAUCCCUGAUGAUCCAAGGAAAGAAAAGGAGGUACUUCAGAAUCUACAACCCUCCAAACACUUGGAGGAUUUAAAAAUCUCGAACUACAAUGGUACAGAAUUCCCAAGUUGGGUAUUCGAUAAUUCGUUAUCAAAUCUGGUGUUCUUACAGUUGCAGGACUGUAAACACUGCCUAUGUUUGCCUCCCCUUGGAAUUUUGUCAAGUCUGAAGGACCUUGAGAUUAUGGGGCUUGAUGGAAUAGUGAGCAUUGGUGUUGAAUUUUAUGGGAGCAACUCUUCAUUUGCAUCCUUGGAGAGGUUGGAAUUCCACAAUAUGAAGGAAUGGGAAGAAUGGGAGUGUAAAACUACUUCUUUUCCACGUCUUCAUGAGCUUUAUAUGAAUGAAUGUCCCAAACUGAAAGGUACUCAAGUAGUUGUUAGUGAUGAGCUCACAAUUAGCGGAAAGAGUAUCGACACAUGGCUGCUUGAAACCCUGCAUAUUGAUGGAGGUUGCGACUCUCUUACAAUGUUUCGGCUAGAUUUCUUUCCAAAGCUUCGUUCUCUUGAACUGAAAAGAUGCCACAACAUAAGAAGAAUUUCACAGGACUACGCUCAUAAUCAUCUCCAGCACCUAAAUAUUUUUGAUUGCCCUCAAUUUAAAUCAUUCCUGUUUCCCAAACCCAUGCAAAUCCUGUUUCCGUUCCUUAUGAGUCUGGAGAUAACUGUUAGUCCACAAGUGGAGUUUCAUGGUUUGCCAUUAAAUGUAAAAUAUAUGUCUCUUUCAUGUUUAAAACUUAUUGCCUCCUUGAGAGAGACCUUGGAUCCCAACACAUGUCUUGAAACCUUGCUUAUUCAAAAUUCAGACAUGAAGUGUUUUCCCGAUGAUGUUUUGCUGCCACGGUCUCUCACCUCUCUACUAAUCAAUUCUUGCCUAAAUCUUAAAAAGAUGCACUACAAGGGUCUCUGCCACCUCUCCUCUCUCACACUUCUUGAUUGUCCCAGCCUUCAAUGCUUACCAGCGGAGGGUCUCCCCAAAUCCAUCUCUUCUCUCUCAAUCGGGCGUUGUCCAUUGCUGAAAGAGCGUUGUCAGAAUCCAAAUGGCGAAGACUGGCCAAAGAUUGCUCACAUCCGAGAACUGAAUGUUUGGUCAUAAGAUGAGUCACAAGUUCAAAAUUAGACGUGCACCUAUUUCAAUUUGUCUGCCACUUCAACAGGUUAUAAUUCUCCACAAUAUCUUUGUAUCUUUUUUCUAACAAUUUUCUUAGUUGCAAACGGUAACUCUAUAAUUGCCAUUUUCCAAACAAGAGCAGCACAUGUUAUACUUAAACUGAUGAUAUUUAUUAAAGGAGGCUCUGCUACGAUUUUCAUGAAUCAAUUACUUUUAUUUUAUUCUUAUUUUCGUGCAAGAUUAUUUCAAUUGUUCUGUUGAAAUUAAAUUCCAACCAAAUGUGUUUCCUAUUUUUAGAAUACUACGAAAAUCGUGAAGGUGGUCUGGCAUUUGGCAUCCAUUCCGAACAGAGUAUUCUGUAGUUGGAAGUUAUGGUGGCAUCAUCUUCCUUUUUCUAGCUAUCUAAGUAUAUUUGUUUUCAUAGCCACAUUUUUUCUUCUGACAAAAAAGAUGAACUUAAACUUAAUAAUAGAUCACUGAAGCUAAAUGAUCCCAAAAUAGAAGUCAUGGGUUUUGAGUGGAGGAAAGAUGAAUGGAAACUACUGUGGACAUAAGGGACCUUAUGUAUCUAAGGAACUUGUAAUUGGAAUUUAAAAGUAUUUUUAUACGACUUUUUACUUUAUUAAAAAGCUCUUGUGACAUUCCAUCAAUGAAGACUGAGUUUUACAGAAAACAUAGUAAUAGAAAUAGCUUGAAUAUUGUUCAGAAUAUGAGUGUUAAGCUGCCAAACCCUCAUGAAGUUCUUUGGUGACAACCAAACUGCUAUGCAUAAUGAACCUAAACUGAGAAAAUUUCAGUAAUAUUUUGAAAACAGGGUCUAAUGUGUAAGGCCAUGCAUCCAUCCAUUUUAGUGUUCACCCAUACAAUCUCUUACAAUGAUUGGUAUAUGUCAUUUUACAAUGUCUUCACUUCACUUCUAGUAAUUGCUCUAGGUGUUUUUGAUUACUACACAUUUUUUAUAAUUGCUAUAUGAUCAACACCAAAGUUUAUAUUUAUUAUUUCCUUUUGUAAAAGUCUUGGUUCUGCCUUAAGGCAAUGGAAAAAUGAUUUUGCUAGCAGUGAGGUUCCUACAUUCACUUAAAAUAUACUAUUACUUAUUUGAUAUUUUUAAAGGUCUGUUUCUCUAGUUUCUUUGUGCCUAAAUACAUCUGCUUUGAAUGUAGAGUUCUUCACAAAGCAUUAUCAACUUUGAUGUAAAAUUCACCUAAACACUCUGAAGGCCUUGUUUUUUCUCUUACCCAGGUGUUUUAACUACUACACUUUUUCAACUAUUUAACAAAACUAGCUUGUACCUUUUCCCCCUCCCUCUCGUUACAAAUAGUUUUUCUAUUUUGUGGAAGAAAACUAUUCACACUCAAUGUCAAUUGGUUUUAAGAUGAAAUCUAACAUGCCAUUAGAGCCUAUAUACCAUCUAUGUGAGUUGCCUAUUUUUUUAAGCAUUACUUUUUUUUUUCUAACAUUCCCACUACAAGAAAAUAAUUAAAUAGAAACUAAUUUUAGACACUAAAAAUAAUUAGUUGUUGUAUUAACUAAAUUAGAUACUAGUUUAGAGACUAAAAAAGUUAUUGAUUUCUAAAUUAGUUUCUAUUAUGGAUAAAUAGUUUCUAAAUUGGUAUCUAAUUAACUAACAAGGUUUUAACUACCAAUUAUUUAGAUUCUAAAUUUAGUAGCAAAAUCCAAAUUAUUUAUCUACUGAUUUCUUCUGUGGCUCUUGAUUUUAGAUAAUGAUUUGUUAAGAGCCAAGAUGCUGUGCUAAUCAAUAACCAUAUUGUCUGUUUUACAGUAUCCUGUUCUAUAUCUAGAGGGAGUAGAAGACACCCUCUUCAGCUGGCCCAGGAUUCUUGGGUAGAUGUUGAAUGGAGUCCUUAGUUCUUUAGUGAUCUUCUUCUUAACCACUAAUUCUGUGUUGAAUCAAGCCUUCAGAAGAGAUGGUAAGGUGGUUGAUUUUGAAAUACUUGGGGUCACAAUGUAUACAUGUGUGGUGUGGACUGUGAAUUGCCAAAUGGCACUAUCCAUCAAUUACUUUACUUGGAUACAACAUUUUUUUAUAUGGGGCAGCAUUGUCUUCUGGUAUGUGUUUGUGUUGGUCUGUGGUUACCUCUCUCCAGCAAUAUCCACAACAGCUUACAGGGUUUUUGUGGAAGCAUGUGCUCCUAGUGCUCUAUAUUGGCUAGUAACCCUUUUGGUUGUUGUGUGUGUUCUGCUACCCUAUUUCUCCUAUAGCUCUUUGCAAAGUCGGUUUCUACCAAUGUACCAUGAUAUUAUACAGAGAGAACAAGUAGAAGAGAUUUAAAUUGGGUUAUCAGAUGAUGAGUUACCUAAACAGGUCCAGGGAAAACUAAUACACCUCAGAGAGAAAGAUUGAAGCAAAGGGAGUUGUGAAAUGUAAAUGCUUCUAAACAUACAUUCUUAGACCUUGGAAUUUUAUUUGAUUUCUUUCUGAGUUGGGAAGUGGCAUUGAAGUAGUGAGCAUUGCAAAUAGCUUUUAGUUUUUUAUUUCUUUUCCUCCUGAUUUCCAUUUGUUUAGAAAAUUAGGAGAGGAGAAUUUUUGUAGCAGUCACCUGAUGUAGAUUAGCUGUGUAAAGCUUGAGUAUUUGUUGUAUUUGUUAAGGGAAGAAGCAAUAGAUAUUUUACAUGUUCUAAGAUUAAGAGGGUUUGAUUUUCAAACUGGUGUAUAGUAAAUACAUAUUGGAAGAAAGAAAGUUUAGUAUUUUGGUUAGAUGAGAUAGGACCAUGCUUGUGCUGACUUUAAGAUGAAAGGAAAUCUAAGAAGUAUGAAUAAAAACUCAACAAUAUAAUGAACACUUUUUUCUUUCUUUAUCAUCAAAGAAUUAAAGGAAUUAAAAGAAGGGGUGUUCCAACCAUAUAAAAAAAAUUCAACAAUAUAAUGAACACUUAAAUAAGAGUGACAUAAACAAAAGGCUAAGGUACAUAAACAUGCAUUAAUCCAAAUUGAAUCCAGUUACUAAUUUUGUCCACUUUGGCCAUCUGCAAAGAUUGAACUAAGUAGAUAACUGACACUCCUAAAAAAGAGAAUAAGAAUUUUUAUAGAGAGAGGACAUUGUUGCAACAUGUUAUUAAAAAAGACUUAAAGCUUAAAGAGAUAAUUGUUUUCUGUCUUCACUGUAAUAUAACUGCAGGGUAUGAGGCUAUAAAAUUCUACAACUUGUCAUAGAUAAAUCAAAAUAUCAUGAAAAUCAUCAAUACCACUUAUUUAAAUGGAUUGCUUAACAAUCUCAGGAAGUAAGAUGAAAUUCAAUUAGGAAAUGUUUUUGUAAGAUUGUGACUUCAACUCUCUAAAUUUUAUACACUCGUAAUGUCUUUACAACAGGCACCAUUUCAGAAAAACAACAUUGAAAAUAUUUGCUUAAUAUAUUUUUAGGAAAUCUUUAAGUUUUUUAAAAAUAUCUCUUACAUAAAGAUAAAAAUAUAUUCAUUUAUUAUUUAGAUUUAGGAAAUUCAAAUUGAGAUAUUGUUAAUACUUGAUAUUUUGUUAUAUUUUACUAUAAAUCAAACUCCUCCAUAUCAUAGAUCUUUUAUAUUUUCAAACUAUAUUAAGUGAUUAAUAAAGAGACAAAGAAAGACGAUAAACCAAAUUAAGUGAAUAACGAAAGGAUGCGAAUUAGUACAUCAACUAAAUUUGCACGAGUAUAAUAUAAAUGUUGCAUAAAAGAUAUUAUUUGAAGUCAGAUAUUAUCCAAGCAAUUAAAAUUUUGGUUUCGAACUACUGUCAGAUUUGACUCAUCAUUUAUUAUUUCACCUAAUGAUCAGACAUACAUUCAUGGAUUACAGUUGUGAACAAAUAUUGCAUUGUACUUUCAUUCAUCACAACCCUUGAAUGAAUAUCCAACUGCUCACAUUUUAUAUUGGUUGAGUUGCCAUUAAAGAAAAAGAUGUUCUUAAAGUCAAGUCAUCCUUUCUAACUGAUCAUUAACAUCACUAUAGCAUUCAUCCCUGCACUGAAUCCAUUCACUUCAUUUCCAACUUCUACCAUGGGAGCAGAACUUGUUGGUGGUGCUCUUCUUUCUGCCUUUCUUCAGGUUGCAUUCGACAGGCUCGCUUCUCCUCAAUUUCUAGACUUCUUUCAUGGAAGAAAACUUGAUGAGAAGCUCCUCGGCAAAUUGAACAUCAUGCUGCACUCCAUCAAUGCUCUUGCUGAUGAUGCAGAACUAAGGCAGUUCACAGAUCCAAACGUCAAAGCAUGGCUUUUCGCUGUCAAAGAGGCUGUCUUUGAUGCAGAGGAUCUUUUGGAUGAAAUAGACUAUGAACUCACCAGAUGCCAAGUCGAAGCUCAAUUCGAACCUCAAACCUUUACUUACAAGGUAUCAAAUUUCUUCAACUCUACUUUCAGUUCAUUUAACAAGAAAAUUGAAUCAGGGAUGAAAGAAGUCUUGGAGAAACUAGAAUAUCUUGCAAACCAAAAGGGUGCUCUUGGUUUGAAGGAGGGUACUUAUUUUGGUGGUGAUGGAUCUGGUAGUAAAGUGUCACACAAAUUGCAAUCAACUUUUUUGGUGGUUGAAAGUGUUAUUUAUGGCAGAGAUGCUGACAAAGAUAUAAUCAUUACUUGGCUUACAUCGGAAACCGACAAUCCUAACCAGCCAUCAAUACUUUCCAUUCUGGGCAUGGGUGGCUUGGGUAAGACCACACUCGCCCAACAUAUGUAUAACGACCCAAAGAUCGACGAUGCAAAAUUUGAUAUCAAAGCUUGGGUCUGUGUUUCUGAUCAUUUUCAUUUUUUGACUGUGACAAGAACAAUUCUAGAGGCAAUCACAAAUCAAAAAAAUGAUAGUGGGAACCUAGAAAUGAUUCACAAAAAGCUGAAAGAAAAAUUGUCAGGAAGAAAAUUUCUUCUUGUUUUGGAUGAUGUUUGGAACGAAAAACCAGCAGAAUGGGAAGCUGUGCGAACUCCUCUUAGCUAUGGGGUUCAAGGAAGUAGAAUUCUUGUCACAACUCGUGGUGAGAAGGUUGCUUCUAACAUGAAGUCUAAAGUGCAUCGCCUAAAGCUAUUAGGAGAGGAUGAAUGCUGGAAUGUUUUUGCAAAUCACGCAUUAAAAGAUGGUGAUCAUGAAUUGAAUGAUGAGCUAAAGGAGAUUGGUAGAAGGAUAGUUGAGAAGUGCAAUGGACUGCCUCUAGCUUUGAAAACAAUUGGAUGUCUUUUACGCACAAUGUCAUCCAUUUCAGAUUGGAAAAACAUAUUGGAAAGUGACAUAUGGGAGUUACCAAACGAGAACAAUGAAAUUAUUCCUGCAUUAUUUUUGAGCUAUCGCUAUCUUCCUUCUCAUCUUAAAAGGUGUUUUACUUAUUGUGCCUUAUUUCCCAAAGAUUAUGAAUUUGUGAAGGAGGAGUUAAUUUUGUUGUGGAUGGCCCAAAAUUUUCUACAAAGUCCACAACAUAUUAGACAUCAAGAAGAAGUUGGUGAACAGUACUUCAAUGAUCUAUUGUCAAAGUCUUUCUUUCAACACUCAGGUGUCAAGAAGUGUUUUGAGCAAUCACAUGCUAGGAGGUGUUUCGUCAUGCAUGACCUUCUGAAUGAUUUGGCAAAAUAUGUUUGUGCGGAUUUCUGUUUCAGGUUGAAAUUCGAUAAAGGCUGAUAUAUACCGAAAACAACUCGUCAUUUUUCAUUUGAAUUAUGUGACGUCAAAAGUUUUGAUGGUUUUGAGAGUUUAAUUGAGUCUAAAAGACUUCGUUCAUUUCUUUCUAUCUCACCAUAUUGGGAACCUCAAUGGCAAUUCAAGAUUUCAAUACAUGAUUUAUUCUCUAAGAUUAAGUUCGUACGUGUCUUAUCUUUUAAUGGUUGUAAGAAACUUAAAGAGAUCCCGAAUUCUAUAAGUGAUCUUAAACAUCUUUAUUCGUUAGAUCUUUCGUGUGCUGAGAUACAAAAGCUACCUGACUCGAUAUGUUUUCUCUAUAACUUAUUAAUACUGAAGUUGAACUAUUGUUCAAAGUUGGAGGAGUUGCCCUUCAAUUUGCAUAAACUUACCAAAUUGCGUUGUUUGGAAUUUGUACAUACAAAAGUAACAAAGAUGCCAAAGCAUUUUGGAGAAUUGAAGAAUCUUCAAGUACUGAGUACAUUUUUCGUGGAUAGAAAUAGUGAGCUAAUUACUAAGCAACUAGGCGGAUUAGGAGGACUCAAUCUUCAUGGAAGGCUAUCAAUCAAUGACGUGCAAAAUAUUUUGAAUCCUUUGGAUGCAUUAGAAGCAAAUGUGAAAGAUAAACACCUUGUGGAGUUAGAAUUAGAAUGGAAGUCGGACCAUAUCUCUGAUGAUCCAAGGAAAGAAAAGGAAGUACUUCAGAAUCUACAACCCUCCAAACACUUGGAGCAUUUGUCAAUCUGGAACUAUAAUGGUACAGAAUUCCCAAGUUGGGUAUUCGAUAAUUCGUUAUCAAAUCUGGUGUUCUUAAAGUUGGAGGACUGUAAAUACUGCCUAUGUUUGCCUUUCCUUGGAAAUUUGUCGUCACUGAAAACCCUACGAAUUAUAGGGCUUCAUGGAAUAGUGACCAUUGGUACUGAAUUUUAUGGGAGCAACUCUUCAUUUGCAUGCUUGGAGAGUCUGUCAUUCUACAAUAUGAAGGAAUGGGAAGAAUGGGAGUGUAAAACUACUUCUUUUCCACGUCUUCAAGAGCUUUGUGUGGAUAAAUGUCCCAAACUGAAAGGUACUUAUUUAAAGAAAGUAGUUGUUAGUGAUGAGCUCACAAUUAGCGGAAACAGUAUAAACACAUCGUCGCCAGAAACCAUGCAUAUUGAUGGAGGCUACGACUCUCUUACAAUCUUUCGACUAGAUUUCUUUCCAAAGCUCCGUUCUCUUGAACUGAGAGACUGCCAAAACCUAAGAAGAAUUUCACAGGAGUACGCUCAUAAUCAUCUCAUGGAUCUAUGUAUUUAUGAUUGUCCUCAAUUUAAGUCAUUCUUGUUUCCCAAACCCAUGCAAAUCCUGUUUCCGUCCCUUACCACGCUUCAGAUAACUUUUUGUCCACAAGUGGAAUUGUUCCCAGAUGGAAGUUUGCCAUUGAAUUUAAAAGAGAUGUCUCUUUCACGUUUAAACCUUAUCGCCUCCUUGAGAGAGACCUUGGAUCCCAACACAUGUCUUGAACGCUUGUCUAUUGAAGAUUUGGACGUGGAGUGUUUUCCUGAUGAAGUUUUACUGCCACGCUCUCUCACCUCUCUACUAAUCCAAUAUUGCCCAAAUCUUAAAAAGAUGCACUACAAGGGUCUCUGCCACCUCUCCUCUCUCACACUUCUUGAUUGUCCCAACCUUCAAGCCUUACCAGCGGAGGGUCUCCCCAAAUCCAUCUCUUCUCUUACAAUCUGGGGUUGUCCAUUGUUGAAGGAACGUUGUCAGAAUCCAGAUUGCGAAGACUGGGGAAAGAUUGCUCACAUCCAAGGACGGCAUGUUUGAUCAUAAGAUGAGUCCCAAGUUCAAAAUUAGACGUGCACCUAUUUCAAUUUGUCUGCCACUUCAACAGGUUCUAAUUCUCCACAAUAUCUUUCUACCUUUUCGAUUACAAUUUUCUUAGUUGCAAACGGUAACCCUAUAAUUGCCAUUUUCCAAACACGAGCAGCACAUGUUAUACUUAAACUGAUGAUAUUUAUUAAAGGAGGCUCUGCUACGAUUUUCAUGAAUCAAUUACUUUUAUUUUAUUCUUAUUUUCGUGCAAAAUUAUUUCAAUUUUCUGUUGAAAUUAAAUUCCAACCAAAUGGGUUUCCUAUUUUUAGAAUACCACGAAAAUCGUGAAGGUGGUCUGGCAUUUGGCAUCCAUUCCGAACAGAGUAUUCUGUAGUUGGAAGUUAUGGUGGCAUCAUCUUCAUUUAUCUACCUAUCUAAGUAUAUUUGUUUUCAUAGCUACAUUUUUUCCUUCUAUCUUCUUAUAUCAUGCUACUACAGUUUCUGACAGAAAAAAUGAACUUAAACUUAAUAAUAGAUCACUGAAACUGGACAAAAAAUUAUCCCAAGAAUGAAGUUAUGGGUUUUGAGUGAGGAAAGAUGAAUGGAAACUGCAGUGGACAUAAGGUACAUGCUGUAUCUAAGGAACUUGUAAUUGGAAUUUGAAAGUAUUUUUAAACCAAUUUUUUCUUUAUUAAAAAGCUCUUGUGAUAUUCCAUCAAGAUUUUUAAACAUUAAAAGAAGUCUUGUGGUGUUCAAUCAGACUGAGUUUUACAGAAAAAUUAGUAAUAGAAAUAGCUUUGAAUAUUGUCAAUGCUUGGGUUGUCAAAACAUAUAAUCACAUCUACAUAUGCAGGUGUGCAACAGGCUGAGGGAAGACAACAUUAUCUAUCAGCAAUGCUCAGAAUAAGCUGCCAAACCCUCAUGAAGUUCUUUGGUGACAACCAAACUGCUAUGCAUAAUGAACUAAACUGAGAAAAUUUCAGUAAUAUUUUUAGAACAGGGUCUAAUGUAUUUGUUUAUGGAAGAAGGUUUAGAUAUUUUAAAAUAGAUUUUACCUGUGACAGCAUAAAACCAAGACAAAUAAAUAGACUAAAAUAUUAUGCAAAGUACUAAGCCAUGUACCAAAUACUAUGCCAGGCACUGAUAAUGCUGCAUGCUAUAAUUAUAUAAACCAGGACAAUCAAACUUUUCCCCCAGCACUCAUUAUGCCACUAACUCUCUAGAACAAACAAAAACUAGAUGAAAUUAAGGGUAAAAGAUUUCAAACCAGAUAUGAAAUUUGAAUGAAAGAAAUUCAACAGUUCAAACGUGAUUGUUUGAAAUUCAGCACAAUAGAUAUUAAAGAAAUAAGACCCUUUCCUUCUCCAUGCAUUGUUUCCUAAAUAUAUAUAUAUAUAUAUAUAUAAAUAUAAAAGGAAAAUUAUGACUGCUAUGUUAAUAUCAACAUGUUUGCUCUAUAAUUUAUAGUAUUUGCUGAUAAAAAAAAUGUUUGCUCUGUAAUUUGGCUAACGAGUAAGAUGAAACACCAGUUAAAGAGGUAAUCCUAUAUACUGAUUCUUGUAUUAGAAGAAGAAAAAAAUUGUCAUAUAACAUAAUACAUGAAAGAACUCCCAAGAAUAAACUAUAAUAAUAUUAAUAAUAUAAGAUAAUAGUCUAUCCUUAUAAAAGGAAAAAAAAAAAAAGCAGAACAAGGUGACAAGAUGGAGUGCAGAAGGUUAGUGGAAAAAGAUGACUUCUGUCUUGUAACCUUAAUUAACUCAAAACAAUUAGUUAAAGAAUUGAAAUUUGGAUGCAACUUUCUUGCAAUCUUUCGGGUAGAUUUCAUUCCGGAGCUCCGUAUACUCCUUCUGAUAAAUUCGAAAUAUUGAUAGCUAAUUAGAUACUAAUUUAAUAAUUAUUUAAUAAUAAUAAAAAAAUUUAGAAAUUAAAAAAAAAUUAAUUUCUAAAAUGAUAUCUAAUUUAGUUAUUAUUGUAAUUAAUUAUUUUGAUAUCUAAAAAUUGAUUUUUAUGUCAUGAGUUUUUUAGUGUUCUACUUUAUAUAUUGUAUAUGAAAAAAUAAAUCAAACUCCUCCUUAUCAUAUAUCUUUUAUAUUUUCAAACUAUAUCAAGUGAUAAAUAAAGAGCCAAAGAAAGACCGAUAAACUUACCAAAUUAAGUGAAUAAGGAAAGAAUGCGAAUUAGUACAUCAACUAAAUUUGCAUGAAUAUAAUAAUUGUUGCAUAAAAGAUAUUAUUUGAACUCAGAUAUUAUCCAAGCAAUCAAAAUUUUGGUUUGGAACUUUUGUCAACACUUUUCUUCUCAGAAACAGUCAACAAUUAUUGCUUCAUUGGGGCCCACAACCCUCUUCCCAUUCGUUCAUUCAUUAGAACCCUUGAAUGAAUAUCCAAUAGCUCACAUUUUCUAUUGGUUGAGUUGCCAUUAAAGAAAAAUAUGAUCUUAAAGUCAAGUCCUCCUUUCUAACUACUCUUUUCAUUCAUCACUGUAUCAUUCAUUCCUGCACUCAAUUCAUUUCACUUCAUUUCCAACUCCUUCCUACCAUGGCAGCAGAACUUGUUGGUGGUGCUCUUCUUUCGGCCUUUCUUCAGGUUGCAUUCGAUAGGCUCGCUUCUCCUCAACUUCUAGACUUCUUUCGUGGAAGAAAACUUGAUGAGAAGCUUCUCGACAAUUUGAACAUCAUGCUUCACUCCAUCAAUGCUCUCGCUGAUGAACUAAAGCAGUUCACACAUCCACACGUCAAAGCAUGUGUUAGCAUUAAACUCAGCCUUCAGCCGUAAUUAGUUUUAUUUUAGCAUCUGAAUAGCCAAUAAUUAUUAUCUUUAAUUCUAGUUUUGAAUGUCAUUUAUACUAUGAUUUAAAUGUAAAUUAUAGUAUAGGUUUUAUGAGAGAGAAGGUAGAAUUUUGAGAAGUCUAUUGUAAGACUAUUUAGAGAGAUUGUAUUCUUAUUUGAAAAACAGUAGUGAAAUAAAAUAUAUAUUUCCUGUUCACAAAUAUCUUGCUCUGUUUUAUUCCCUCAACACCAACAAUUGGUAUCAUAGCUAUUUUCUUGAGGGAUCUGUGAGGUUAGUAGAGUGCACCAAUGGAAGGAGGAUCAAAUUUUUCAACAAUGGCACCACCUGUCUUUGAUGGAGACAAUUAUCAAAUGUGGGUUGUUCGUAUGGAGACUUACCUAGAAGCAUUGGAUUUAUGGAAAGCUGUAGAAGAGGACUAUGAAAUUCAGUCCCUUCCAAAAAAACCCUACGGUGGCACAAAUAAAAUCACAGAAGGAAAAAAAGAUAAAGAAAUCAAAGACAAAAGCAUGUUUAUUUGCAGUUGUAUCUCCUAUGGUAUUCACAAGGAUAAUGUCCUUGGAGUCAGCAAAAGAAAUAUGGGAUUACCUCAAGGCAAAAUAUGAAGGUGAUGAGAGGAUUCGUGGAAUGCAAACUCUGAAUCUAAUCAGAGAGUUUGAAUUGCAGAGAAUGAAGGAGUCGGAAUCCGUAAAAGAGUACUCGGACAAACUUCUAAGCAUUGCCAACAAAGUGAGGUUGCUUGGAUCUGUGUUAAAAGAUUCAAGAAUUGUGGAAAAACUGCUUGUAACAGUUCCAGAGAGGUUUGAAGCCACCAUAACAACCCUGGAGAACACAAAGGACCUAUCAAAGAUUUCUCUUGCAGAGCUCUUAAAUGCUUUACAAGCACAAGAACAAAUGAGAGCCAUGAGACAAGAUGGAGCAAUAGAAGGAGCCUUACUAGUCAAACAUGAAGGUGGAUGGNNNNNNNNNNNNNNNNNNNNNNNNNNNNNNNNNNNNNNNNNNNNNNNNNNNNNNNNNNNNNNNNNNNNNNNNNNNNNNNNNNNNNNNNNNNNNNNNNNNNNNNNNNNNNNNNNNNNNNNNNNNNNNNNNNNNNNNNNNNNNNNNGAGCAACAAGAUGUAGAUGCUCAAAUUGCAAAUGAGGAGGAGGAUGUACUUUUCGUUGCAACUGGUUUUUGCAGCAAUAUUUCAAGUGCAUCUUGGUUAAUUGACAGUGGCUGCACCAACCACAUGACACAUGAUAAGGAACUCUUCAAGGAAUGGAGAACUACUGAUAUUAAAAGGGUGAGGAUUGGAAAUGGUGCAGUAAAAGGAAAAGGCACAAUAGCUAUCACAAGCUAUAAAGGUAUAAAAAUCAUUACAGAUGUUCUUUUUGUGCCAGAGAUUGAUCAAAAUCUUUUGAGUGUUGGUCAAUUGUUGGAAAAAGGCUAUAAGGUGAUGUUUGAAAAUAAACAUUGUUUAAUCAAAGAUGUUGAUGCCAGAUAUUUGUUUAAAGUUGAAAUGAAGGGAAACCGAGACUGCCAAAUCCAAUGGAGGAGGAGCACAUUGCCUUAAAAUCCAAAGAAAAUGUCACAGAAAUUUAUGUACCUGACUUGAAGAAUAAUAUUCUCGGUAUGGGAAAAUUAUUGGAGAGUGUUGAAGCAAAAUUUGAUAACCUGGAAAAAAGGUUUACAAAAUUGGAAGAAAAAUAUGUUGAUAUGGAGAAAGACAAGGAAAGUAGAGUCAAUCAAGUUGAAGAACUCCAUUUGUUGCUUUUGGCACAAAAAGAAAAGGUGAAUGAAUUACAAUUCAAAUUAAAAGCCCCUUUUGGUUCAUGUGUUUUACUUGAAAAUAAUGGUUUUGACUUAGGAGAAGACCAUAAAUGGAAUGGUGUUGAGACAUCAUCUGAAAGGGAAAUAUGGUAUAAUCAUUAUCUUCGAAGCUCAUUGAAGUCAAAGUCUUUCUUAAAUCCUUUUUAAUUCAAAGGGUGAAAGUGGAAAGAUUUUGUUUGGAAAAUUAAAAGUAAUUCAAUUCAAAAUUAUGCACGGAUUGAUGCAGUGAAGAAAAAUAUUGGAGGCAGUGUGAGCGAUGACAAUCAGAAAAGCAACAAUCUGAAUGAAUAAUAUGAAAUGUUUGAGUUUAAGGGGGAAUUUGUUAACAUUAAACUCAAAGCCUUCAGCCGUCAUCAAUUUUAUUUUAGCAUCUGAAUAGACAAUAAUUAUUAUCUUUAAUUCUAGUUUUGAAUGUCAUUUAUACUAGGAUUUAAAUGUAAAUUAUAGUAUAGGUUUUAUGAGAGAGAAGGUAGAAUUUGAGAAGUCUAUUGUAAGACUAUUUAGAGAGAUUGUAUUCCUAUUUGAAAAACAGUAGUGAAAUCAAAUAUAUAUUUUCUGUUCACAAAUAUCUUGCUCUGUUUUAUUCCCUCAACACCAACAACAUGGCUUCGUGCUGUCAAAGAGGUUGUCUUUGAUGCAGAGGAUCUUUUGGUGAAAUAGACUAUGAACUCACCAGAUGCGAAGUCGAAGCUCAAUCCCAACCUCAAACCUUUACUUACAAGGUAUCGAAUUUCUUCUACUCUACUUUCAGUUCAUUUAACAAGAAAAUUGAAUCAGAGAUGAAAGAAGUAUUGGAGAAACUAGAAUAUCUUGCAAAGCAAAAGGGUGCUCUUGGUUUAAAAGAUUGUACUUAUUCAGGUGAUGGAUCAAGUAGUAAAGUGCCACAAAAAUUUGGUGGUUGAAAGUGUUAUUUAUGGUAGAGAUGCUGACAAAGAUAUAAUCAUUAAUUGGCUCACAUCUGAAACCGACAAUCCUAACCACCCAUCAAUACUUUCCAUUGUGGGCAUGGGUGGCUUGGGUAACACACUUGCCCAGCAUGUGUACAAUGACCCAAAGAUCGAAGAUGCAAAAUUUGAUAUCAAAGCCUGGGUUUAUGUUUCUGAUCACUUUCAUGUUUUGACCGUGACAAGAACAAUUCUUGAGACAGUGACUGAUAAAACUGAUGAUAGUAGGAACCUAGAAAUGGUUCACAAAAAACUGAAAGAAAAAUUGUCAGGAAGGAAAUUUCUUCUUGUUUUGGAUGAUGUUUGGAACGAAAGACGAGAAGAAUGGGAAGUUGUGCGAACUUCUCUUAGCUAUGGGGCUCCAGGAAGUAGAAUUCUUGUCACAACUCGUGGGGAGAAAGUUGCUUCCAGCAUGAGGUCUGAAGUGCAUCUUCUAAAGCAAUUACGAGAGGAUGAAUGCUGGAAAGUUUUUGAAAAUCAUGCAUUAAAAGAUGAUCUUGAAUUGAAUGAUGAGUUAAUGAAGGUGGGUAGAAGGAUAGUUGAGAAGUGCAAGGGAUUACCUCUAGCUCUGAAAACAAUUGGAUGUCUUUUACGCACAAAGUCAUCCAUUUUAUAUUGGAAAGUGACAUAUGGGAGUUACCAAAAGAACACAGUGAAAUUAUUCCUGCGAUAUUUUUGAGCUAUCGCUAUCUUCCUUCUCAUCUUAAAAGAUGCUUUGCUUAUUGUGCCUUAUUUCCCAAAGAUUAUGAGUUUGUGAAGGAGGAGUUAAUUUUGAUGUGGAUGGCCCAAAAUUUUCUACAAAGUCCACAACAGAUUAGACAUCCAGAAGAAGUUGGUGAAGAGUACUUCAAUGAUCUACUGUCAAGGUCUUUUUUUGAACAAUUAGGUGCCUAGAGACGUUUCGUCAUGCAUGAUCUUCUGAAUGAUUUGGCAAAAUAUGUAUGUGCGGAUUUCUGUUUCAGGUUGAAAUUUGAUAAAGGUCGAUGUAUACCGAAAACAACCCGUCAUUUUUCAUUUGAGUUACGUGACGUCAAAAGUUUUGAUGGUUUUGAGAGUUUAAUUGAUGCUAAAAGGCUUCGUUCAUUUCUUCCUAUCUCAAAAUUUUGGGAAAUUCAAUGGCAUUUCAAGAUUUCCAUACAAGAUUUGUUUUCCAAUAUUAAGUUUAUACGCAUGUUAUCUUUCUGUGGUUGUUCAUUCCUUAAAGAGGUCCCGGAUUCUGUAGGUGAUCUUAGACAUCUCCAUUCGUUAGAUCUUUCGUGGUGUGAUGCGAUACAAAAAGCUACCUAACUCGAUAUGUUUGCUUUACAACUUACUAAUACUGAAGUUGAACCAUUGUUUAGAGUUGGAGGAAUUGCCAAUUUUCAUAAACUUACCAAAUUGUGUUGUCUGGAAUUUAGAGAUACAAAAGUCACAAAAAUGCCAAUGCAUUUUGGAGAAUUGAAGAAUCUUCAAGUACUGAGUACAUUUUUCGUGCAUAGAAACAAUGAGCUAAUUACUAAGCAAAUGAGAGGAUUGGGAGGACUCAAUCUUCAUGGAAGACUAUCAAUCAAUGAAGUGCAUAAUAUUUUGAAUCCUUUGGAUGCAUUAGAAGCAAAUGUGAAAGAUAAACACCUUGUGGAGCUAGAAUUAGAAUGGAAAUCAAACCACAUCCCUGAUGAUCCAAGGAAAGAAAAGGAGGUACUUCAGAAUCUACAACCCUCCAAACACUUGGAGCGUUUGUCAAUCUUGAACUAUAAUGGUACAGAAUUCCCAAGUUGGGUAUUCGAUAAUUCGUUAUCAAAUCUAGUGUUCUUAAAGUUGGAGGACUGUAAAUACUGCCUAUGUUUGCCUUCCCUUGGAAUUUUGUCGUCACUGAAAACCCUACAAAUUGUAGGGCUUGAUGGAAUAGUAAGCAUUGGUGCUGAAUUUUAUGGGAGCAACUCUUCAUUUGUAUCUUUAGAGAGGUUGAAAUUCCACAAUAUGAAGGAAUGGGAAGAAUGGGAGUAUAAAACUACUUCUUUUCCACGUCUUGAAUGGCUUUAUGUGAAUGAAUGUCCCAAACUGAAAGGUCUUCAUUUAAAGAAAGUAGUUGUUAAUGAUGAGCUCAGAAUUAGCGGAAACAGUAUGGACACAUCGCCGCUUGAAACAGUAUGGCUCAGCUACUUUUUCAUGAAUCAAUUACUUCUAUUUUACUCUUAUUUUCGUGCAAAAUUAUUUCAUUUUUUCUGUUGAAAUUAAAUUCCAACCAAAUGUGUUUCCUAUACUUAGAAUACUACGAAAAUCGUGAAGGUGGUCUGACAUUUGGCAUCCAUUCCAAACAAAGUAUUUGUUUUCAUAGCCACAUUCUUCCUUCUAACUUCUUAUUUCAUGCUACUACAGUUUCUGACAAAAAAAAGUGAACUUAAACUUGAUCAUAGAUCACUGAAACUAAACGAUCCCAAGAAUGAAGUUAUGGGUUGAGUGGAGGAAAGAUGAAUGAAAACUUCAAUGGACACAAGGGACAUUCUGUAUCUAAAGAAUCAAGACUUUUAAACAUUAAAAUAAGUCUUAUGGUGUUCAAUCAAGACUGAGUUUUACAGAAAAAAGAGUAAUAGAAAUAGCUUGAAUAUUGUCAAUGCUUAGGUUGUCAAAACAUUAUCAUCACAUCAGCCAAAAAAUACAACAGCCUCAGGGAAGACAACAAACUGCUAUGCAUAAUGAACCUAAACUGAGAAAAUUUCAGUAAUAUUUUGAAAACAGAUUCUAAUGUGUAAGGCCAUGCAUCCAUGCCUUUUAGUGUUCACCCACACAACGUUGUCAUGCUCCAAUUUUAGUUUCCUUAAUAUUCUGAUCUUGAGACUCAAGCAAAUAAAUGUAACACAACUGUCUAAUAGAAAAACAACUUUAUACUCCAUUGGUUCAGUAGUGUGAGUUAUUGAAAACCUUCUGCUACUUGUGUUCGAUUCCAACCAUUAGGAAAAACAAUCAUACACUUGCUAGUUAGUACAAUUAAUGCAUGAGUUCAACUAAAUAAAAUAAAUACCUGGGAUGAGAAAUAUCUUAAUUAUAAUUUUUUUUAUCGACAAUGAGUAAAUAAAUUAAAAGAUGGGUAAGAUUCUAUACCUCAUUUGCUAGUCACCUGCUACUAUUUAUGAUGGAUACACUCAUUCUUUCUUGAUUUUUAAGUUAAUGAUUUAAAUGGAACAAUGUGCUAAUGCUUUUGUUUCUACCUUAUUUCUUCUACAGGUCUUCCAAAGUUGGUUUGUAGCAGUGUAUCAUAAAUUAUAAUGAGAAAAUAACUACAAGGGCUUGAAAUUGGGUUCUGAUGAGGAAUUGGAAUGUGAAGCAAACUGUUUUGUUGAACCUCUUAGUGGGUCUAUUUGCUUUUAAAUUUGUCUUUAAAGGAAUAAAAUAGAACCCACUUUUCUUAUUUGCAGGCUACUGUUUCAAUUAGAAUUUUGCCACUUUCAAGGACUAAAAGUUUAAGGACUCUCUGAACAGCAACAACAAACUUACAGAAGUGUAAAGUUUCUUGUUGACCAAGUAUUGUCUUGUAUAGUUGGAGAUAAAAAGUGAUUAUUGGAAGCCAACAACUCUCUAGAAAUCUUGUAUAUUUAGAGUCUUUUUUACCAAUGAAGAUUUUCUUCGACUCCCUCUCACUUCGCUAAAUACAUGUGAUUGUGCAUGUCCAGACUCAUCACUCCCUCUCUCAGAGGCAUGUUACCACUCAGGCCUUCUAAAUUUUGAUUAAAUAUAUUUAAUACAAAAAUGUUCAAAAUAAUCUCCAAGUAGUAUUACCCUUUUUGGUCAGAACUAAAAAACUAAUCUCUUGUGAUAUAUUAAAGAGAUAAUCACUUUUGAUACAUUUUUUUGGUAAGUACGAAUUUGAGAUCAAAUUUUUGACCACAUAUUUAAGAGAGAAAGUUACAUGCUAAAUAUGUCACACUCUGUAGUUCUGUUAAGUUGUGAAUGUCAAUGGAAGACUUUGCUUCAUUUCUUCCAUAACCUUCCAGUAAACACAUCUUUCUCCUAAAUUUAUUUCUACACUUCUUUUGUAGAAGAAAGUUCGAUGAAGCACUGUUCAUAAAAUUAGUAAAGCUGAGUACUUGAACCAAAAGAGGCACAUGUAUUUGUUAAUGGAAGAAGCUUUAAAAAUUUUACAAUAUAUUUUACAUGUGCCAGCAUAAAACAAAACCAAUUUAUCCUCGUCAACAGUGAACUGAACUGUUAAAACUUGAAAUACAUAAAAAAACUGUUAAAAAAUUAUAUAUGGGUAUCUUCUUUCCACAAGUUGAAGCUAGAGAUAGAACAAGAAAAUAAAGACGUAUAACACACCAUUAUUGUCCGACUUUUAUUCAUUAAGUACGUUUGUGAUAUCAUAUCAGAAAAUAAACAAUUAUUUCUCGACUUUGGUUCUAUCGACCUUAUUCAACUCACAAAAACCAUUGAAUAUAAAACUAAUCAAACAUAAAAUAUGUAUCCAAUGUCUGAAACCCAACCAUCAAUCACUCUUUAUGAUUGGCUGAAUCUUUGAAUGCAACGAAUAAUUGUGGAAUUAAUCCUUAAGAAAGACUAUAUUGGCUGAGUAGACAUCAAAGAAAACUAUGUUCUAAAAUACUUUACUACUCAUCCUAUCAAUACAAACUGCAUUUCAACAUACUGAUUUCCAUCCUUCCAAUCAUUUUCCAAUUCCUGCCAUGGCAGCAGAACUUGUUGGUGGUGCUCUUCUUUCAGCCUUUCUUCAGGUUGCAUUCGACAGACUCGCUUCUCCUCAAUUUCUAGACUUCUUUCAUCGAAGAAAACUUGAUGAGAAGCUUCUCUGCAAUUUGAACAUCAUGCUGCACUCCAUCAAUGCUCUCGCUGAUGAUGCUGAACAGAAGCAGUACACAGCUCCACACGUCAAAGCAUGGCUUUUUGCUGCCAAAGAGGCUGUCUUUGAUGCAGAGGAUCUGUUGGGUGAAAUAGACUAUGAACUCACCAGAUGCCAAGUCGAAGCUCAAUCCGAACCUCAAACCUUUACUUACAAGGUAUCAAAUUUCUUCAACUCUACUUUCACUUCAUUUAACAAGAAAAUUGAAUCAGGGAUGAAAGAAGUCCUGGAGAAACUAGAAUAUCUUGCAAAGCAAAAGGGUGCUCUUGGUUUGAAAGAGGGUACUUAUUCUGAUGACAGAUUCGGUAGUACAGUGUCACAGAAAUUGCCAUCAUCAUCCUUGGUUGUUGAAAGUGUUAUUUAUGGCAGAGAUACGGACAAAGAAAUCAUACUUAGUUGGCUCACAUCUGAAAUCGACAAUCCUAGCCAGCCAUCAAUACUUUCCAUUGUGGGCAUGGGUGGCUUGGUUAAGACCACACUCGCCCAACAUGUGUACAAUCACCCAAAGAUUGAUGAUACAAAAUUUGAUAUCAAAGCCUGGGUCUGUGUUUCUGAUCAUUUUCAUGUUUUGACGGUGACCAGAACAAUUCUUGAGGCAAUCACUAAUAAACAAGAUGAUAGUGGGAACCUAGAAAUGCUUCACAAAAAAUUGAAAGAAAAUUUGUCAGGAAGGAAAUUUCUUCUUGUUUUGGAUGAUGUUUGGAACGAAAGACGAGAAGAAUGGGAAGCUGUGCAAACUCCUCUUAGCUAUGGGGCUCCAGGAAGUAGAAUUCUUGUCACAACUCGUGGUGAGAAAGUUGCUUCCAACAUGAGGUCUAAAGUGCAUCGCCUAAAGCAAUUAGGAGAGGAUGAAUGCUGGAAUGUUUUUGAAAACCACGUAUUAAAAGAUGGUGAUAUUGAACUGAAUAAUGAGCUAAAGGAGAUUGGUAGAAGGAUAGUUGAGAAGUGCAAUGGAUUGCCUCUAGCUUUGAAAACAAUUGGAUGUCUAUUACGCACAAAAUCAUCCAUUUCAGAUUGGAAAAACAUAUUGGAAAGUGAAAUAUGGGAGUUACCAAAAGAAGACAAUGAAAUUAUCCCUGCGCUAUUUCUGAGUUAUCGCUACCUUCCUUCUCAUCUUAAAAGGUGUUUUGCUUAUUGUGCCUUAUUCCCCAAAGAUUAUGAGUUUGUGAAGGAAGAGUUAAUUUUGUCGUGGAUGGCCCAAAAUUUUCUACAAUGCCCACAACAAAAAAGGCAUCCAGAAAAAGUUGGUGAACAGUACUUCGAUGAUCUACUGUCAAGGUCUUUCUUUCAACCAUCAAGUGUCGAGAGACAUUUCGCAUGCAUGACCUUCUGAAUGAUUUGGCAAAAUAUAUUUGUGCAGAUUUAUGUUUCAGGUUAGGAUUUGAUAAAGGAAAAUGUAUGCCGAAAACAACUCGUCAUUUUUCCUUUGUAUUCCGUGACGUCAAAAGUUUUGAUGGUUUAGGGAGUUUAACUGAUGCUGAAAGACUGCGUUCAUUUAUUCCAAUUACACAAAUUGGGAGAAAUUUUUUUGGCAGUUUUGCAUGGCAAUUUAAGGUAUCGAUACAUGAUUUGUUCUCCAAGAUUAAGUUUAUACGCGUCUUAUCUUUUAAUGGUUGUUCGAAAAUUAAAGAAGUCCCACAUUCUCUAGGUGAUCUUAAACAUCUCCAUUCGUUAGAUCUUUCGAAUACUGGUAUACAAAAGCUACCUGAAUCGAUAUGUUUGCUUUAUAACUUGCUAAUACUGAAGAUGAACUAUUGUUCAGAGUUGGAAGAGUUUCCCUUAAAUUUGCAUAAACUUACCAAAUUGCGUUGUCUGGAAUUUAAAUAUACAAAAGUGACAAAGAUGCCAAUGCAUUUUGGAGAAUUGAAGAAUCUUCAAGUAUUGGAUACGUUUAUCAUUGAUAGAAAUAGUGAGGUCAGUACUAAGCAGCUGGGAGGACUUAAUCUUCAUGGAAUGCUAUCAAUUAAAGAGGUGCAGAAUAUUGUGAAUCCUUUGGAUGCAUCAGAAGCAAAUUUGAAAAAUAAACACCUUGUGGAGCUAGGCUUAGAAUGGAAGUUGGACCACAUCCCUGAUGAUCCACGAAAAGAGAAGGAAUUACUUCAGAAUCUACAACCUUCCAAUCACUUGGAGAAUUUGUCAAUCAAGAACUACAGUGGUACAGAAUUCCCAAGUUGGGUAUUCGAUAAUACAUUAUCAAAUCUGAUAUCCUUACUAUUGAAGGACUGUAAGUAUUGCCUAUGUUUGCCUCCCCUUGGACUUUUGGCAUCACUAAAGAUCCUCAUAAUUACAGGGCUUGAUGGAAUAGUGAGCAUUGGUGCUGAAUUUUAUGGGACCAACUCUCCAUUUACGUCCUUGGAAAGGCUGGAAUUCUACAACAUGAAGGAAUGGGAAGAAUGGGAAUGUAAAAAUACUUCUUUUCCACGUCUUCAACAUCUUUAUCUGGAUAAAUGUCCCAAACUAAGAGGUUUGUCAGACCAACAUCUUCAUUUAAUGAGAUUCUUGAGCAUUAGUUCAUGUCCACUUGUGAAUAUUCCCAUGACCCAUUACGACUUCCUUGAAGGUAUGAUGAUUGAUGGUGGUUGGGACUCUCUUACAAUCUUUCUGCUAGAUUUAUUUCCAAAGCUCCACUCACUUCAUUUGAUAAGAUGCCAAAACCUAAGAAAAAUUUCACAGGAGCACGCUCAUAAUCAUCUCCGGUCUCUAGAAAUUAAUGAUUGCCCUCAAUUUGAAUCAUUCCUUAUUGAAGGAGUAUCUGAAAAACCCAUGCAAAUCCUUACUCGAAUGGAUAUAGAUGAUUGUCCAAAAAUGGAGAUGUUCCCAGAUGGAGGUUUGUCAUUAAAUGUAAAAUAUACGAGUCUUUCAAGUUUAAAACUUAUCGCCUCCCUCAGAGAGACAUUGGAUCCCAACACAUGUCUUGAGAGCUUGAAUAUUGGAAAGUUGGAUGUGGAGUGUUUUCCGGAUGAAGUUUUGCUGCCACGAUCUCUCUCCAAACUAGGAAUCUAUGAUUGCCCAAAUCUUAAAAAGAUGCACUACAAGGGUCUCUGCCACCUCUCUUCUCUCACACUUAUUAAUUGUCCCAACCUUCAAUGCUUACCAGAGGAGGGUCUGCCAAAAUCCAUCUCUUCUCUUGUAAUCUUGGAUUGUCCAUUGCUAAAGGAGCGUUGUCAGAAUCCAGAUGGCGAAGACUGGAGAAAGAUUGCUCACAUCCAAAAACUGAAUAUUGGGUAAUAAGAUGAGGCAUAAGUUCAAGAUUAGAUGUGCAGUUAUUUCCAUUUUUCUUCCACUUCAAGAGGUGCUAAUUCUCCACAAUAUCUCUUUACCUUUACAUUUACAAUUUUCUUAGUUGCGAAAAUUAUUAGUAAGUGGAUUUCUAAUACUUACUAAUCGUUCAUUCAUACUAUCUUUUUUUACAGUAUCCUUCUCUAUAUCUGGAGGGAGUAGAAGAGACCCUCUUUAGAGAUCUUACUCUUGACCACGAUGCUUUCUAAGGUGGCUGUUUUUAAAAUACUUAUGGUCACAGUGUGUUGUGUGGACUGUGAUAUUAUAAGUCUUUCCAAAGUCUGUUUCUACCAAUGUGCCAAGAUAUGAUAAAGAGAAAAAAAGUAGAAGGGUUUGAAGUUGAAUUAUCAGAGGAUGAGUUACCUAAACAAGUCCUGGGCAAACUCCUACAUCUGAUAGAGAGAUUGAGGCAAUGGGAGUUGUGAAAUGUAAAUGCUUCUAAGCGUCCAUUCUUAGAACUUGAAAUUGUACAUGUUUUUCUUACUGAGUUAGAAAUAGCAUUCAAGUUGUUUGUGAGCAUUGCAUGUAACUUGUAUUUUUUAUUCCUUUUGUUUCCAUCUAUUCACUGUAUAUAAAAAAAAUGUUCUGGUUAGAACUGAUGUCAACUGUUGAAACCAAAUUUUCUUUCAUUUAUCUCAUAUGCUUGGAUAAAGACAUGCAUAUCCAUCAUCUUUCUUUCGAAACUUAUGUGGCGUCCAUACCAAAAUACAGAAAAAGGUAGUGAACUAUAUUACUUCAUGAUAAUAACUGGAUCAGAAAAUGGUGAAAGAAGAACUAUUUAUUGAAUGUACGUAAAUUGAAUCAUUGGUUUUUGAGAGGCCUUCAUUACCCUUUAUCUUAGAAUGUAGAUUUCAGUAUAACUCAAUUCUACAAAAACUGGUUUACAUUAAUAUGUUGAUCAUGAUAGACUUUAUUUUUCCUGUACUUCAAUAUUACCUACAUGGUUCUAGCUCCCUGUCAUUAACAAUUUUUCUCAACUAUUUUCUUUCUCAUCUUUGUCGUUGAUGGUUUUAUGUAAAGUAUGGAUCCAACGGUUAAUAUGUGUUCAAUUUCUUCUCUCUAAUGGAAGCCAUAGGAAAGAAAUCAUUCAUUCAUCUUUUUAAUAUAACAGUCAUGAAACAUGUGUAUGAAACAGGUAUAUAUCAAUUUAGUUUCUUUCACUAUAGUUUGUUUAUAAAAUGAGUGGUGGUAGGAGUAUAUCAGUAGCAGAGACCUGUUGAAGAUUAUAAUAAUAUAAAUAAUUGAUAGUUAAAACUUUGGUAGCUAAUUAGAUAUCAAUUUAAAAACUAAUUAAUAAUAAUAGAAACUAAUUUAGAAACCAAAAAUUUUUUUAGUCUCUAAAAUGGUCUCUAACUUAGUCAUUAUAGUAAUUAAUUAUUUUUUUCUCUAAAAUUAGUUUCUAUUCUUGUAAUGUGAAUUAAUGAAAUUUCAACACAAAUUUUCUCUAAAUAAUGCUUUCCAAAUUGAAUAUAUAGUUGUUUCAAUUAUUUAAAACAAGUUUACAGAACAUCAAUACCAAUACUUAUCUAGGAAACACCAAACACCAGCUACCGUAGGGUUGUAAUUUUUAUAAAUCACAAAUUUACUGCACCGUGAAACCAUAUCCAUCACCAAUUUCUUAUGCAAUGCACACAAUAAUUUUAACGUUGUCCUCAAGUCAAAUCAAACAAUAAUUUCUAUCAAGCACAUAAACCCAAGAACUUCAAUUGUAACCCAUCAAAGAUCAAAACUAGAAAUUUUAUACUUCAUCACAGAGUUUGAUAACAAGAUUGGACUGAACUGUGAGAUGAGAUGCACCAGCGACUACCAUAAUGUUCAAUGGUUUAAACCAUUCAUACAGUAAAUUGGACAGAAACAAGAAUUGUUACUCACUACGAAAUAGUUCAAUUUCCAAUUACACAGUGAAUGAAUCAAAAUUAAGUAUAAUUUUUGCUCUACACACGCAAAAGUUCCAGCAAUCACCAACUCAAAAGGAGUAAAAAUUGUGCCACUUUAAAUUACUGUUUUGAAAAUUCAAUGACACAAGAAAAAUAUUGCAUUGACUUCAACUACAAUAACGAAGCAUUUAUACAAACACGUCAUUUGCAGUUUAACCAACACGCAAAUGUUUGAAUUAUCAACUCUUCAACGAGUCAACACAAAAAUAAUUUGAUCAAUGACACACAAAAAUCACAAAUCUCCCCAUGCAAUUUAGUGGAAAUUUUCGUGCAUAUUACAUUCAUAUCAACGAAAAGAGGCAAAUAGAAAUUACAAUUUCCAUACUCACAUCGAAUUCACUAGAACAAAUGACAGUAUCAUCGUUGAGUAAUUCCAAGCACGCAAACUAAUUUUUUUCUCCAAAAGUCGAUUUUAUGAAUUGAAAACUCAUGAUAUUUAAAUAUUAUCAUAGACACUAGGUGUAUAAAACUUAAAUCUUUAAGACAAAACAAAACCAAAAAAAUAUUUAAAAGACAUUGUCUAAUAACAUAAUGAAUUGAGUAUUACACACAUUUAUUUGCAAUUGUAGCUGCAUGGGUUAUGCAGAUUACUGCAUCCAUUAUUGAUUAUUGAGGGACUAUCAUGUACAAAAGAAACACUAAUCCAAACCUAGAAUUAACAUUUAAGCACAAAAUCUGAACUCUUUAUUCCUUUAUCAAUUCAUAAAUAUAAGAAUAAAACGAAGAAUCAUUCUUAUUUAAAAUUAAUUUCUUUUAUUAGCUGAAAUAAAACCCUAAUCCAAACCUAGAAUUAACAUAAGCAUAAAAUUUGAACUCUUAUUCCUUUAUCGCCUCCACAAAGCUCUUAAAGUUCUCAUAAGAUGUACCUCCUUUUGCUAUGUUGUUCAUCACUUUCUCCUUCAACACCACACACCUAAAUCUUAUGUUCUCAUCAUUAAAUAAUUGUUCCACUUUGGUUUUCAACUCUCCCCGUGAAACAACCCCAUUUUGAUCCUUGUCAAUCCCCAACCCAACCUUUAACUCAUCACAAAUAUGUGCUUUGUUGUAAAGUUGGUCCCCAAAGUAUGGCCAACACAAGAAAGAUACCCCAUUGGACAAACCUUCCGUGGUAGAAUUCCAACCACAAUGAGUGACAAAACAUGCUAUGGCAGGGUGGCUUAAAACCUUUUGUUGAGGAGCCCAAUUCACUAUCUUACCCUUAUGCCCUUGGAAUUCAUGAGGGUAUGCCAUUUUAUUGUCUUCUCUUAUAACCCAAAGAAAAGGUCUAUUAGUGAGAUCUAGUCCAACGGCAAGUUCAUUGAAUUGGUUUUGGUCAAAAAGAGUGAUACUACCAAAGGCAACAUACAACACAGAACCAUCAGCUUGUUCAUCUAGCCAACUCAUGCAAGAGAGAUCUUCUUUCCAGAAUUGUCCCAUUGAUUUUGUAGCUGCACUUUUGUUAUGAUCAUUAUCAUUGCUUCUCAACAAUGGCCCAAUUGGGAUGAUCUUGGGAAGAAAUAAUAAUGUUCCAGGUUCAAGUUCAUGUGUGGUGUUGCAAAGCCACCACUGUGUCAAAUGUAAACUUCGUAAGCAAUGCAGCAGAUACUUACGCACUUUCUUACCAGUUGUUAGGUCACCGAUAUUCAACCAAAAAAAGUCUUCUGUAUCCAUCUCAGGCAUACUUGGAGAAAUCCGAAUUCUCUUUUUGGUGGUUGAUGUUAAACCUUCAGUGAAAAACCAACAAAAGAACAUUAGCUUAUACAACGUAUAAAUUAAAUUAUAAAUUAUGUUCAAACUUAACAAUACCUAAAUCAGAGUCUAUAACUCCCUCAUCAAUAAGCACAGGGAUGCUGUACACCAAGGUGAAAGUAGCUGCUGAUGCAGGACCCAACACAGCUCCUUGGAUUCCCAGUUUACUCCCAACAUCCAAAGCCCAAGCCAUGCACAAAUCAGCAACAAUGAAGUUGAUUCUCUUCUCACCUUUCACAUGAAUAUCCUCUAUCAACUUCUCAAGUGCUUCUGGCAUGGUUUUUGGAAAGACAUCAUACAGCUUGGCCAGAUCGUUUCUGUCAUCAUCAGGUCCUAAACCAUCAGGGAUUGAAACCAACUUCAGAAGUGAUUCUUCUUCAUCAGGGCUAGAACUAUCUUGUUGCUCCACCAUGGAACUCACCACUCUCCUGUGGUUAAAGUCUGUGUUCACAAAAAUGACUUUGCAUCCAUUCUCAAUCAGCUUCUGUGAGAAGGUCAUCAUGGGAUUCACAUGCCCUUGUGCUGGAAGUGGUAAAGCUAGCACAGUUGGAGCUCUCAUGUUCAGUGUUUCUAUUUGGUUUCUAUUGAUUUUGAUUUCUGAGGCUAAUUAUGCAUUCAUCAGUUCAUGUAUAUAGGCACAACCCCUCACACGUAUUUACCAAGCAAUUACAAAUCUAGAUCAUGAUCACUCUAAAUUUUCUGCUAUCACAAAUUUCUUGUAAGCAGAAAUGUAGAAAGUUUGUGUGGUCACAUCAAUAAUUUUGUCAUUCUAUACCUCUUUACUUUUCCUUGUACUUCUCUGAUUGGACUUCAGUGUUUUUGUCAUUAAACUUUUGCUUUUUUACUUUAUUAAUUGAUUCAGCAUUAUGCUGUUAUUUCAUUACGAGAAUUAUUAAUUACAGUAAGAAAUAUCUCUUUUAAUUUGAAUCAAUUUGAAAGGAAAGGUAAUAAAUGAAAAUUUCCAAAUAAUAAACUACAUUUUCUAAGGUUGAGGUACAAAUAUAAAGGUUAAAAAUGGAAAUAUACAAUUUUCUUUCAUUACCAGAAAUAUUGCAUAUAGUGUGGACCUAAGACUAGGACAUAAAGAGGUAAACACUGAUCCUACAUAGUUGUUAGUGUCGGCAACAUAGUUGUUAGUGUCGGCAACUGUCUUAUUAAAAAUAAAAACACUACAAGAAAAUCAUAAAAUAAAAAUCAAUUUUUAGAGAUCAAAAUAAUUACUUACAAUAGGAACUAAAAUAGAGACCAUUUUAGAAACUAAAAAAAAAUUGAUUUCUAAAUUAGUUUCUAUUAUUUUCUAUUAUUGUUAAAUAGUUGUAUCUAAUUAGCAACUAAAGUUUUAACUACCAAUUAUUUAGUUUCUAAAUUUGGUCUCUAAAACUUUGGUUGCUAAUUAGAUACCAAUUUAGAAACUAUUUAACAAUAAUAUAAACUAAUUUAGAAACUAAAUUUCUUUUUAAUUUCUAAAAUGGUCUCUAAUUUAGUUAUUAUUGCAACUAAUUAUUUUGGUUUCUACAAAUUGGUUUCUAUUUAAUGAUUUUAUUCAAGUGAAACUAAUAUAAAAUAAAAACUGAUGCAGAUUGAAUCAGCUAAAUCAAUGCAAGUUUACGUUGUGUAUAUUAAUUAAAAAUUAAAAUGAAUUAGACGGACACAAAUUAAACUGGAUAAAAAUAGAUUUAAUUUUAGUAUCGUUUUAGCAGAUGUAUUUUUUAGAAAUAAAAAUAAUAUUACGUAGAAAAUUAUUAAAUAUAAAAUAAUUUUAAAAAAAUUAGUUACUAUAGUAAUUAAAUUAGAGAUUAUUUUAAAAAUUAAAAAAAUUAUUAGUUUUUAAAUUAGUUUUUAAUAUUGAUAAAUAAUUUUUAAAUUAAUAUCUAAUUAGUUAUUAAGGUUUUAACUAUUAAUUAUUUAGAUUCUAAAUUUGAAACCUCGAUGAUUAAUUAAAUACCAAUUAAAAAAUUUAUUUAUUAAUAAUAGAAAAUAAUUUAAAAACUAAUAAUUUUUGUUUUUAAUUUUAUUACUAUAACAACUAAUUAUAUUUUAUUUUUAAAAUUGAUUACUAUUUAGUGAUUUUUUUUUACGGUAAAUAAUAUAUAAGUUAGUGUGUUAUUGGUCGAUGGAAUAUUAGACGCUGGCUGGUAUAUGUAAUUUGGAGUCUAUUUGGAAAUGAAAUUUGAACUUGUUUUCUCAAAUUAAUGCCAGAUUAUAUUUGAACUAAAUUUUAAUUAAUUCAAAUUUAAUUUGAGUGAAUAUAAUACUUGUGAUUAAUUAUAAUAAAGAAAUAAAUUUACAAUAAUACUAAAUUAUUUUAAGAAUUAUAUUAAACAUAGUUGCAACUAAUUUAAAGUUAUAGUCCAAAUUCUAAAUUGAAAUAAAUAUUAAAAUUAAACUAUAACAUGUGCUCUUGUUAUUGGAAUCCAAAUCAUAAUUGAAAUUGGACUAUAAUGUAUAUGUCUUGUAAUCCUAAAUAAAGUAGAAUGAAAAUUUAAGGAUAGUUAUAACAAUUCUCAUGCAGACAUAUGAGUUUUAACAAAGAAAUCAGAUUUGAUACUUCCAUCGCAUCGUUAGAAUUCAAAGAAAUAAUAAAGAAUGUAAUGUAUAAGUGCGUUUGUCUUUAUUGGAAUGGAGAGGAUUCCCACCAAUGCCAAAAGGGCAUUUGUUUUGAUGGGAAUGAAUAUGAUUUUCUCCAAUUAUAGGAGGACAUUUGUCAACCUCUAAUUUGAGAUGAUUUGCUCUAAUUAGAGAGAGUCACAUGUCCUUCUAUGACGGGAGAGUUUUUAGGAUUAAAACUUACACUUUGGUUGCACAUAACACUAUAAAUACAAUAGCUAGCCCUCUUGUAAAGGAGUUUUGAAUAGAUUAUUGAAUUGCUGCCAAAUUUCAGCCCCAACUAGUCUCUUAGCUCACUCCUCGCUAGCCUUAUUUGUAAGUGGUUAGCAUAGAAGUUCUUAGGAGUUGGUCUAACUUCUCUUAAGCUUCAUUAUUAUUCUCUAUACACCAAUAUUUCAGAGGUUCUUUCACUCAUUUUAGUCACCAAAUUUCACAUCUCAAAAGAUAUAAAACAAAAGAAACAAAGUCAUAUGCAAGCUAGGAUUGCAUCACCUAGUACCCAAGUGGUUAGAUCUAUGGCCACAAAGUAAGCAAUAUGUGCUUGAUAGAAUAUUCUCUUGUGAAUUAGGGUUUAAGCUGUUUAGGUAUUUGGAUGUAUGACACACAGACAGUGGGUUUAGGAACUAGUAAAAAAAGGUUGUCUGAAGAGGAUAAAUAUGUGGAAAUGAAAUAUAAAAGAAAAGCUAAAAUCUCUAAACAAAACAAGUGUGUGGAACAAAAGAUGUGUUUCGGCAAAUGCUAAGAAAAAUGGAAGAGUGUGUCCUAAAAAUUAGUGAGUUGGACAUAAAGGGAUGAACACUAAAGUUCAUAUGAAGCUUGUAGAACAGAAAGAAAAAUAUAUAUUUGCAUCUAACAUCAUAUCUUUCGAAUAAAGAGUGACUCUAGAGUAAGAAAAAUUGAACAAUAUAAGACAAUAUGAAUUUUUUUCAAGGACGAAAAUAUAAAAAAAAGACUCUAAUCGAUGACUUAGUUUAACAUAUAUAGUUGUCAUUUACAACUACUAUGGAUAAAGAGCAAUUAGAAGAUUACAAUAUUUACAAAGAUAAUAUUAUUAAAAUAUAAACCGAAAUUCACAUAAUUAAGAACAAGUUUAAAUUUAAAAAAUCUUUAAUUUUGAUAAUAACCAAUAAUAUUAUAUUUUAAUUAAAAGAUAAAAUUCGACGGUGUGUCUCAGCUCACCAAAUUUUAUCACAAUUGAAAAGCUCAUUGGUGACCUUUUACCCUUUAAUAUCGACCACCUACUUUACUUUUUUUGUUGGAUCAAUCAAUUAUUAGGAUAUUAAUAAUUGGAUUACUGGUAAAUAUUUAGACCACAAAGAUUUAUAUAAUUUUUUAUUUUCUCCAAGAUAGAGCCUUGUUUCUUGCCGUGUCAUAUAUGUGUCCCUUGUUACCAAGGGAUGGUUUUGCUAUUUUUGGAUGCUUUGAAGCCUUUAAAAAGACCUUUUCAACCAAACAAAAAUAGCCACAGAAUUACAUAGAGAAAAAAUGUUUGCUGAAGUAUUUAUAGAAAGAAAAUCAUUAGAUAAAAAAUAAAAAAUAGCUACGGAAUUACAGAAAAAAAAAAUAUUUACCGAAAUAUUUAUGCAAGACAAAAAAAUCAUUAAAAAAUAAUUUUAAAGAUAAAAAAUAGUUAAUUUAUUAUAUUAAUUAAAUUAUAUACUAUUUUAGAUAUUAAAAAAAAUUAUUGAUAUUUAAAAUAGUUUCAAUUAUUAAUAAAUAGUUUUUAUUAUUGAUAAAUAGUUCCAAAAUAUCACUAAAAAAAAUAUGAAAUAGAAAUCAAUUUUUAAAAAUCAAAAUAAUUAGUUACAAUAGUAACUAAAUUAGAGACCAUUUUAGAAACUAAACAAAAAUUUGAUUUUUAAAUUAGUUUCUAUUAUUGUUAAAUAGUUUCUAAAUUGGUAUCUAAUUAGCAAGGUUUUAACUACCAAUUAUUUAGUUUUUAAAUUUGAUCUCUAAAACAUUGGUUGCUAAUUAGAUACCAAUUUAGAAACUAUUUAAUAAUAAUAAAAAUUAAUUUAAAAACUAUUUUUUGUUAGUUUAUAAAAUAGUCUCUAAUUUAGUUACUAUUACAACUAAUUAUUUUGGUUUCUAAAAAUUGGUUUCUAUUUCAUGAUUUACUUGUAGUGUAUUUAAUUAUACUAUAAGAAAAUCACAACCAAAUUUAGGAACAAAAUAAUUAAUCACUAUAUUAACUAAAUUAGAUACUAUUUUAAAGACUAAAAAAUUAUUAAUAUCUAAAAUGAUUUUUAUUAUUAAUAAAAAAUUAUAAAAUAAUUUUUAAAUUGUUAUCUAAAUUAGCUACCAAAAUUUUAUCUACUAAUAUUUAAUAAAUAUGAAUUAUUGAAAUGAAGCAACAUCAAGUUAAUUAUCAUUUCAAUGCAUGGUACCACUUUAUGUAAAAUGAUUUCAUCUUGCUCGUUAAUUGUAUCAAUCAAACAACUUAAUUCAACAGUUGAAUCCAACACUUAAAUGCAAAAUGAAUCAAAUUCAAGUUGGCAACUAAAGUCACUUGUUGAACUCAAAAAAGUUUCAGAAUUAUAUAAGAGUGCCAACUAAGGACAUCUUCCAUGCAACAAAGAAAUUUAAACACUGAUUGCAAACCAUAAAUGCUAAAACUAAAUUAAUGAAAUUGCAACACAAAUUUUCACUUAAUAAUAUUUUCCAAAUUGAAUAUAUAGUUCCUUAAAUUAUUUAAAACAAAUUUACAGAACAUCAAUACCAAUACUUCUCUAGAAAACACCAAACACCAGUUACCGUAGGGUUGUAAUUUUUAUAAAUCACAAAUUUACUGCACCAUGAAACCAGAUCCAUAACAAUUUAUGUAAUGUAAACAAUUAUUUUAACUUUGUCCUCAAGUCAAAUCAAACAGUAAUUUCUAUCAAGCACAUAAACACCAAGAACUUCAAUUCUAAACCAUCAAAGAUCAAAACUGGAAAUUUUAUACUUCACCACAGAGUUUGACAAUAAGACUGGACUGAAUUGACAGAGUUUGACAAUAAGACUGGACUGAAUUGUGAGAUGACGUACACCAACAACUACCAGAAUGUUCAAUGGCUUAAACCAUUCAUAGAGUAAAUUGGAUAGAAACAAUAAUUGUUACUCACCACGAAACAAUUCAAUUUCCAAUUAAACAGGGAAUGUAAUCAAAAUUAUGUAUAAUUUAUGCUCUACACACGCAAAAGUUCUAGCAAUCACCAACUCAAAAGAGUAAAAUUGUGCCACUUUAAAUUACUGUUUCGAAAAUUCAAUGACACAAGAAAAAUAUUGCACUGACUUCAAUUACAAUAAUAAAGCAUUUAUACCAACACGUUAUUUGCACUUUAACCAACACGCAAAUGUUUGAAUUAUCAAUGCUUCAACGAGUCAACACAAAAGUAAUUUGAUCAAUGACACACAAAAAAAUCACUAAUGUCCCCAUUCAAUUUAGUGGAAAUGCUCGUGCAUAUUACAUUCAUAUCAACAAAAAGAGUGAAGAGAAAUUACAAUUUCCAAAUUAACACUACAAGAAAAUCAUAAAAUAGAAAUCAAUCUUCAGAUACCAGAAUAAUUAGUUGCAAUAGUAACUAAAUUAGAGAUUAUUUUAAAAAUUAAACAAAAAAUUGGUUUCUAAAUUAGUUUCUAUUAUUUUCUAUUAUUGUUAAAUAGUUUUUAAAUUGAUAUCUAAUUAGCAACCAAAGUUUUUUAGACCAAAUUUAGAAACUAAAUACUUGGUAGUUAAAACCUUGAUUUAGUGUAACCUCAAGGAAGAAGCGUGUAAAAUAGAGUUACAAGUGAAGAAUGGUGAAGAGUGAAUGUCACCAUGCGCAGGAGUUUAUAAAAGAAAAAUAUUAAAAUACUUUACUGUGAUUUUAUGAAAAAACCACGGACACUUACCAAAGGUUUAAAAAAAAUGUGUACUAUGUGUAUGUCUUAAUAGAAAUUAUAGUAACAUUAAGUAAUAAACCUCUCCUAAAAUUAUAAAUUUUUGUAAUGCCUAAACUAGCAUAUUUGUUGAAGAUGACCAAAUAAGAAAACUAGGAGUUGGAAAGGAAGUGAAAGUUCCAUUAAUUAUACUCAUUUUGGAAAUAAAAUUUAAUACUCAUUAUGUUUCAAUUCUAUUUCUAUAUGAUAUAACUAUAUCUAUUUAAAUAUGUAUUAAAUAACUUUUAAAAAAAAGUAAACUUAAAUCAAAAUGAUAUUAUUUAGAAUUCAAUUUAAAAUGUAUUUCUUUAAUAUCAAAUAACAGUUAUUAUGAAGUGGGUUUGCACCCUCUCAUACCAUAUUACGAAGUGGACUUUAAGUCUAACUCAAAGCCAUAAAACCGGCUCAAUGGGGUGAGGUUUGCACCCACUUAUAUACUAUGAAAGGCUCUAAUCUCUAAUCGAUGUGGGAUUGCACCCACUUAUAUACUAUGAAAGGCUCUAAUAUCUAGUCGAUGUGGGAUCUCCAACAACAGUGAAAAAAUUAUAAUAAUAUAAUAUUCAAAAUAAAGUACUAAAUAAAAUAAAAUUAAUUUUAGAAUUUAAAAUAGAAGGUGUAUAGGAAUGAGACGAAUAUCUAUUUAGAUAUCUUUAUCAUUUUAGUGAAACGACGGGAUUACAAUGGUAGAAAAAUACCCAAGGAUAUUUAUGGAUUGAAACUAAUAUGAAAACACAUGCUAGAAAAUGGAAUAACAAUAUAUGAGAGUUCAAGUGGAGGAAAAAUUGGUUUUGAAUGGGGAAGGCUAUGGUAGAAGCGUUUAAGACAGAUUUAACAAAAAUUAAGCCAAAUAAAAAUAUUGACAUAUGUAGAAAUUCUUUCGUAUAUUCUGAAAACAUAGGUACUAGUUGUAUAAAGUCUAAAUCCUUAGGACAAAACAAAGCCAAAAAAACAAGCAAAAGACUCUUCAAAUUGCAACAAAUAAAAAUUAUUGUACAAUAUUCCUUAUUCAUAAAUGCAUCAUGUCGAUCUAAGUGCAUUUGCAUUGUCUAAUAACAUAAUUAAUAACAUAAUAAAUUGGGUAUUACACACAUUUAUUUUGGCAAUUUUAGCUGCAUGGGUUAUGCAGAUUACUGCAUCCAUUAUUGAUUAUUGAGGAACUAUCAUGGUACAAAAAAAGACUAAUCCAAACCUAGAAUUAACAUUUAAGCACAAAAUCUGAGCUCUUAUUCCUUUAUGGCCUUCACAAAGCUCUUAAAGUUCUCAUAAGAUGUUCCUCCUUUUGCUAUGUUCUUCAUCACUUUCUCCUUCAACACCACACACCUACAUUUUAUGUUCUCAUCAUUAAAGAUCUGUUCCACUUUGGUUUUCAACUCUCCGCGUGACACAACUCCAUUUUCAUCUUUGUCAAUUCCCAACCCAACCUUUAACUCAUCACAAAUAUGUUCUUUGUUGUAAAGUUGGUCUCCAAAGUAUGGCCAACACAAGAAAGGUACCCCAAUGGACAAACCUUCCAUGGUAGAAUUCCAACCACAAUGAGUGAGAAAACAUGCUAUGGCAGGGUGGCUUAAAACCUUUUGUUGAGGAGCCCAAUUCACUAUCUUACCCUUAUGCCCUUGAAAUUCAUGAGGGUAUGCCAUUUUAUUGUCUUCUCUUAUAACCCAAAGAAAAGGUCUAUUGGUGAGGUCUAGUCCAAGGGCAAGUUCAUUGAAUUGGUUUUGGUCAAAAAGAGUGAAACUACCAAACGCAACAUACAGCACAGAACCAUGAGGUUGUUCAUCUAGCCAACUCAUGCAAGAGUCAUCUUCUUUCCAGAAUUGUCCCAUUGGUUUGGUGGUUGCACUUUUGUUAUUAUCAUUGUCAUUGCUUCUCAACAAUGGCCCAAUUGGGAUGAUCUUAGGAAGAAACAACAAUGUCCCAGGUUCAAGUUCAUGUGUGGUGUUGCAAAGCCACCACUGUGUCAAAUGUAAACUUCGUGCACAAUGCAGCAGAUACUGAAGCACUUUCUUACCAGUUAGGCCACCCAUAUUCAACCAAAAAAAGUCUUCUGGGUCCAUCUCAGGCAUACUUGGCGAAAUCCGAAUUCUCUUUUUCGUAGUUAUUGUUAAACCUUUAGUGAAAAACCAACAAAAAUAAAAAAAAGCUUAUGCAGUAUACUACAAAUUAAAUAAAAACUAAUAUUGAAGAUAAGAAAAAAAUUAUUCAAUUACCAAGAUACCAGAGACUUAAAAAAAAAUUAUAUUAUUAAUAUCUAAAUAAUUUUUAUUAUUAAAAAAAUUAUAAACUAAUUUCUAAAUUAGUGUAUAAUUAAUUAUUAAUGUUUUAGUUAUGUACUAUAUUUUAGUUAAUAAUUAAAUAAAUAUUAAUUUAUAAAUUAUAUUAAUAAUGUAAAUUAUUUUAAAUAUCAGUAAUUUUUUAAUCCUUGAAAUAAUAUUUAAUUUAGUUAAUAUAAUAGUUAAUUAUUUUUAUUUGUAAGAUUGAUUAUAUAAAUUAAAUUAAAUUAUAAAAUAAUUUCUAUAAAUUACUUUCUAAAUGAAUUAAUUUAACUAAUAAAAAAAUUUACGUCAUUAUUUUCUGUUUAGAAAUUCUUGUGAAAAGAAAUGUUCAAACAUAACUCUAACAUAAUAUUCUUACCUAAAUCAGAGUCUAUAAUUCCCUCAUCAAUAAGCAUAGGGAUGUUGUACAGCAAGGUGAAAAGAGUUGCUGAUGCAGGACACAACACAGCUCCUUUGAUUCCCAGUUUACUGCCAACAUCCAAAGCCCAAGCCAUGCACAAAUCAGCCACAAUGAAGUUGAUUCUGUUCUCACCUUUCACAUGAAUAUCCUCUAUCAGCUUCUCAAGUGCUUCUGGCAUGCUUUUUGGAAUGGCCUCACACAGCUUGGCCUGAUCGUUUCUGUCAUCAUCAGGUCCUAAACCAUCAGGGAUUGAAACCAACUUCAGAAGUGAUUCUUCUUCAUCAGGGCUAGAACUAUCUUGCUGCUUCACCAUGGAACUCACCACUCUCCUGUGGUUAAAUUCUGUGUUCACAAAAAUGACUUUGCAUCCAUUCUCAACCAACUUCUGUGCGAAGGUCAUCAUGGGAUUCACAUGCCCUUGUGCUGGAUAUGGUAAAGCUAGCACAGUUGGAGCUCCCAUGUUCAGUGUUUUUGUUUGGUUUCUAUUGAUUCUGAUUUCUGAGGCCAAUUAUGCAUUCAUCUGUUCAUGUAUAUAUAGGCACAGCCCCUCACAUUAAAAACGUUAAUCAAUGGCCUCACUAUAUCAUAAUCACGUAUAUACCUACCAAUUACAAAUCUAUGUCAUGAUCAGUCUAAAUUUUCGGCUAUCAUACUAACUUCUAUGAAUAAGAAAUGUAGAAUGUUUCUCUGUUCACAUCAGUAAUUUAUUCAUUCUAUAUCUUGUCACAUUUCCUCGCACUUUCUCUGAUUCGACUUUUCCUGUUUUUAUCAUUAAACUUUUGUUUUUCUACUUUGUUAAUUGAUUUAGCAUUAUGUUGUCAUUAAACUAAGAGAAUUGUAUAAUUAUUGUAAAAAAUAUCUUUUUUAAUUUGGAUGUAUUUGAAAGGGAAAGGUAAAAAAUGAAAAUUUGGAUGUGAACACAAACGUUCUACAUAGAAACUUUCUACACAGAAACUUUCCACAUUUCUAAAAUUUGACAAGUACAUAUAAACACUAAAAGUGGAAAUAUAGCAUUUUUUGGGUUCCAAGAUUCCUCUGAUAAAAUAUUCUGUUUUUUUUUUUUUUGUCUCUAAUCAGUUUUAAUUCAUAGGCCAAUUAGCUUUUUUUUUUCACCCAUGUAUGUAUAUAAGACACAAUUUUACUCUUUCUAAUUACUCAUUUUGAAUAAUAUUCUGCUUUUCAUACGAGCGUUUCUUCUCUUCUCUGUUCUUCUCCGCUUCUUUGUUUUUGUCAGAAUCAUCAAAGAUUUCUUUUUCUUUUUCUAUAAUUGUCAUUAAUAUUUUGUAAUAUGGUCUUAAAACUCUUCAUCGUGAAGGGCUCUGUUGUGCGCACUCUGAUUCCUUCUUCAUUCUUGAUAUUUCGUUCUUUCGCAAAUUUUUCAAUAUUUUUCUCUUUUUUUUUUUUACUAAUGAGUUUCUCUUUUGCAUUUUUGAAGUUGGUCUCAAUGAGUACAAAAAAUCCUGAUCGAAGCAAAAACCCUAACCCUAACCAGAAUAAAAAUCCCAUUCAAAGUGACAAUCUUGCUCACAACUUCUUAUACUUCACUCGAGUGAAAACCCUGCAACUCCUCUCGUAUCUAGUUCUUGAUUUGACAAAUUACCACUCUUGGAGUCGCUCAGAUACCACUAUGUUAAGUGCAAAUAACAAGGUAGAGUUUAUCAAAGAUGUGAUACCUCAGCCCUCUGAAUGGGAUCCCUUCUUCUCGUCCUGGAUGUGAUGCAAUGACAUGGUGGCGUCUUGGCUUGUGCAUUCGGUUUUUGUUCCCAUACGUAAAAGCAUCAUAUAGAUGGAUAAGGCACUAGAUGUCUGGAAUGACCUUAAAGCUCACUUCUCACAAUGUGAUAUGUCUUGCAUUUCUGACCUCCAAAUGGAGGCCUCUCCUAUCAAUCAUGGUGAUCUUUCUGUAACUAAUUAUUUCACCAAAAUUAGGGUUAUUUGGGAUGAAUUAGAUAAUUUUAGACUUGAUCAUGUAUGCACCUGUAAUGGUUUUUCUGUUAUUGUCCAAAGAAAAAGAGAGGAUCAAGCCAUGUAGUUUUUACAUGGCCUCAAUGGUCAAUACAAUAACGUAAAGGCCCAUGUUCUUCUCAUGGAGCAUGUCCUUGCUAUUACUAAGAUUUUUUCUAUGGUUGUUAAACAAGAGCGUCAAUUUAAUAAUAGUUUAGUUGCUCAUAUAAGAAAUAAUAAUUAUGUUAUUCAUACCAAUGUCAAUUCUGUUACUUUUUUAGAAAACUGGGUCACAAUGUAUCUUUUAAGAAAAAUGGUUAUCCUAACCAAGAUUGUAAGGGAUCAAGAUCUGGCAGUAAUAACAGAAAGGUUUGUACCUACUAUAAUAAGAAUGGGCACACUGUAGAUGUCUGCUAUAAGAAAAAUGGAUACCCCCCAGGUAUAGAUUUCAAUAUGGUAAUUUUUCUCAUGCCAACGAUGUUGUUGCUCAAGAAGACAUUGUUGGUGGUCAAGAUCAGAAUAAAAAUAAUGGUAGUGGUGACUUUCGAAUCACCCAAAGUCAGUUUCAAAUCCUUUCGAAUAUUUUGAAGAAUGUAAAUGUCUCAAAUAGUCAAGCUCAAGUGAACCAGGUUGGUUCCAUUUCUGUUGAUCCUCAAGAUCAAAAUUCAGUUGUGACAGGUAAUCUUUAUGGAUUUCAAAAUUUUAUCUUCAAUAAGCAUGCUUGGAUUCUAGAUUUUGGUGCAACAAAUCAUGUUUGUUUUGACCUAUCUAAUUUUGCAUCAUAUGAUGUUAUUAAAACCAUUAUUAUUAAACUUCCUAAUGGAAAUUUUGUUACUGAUUCCUACUUUGGUAUAAUAACUUUUAGUGAUAGAUUUGUUAUGAAAAAUGUCUUAUAUGUGCCAAAUUUUUCUUUUAAUUUGAUUUCCAUAUCUCAAUUUACUACAUCUCUUAAAUGUGAGCUUAGUUUCUCCUCUGCUGAGUGUUCAAUACAGAAUUCCAUAACCAAAGACAAGAUUGGUAUAGUUGAUGUUGUGGUUGAUUUAUAUGUCUUCAACAAAGCUGGCAAAAAUAUUCUAAGCAAUGUUACAAAACAAACGAAUAUUUGGCACCUCCAAAUGGAUCAUCCUUCAAAAGAAAGGUUAAAAGUUUUACAAACUUAUAUCCUAAUAUUCAUAUUGAUAAGGACUACAUUUGUGAUGUUUCUCAUCAAGCAAAACAAAGAAAACUUUAUUUUUCCCUUAAUGACACUAGAAUUGUUCAAUCUUUUGAAUCACUUCAUAUUGACAUUUGGGGUCCUUGUUCGGUUGUUUCAAUGCUUGGUCCUAAAUUUUUCCUUACUAUAGUACAUGAUUUACUAGGUAUACUUCGAUUUUUCCCACAUAAUAAGUCUGAAGUCAGGGUUAAUGUUACCAAUUUUAUAACUUGUGCUGAAAAUCAAUUUUCUACUAAAGUUAAAAUUAUUCAUACUGAUAAUGGCAUUGAUUUUUUCAUGCUUAAUUUCUUUGCAUCCAAAGGUAUUAUCCAUCAAACUACUUCUAUUGAAACAUCCGAGCAAAAUGGCAUUGUUAAAAGAAAACAUCAAUACCUUUUGAAUGUCACUCGCACUUUACUUUUUCAAUCUAGUCUCCCUGGUGUUUUUUGGUAUUUUGUUGUGCAACAUAUUGCAUUUCUUAUUAAUUGCAUUCCUACUCCGCUACUUAACAAUGUCACUCCCUAUGAAAAAUUAUACAAAAGUUGCGUGAUAUUUCUCGUUUACGUGUUUUUAGAUGUUUGUGCUACUUUUCUACCAUUCUUGCUCAUAGAAAAAAAACUUGACAAUCGUGUUGUUCCUGAUGUUUUCCUUGGUUUUAAACUUAAUACAAAAGGUUUCCUCUUCUUGAACCUUAAAAGUCAGAAAAUAGAUUUAUCUAUAAAUGUUAUUUUUCAUGAAAAUUGUUUUCCUUAUUACACCAAGUAUGUACAAAAUAAUGAUUUCAAUAGUCUCUCUUUAUGCCCAGACUUAUGAUGAUCUUAACAUGCAAUCUGAAAAUAAUGUUCAUGAUGUUUUACUUGAUAAUACUGUUGAAACUAAUGUUGAGAUUGAACAAAGUGAGAAUGUUACUGCUUCUUCUAGAAGAUCAACUCAUAGUAGAAGAAUGUCAGCUUAUUUACAAGACUUUGAGGUAUCUAAUAUCAGUAACAAUACGGUAAGUACUAAAUACCCAAUUAAUUCCCUUUUAAAUUACAAUUCUUUGUCUGAUAAUUUCAAAUAUACAAUCAUGUUGAUUUCAUCUACCGAGGAACCUCGAAAUUAUGAGGAAACUAUCAUGCACCCAUCCUGGGUCCAAGCAAUGAAGGAAGAACUUAAGGCACUCGAAGAUAACAAAACUUGAUCUGUAACCGAGCUUCCUCUAGGGAAAACUGCCAUUGAAUUUUGUUGGUUGUAUAAAGUUAAACACAAAGCAGAUGGCUCUAUUGAACGCUACAAAGCCCGUUUGGUAGCAUAGGGCUACACUUAAAUCGAAGGUCUUGAUUUUCUAGAUACUUUUGCUCCUAUAGCAAAGAUAACCACUUUUCAAUUGCUUCUUGCCUUGGCAGCAGCUCACAACUGGACAAUAAAGCAACUUGAUGUUAACAAUGUUUUUUUGCAUGCGAAAUUAGAUCAAGAAGUAUACAUGGUUCUACCUCCAGGACUUCACUUUUCAUCUACAAAUCUGGUUUGUCGCCUCAGAAAGUUGCUCUAUGGCCUCAAACAAGCAGGAAGGCAGUGGUAUGCUAAGCUUUCAAACUUUCUACUUUCUCAUAAAUAUAAUAUUUCCACUACUGACCAUUCUUUGUUUUGAAACAUGUUGGCAAUUACACCAGGGCAAUUCUGGUCUAUGUGGAUGACAUUAUCCUCACUAGGAACAACCCCAUGGAGAUAUCCAAUAUAAAAAUUCUGUUGAAUAAUUGUUCCCAUAUAAAAAAACCUUGGUGAUUUAACGUAUUUUCUGAGCAUUGAAGUAGCACGCAAUGCCACUAGCAUCCACUUAAGUCAAAGGAAGUACGUCUUGGAUUUACUCAAACACACUGGAAUGCUUGGUUGUGCUCUUGUGCCUACACCUAUGCUUCACACAUCAAUACUAUCAGCAACCAAAGGUGUUCCUCUUGAUGACAAGGAAGCCACUGCAUAUAGGCAUCUCAUUGGACGUCUUAUCUACCAAACAAAUACUCGGCCUGAUAUAGCUUUCUCAGUAAAUGACCUCAACCAGUUUGUCUCCAAACCUAUAAAUGAGCAUCACCAAGCAGUCAUGCGUGUUCUUUGAUAUCUAAAGAAUGCUCCUGGAACAUGUAUAUUUUUUUAUAGCCAAACUCCUAUUCAAUUAAAAGCCUAUACUGAUUCUGAUUGGGCAACUUGUCUCGAAACUAGAAAAUCUAUAACUGUCUUUUUUGUUAUUUGGGAGAAUCUUUAUUUCUUGGAAAUCCAAGAAACAACAAACUAUAUCAAGAAGUUCAUCUGAAACUGAGUAUCACGCUCUAGCUGCCACCACCUACGCAAUUCAGUGGAUCACAUAUCUAUUAGUUGAUCUUCACAUCAAGCAUCUGCAACCAACUUUGCUAUAUUGUGACAAUUAAGCUGCAAUUCAAAUUGUAAACAACCAAGUGUUCCACGAGAGGAUAAAAUAUAUCGAAAUCGACUGUCACGUGGUGAGGUAGAAACUCAACGCUGGACUUCUUAAACUUCUUCCAAUAUCAUCCUCUCUUCAAGCUACAUAUUUCUUCACCAAAACUUCUUCCUACAACCAGCUCAACAUUCUGCUUUCCAAACUACGAAUGAAAACCAUUUACUCCUAACUUGAGAGGGAUUGAUAAAAUAUUCUAUUUUUAAUUUUCUGUUGGGUCUGUAAUCAAUUUUUAUUCAUAGGGCAGUUAGUUUUUCUUUUUGCACCCUGUAUAUAAGACACAACUUUACUCUUUCUAAAUACUCUUUUAAAUAAUAUUCUGCUUCUCAAACGAGCGUUCCUUCUCUUCUCUUCUUUACUUCUUUCAGAAUCACCAAAGAUUUCUUUCCCUUUUCCUCCUGUAAUUGUCAUUGAUAUUUUGUAAUAUCCUCGUCUCUAAUCUGCUAAUAAGUUUCCAUAUUCUUGUAGCUAAUUGCAUUUCAGAAGGAAAAUACUAUUUCGUUACGAAAUGGUUUUCGUAUACGAAACACAGAUUGUUCUGAUAGCUUGUUUAUCAUUUUUUAUAAAAAAUAGAAUAGCCUAAAAUACUUCUUAUUCUUCUAUUUUUCGUCGAUAAAAAAAAAUGCUCAUUCGUAAGUUUUGCGUUUGUAUUUCUCAUCAGAAAGGCUAAUUUGUAAGAGCAUGAUUUAUAUAUUAUUUUAAUUUUUAAUUAAUAUUUACUUGUCAUUCACGUAAUAGUUCUCGUGUUUAUGAAUUUGCUCUUUCGGGUUUAGACUAACUAAAUAAUGUUGAAAUAGAAAGAUUCACUACAAGACAUAAUAUCGAAAAACCAAAAAAUAUAUUUACCUAGAUAUGUUCAAUAUAAGUAAAUUUUAAAAUUUAUAGCUAUAUAUGUUUCAUAUUGAUAAAACCUAUUAACAUUAAUACCUACAUCUACUUAAUAUAAGUAAGAUUUCAAUAAAAUAUUUAAGUAACAUUAUUUCAAUAAUAUUAUUAAAUAAAAUAAAUUUCUUAUUAUUUGAAAUUUUUUUAAACUUAUAUUACUUUAAAAUAUCUAUAUAAUUAUUAUGUUUUUCACUAUUUAUAUAUUAUUAAUAAAAAAAAUAAAAGUGUAAGUAUUUUAAAGGGAUAAUCAGAACAAGAAUAUUUUUUCUUAAAUAUUUGUUUUAGUGAAAUUUGGAUGGAUAAUUUUUAUCGUUUUAUUAUUUGAAAUUUAAACUAAAACUUACUAUAGAAAAUUAUAUUAAAUAGAAAUCAAUUUUAAAAAAAUUAGUUAAUUGUUAUAUUGAUUAAAUCGGAUAUUAUUUUAAAGACUAAAACAAUUAUUUAUAGUAUCUAAAUUAUUUAUACUAGUGGAAAUAUAGGUGCACUUGCGCCUUUGUAUCCACAUUUUUCUCUUUUAUUCAAUUUUUACGAUGAUAGAAAUGUAGCAUACAUAUAGAAAUAAUUUUGGAUGAUGAGUUGAAAUUGAAAAACAAAAAAUGGAGUGCAGAGAGUGAUUCAAAAUGGAGGUUAUUUCAUUUUAUAUGUUACAUUUUAAUGUGAAAAUGUGUGAGAGUAUGUUCUUUUUUUUUCGGUUGUUGCCUUAAAAUAAGGAACUAAGGAAAGAGUGGGGAAUCAUAUAAAAACAGUACAUUAAUAUUAAUUUAAAAAAUUAAAAAAUAAUUUGAUUUUUUAAGUAAUUCAUAUGAAAUGACAAAAUACUCCACUAUAUUAAUAAAAUGAGAUAUAUUAAAUUAGGGUAGAAUCGCAAAAAAUUUGUUUACACCAAAAAGCGGUUAUAUUGGGGAAUCCCCUGUAUAGAUUAUUGAUAAAUAGUUUCUAAUUGAUAUCUAAUUAGUUACCAAUUAUUUAUAUUCUAAAGUUGGUAACUAAUUAGAUAUUUAAAAAUUAUUUAUUGAAAAUAGAAACUAAUUUAGAUAAUUAUAAUUUUUUUAGUCUCUAAAAUAAUAUCUAAUUUAGUAAAUAUGAUUAUUAUUGACAAUUAUUAUAUUAAUUUAGUAAAUAUAACAACUAAUUAUUUUUUUCUUUAAGAUUAAUUUUUAUUAAUGAUUUCACUCUAAAACUGAUUUCACACCACACUGGAUUUUUUUCCUUAUUUUAUUUUUAAAAAAAAAGAUGAAUUUUUGGUUACUAUCAGUUUCUUUCUUUCUCUUGCUCUCUCUUAGGCUCUUUAAUGAGAGUUUGAAAUUUCUUAACUCCAUUUUUCCUAUAGAAUAUUUAGCACUUAUUUAUUAGCUUUGUUAAGAUUUGAAGUCAUCUCUUCUUUUUUGUGUUAAAUUAUUUUGUUUAUAUAUAUAUAUAUAUGGUGAAAAUUUGGUAUUAAAUGUUGUCAAAAGUGUAGAAAAAUGCUCUUGUUUAAUUUACGGAAUAUUUCUUUUUCUACCUCUCAAUCCAUCAAAACAAUGUUGGACUGAAGAGAAUAUUUAAGGAGAAUAUAGAAUAUGUGUGAUGUUUGGAAACUGUUUUCUUUCGGUAAAGAAUGAAUAAAUUAACAAAAUAUCCAUCAAAUUCCUUCUUUCGAGAAAAGUUGAUUGUCUAAAAUCAAUGACCUUAUUGAUCACCUUCUUGAGCCUUAUAGACAAAAUCUUGGAUAUAAUCUUAAAGAGACACCCCAGCAGCGAAAUAGGUCUAAAAUCACACAACUGUUGUGGAUUGUCGAAUUUAGGAAUUAGACAGAUAAAAGAAGUGUUUGACCCCUAGGUCAUUUUCUACUAUUUGCGGAGUCAUUCAAAGUCACGAGAAUAUCCUCCUUUAAACAAUCCCAACAGAAUUUAGGAAAACCAAAAUUAAAACCAUCUGACCCUGAACUUUUCGAACUGUCGCAACUCCAAACUACAUUCUUAACUUCCUCCUCUGAAAAGGCACCUACCAACAUCACGUUGUCAUCACUAUAAAUAGUGUUAAAACCUACAUUAUCCAACCUAACCUGCCGUCCAAGUUCCUCGUCAAAUAUGGUCUUGAAAAAGAUCUCUAACCUUAACUUUAACCACUUCCUUGUCUUCACACCAAAGACCAUUCUCAAAGACCCCGUUAAUCUCAUUUCUCGCUCUUCUCCACUUGACAGUGGAAUGAAAAAUCUUUGAGUUUAAAUCACCUUGUUUAAACCACUUUUGACGGGCUUUUUGAUACAACACAGCUUCUUGUUUAAAAGAGUUCCGACUUUGCUCUGCAAGCAAUAUUCUUCUUUCCUCCCUUCCGAAGUCGUCUCAUUCGUUUUCAUCAUCUCUUGCAUCCAAUUCUUGAAUUUUCUUAUACAAAUCUUCCCCUGCUUGAUUAACAUUCCCAAAGGCCUCUUUAUUCCAAAUUUGUAAAUCCGCUUUUAACAUUUUCCACUUUUCCUUUCAAACAAACAUCCCUCCACCAUGCACCUCAUAGAUAAGCCACUUAUUGCGUACAAAGACACUGAACCUACCAUCACUUUGCGAAACAUCUAAACUUCUAAACGGUUUCGGGCCCCAAUCCGCACUCAUAUCUUUUAACACAAGAACACAGUGAUCAGAGGCAGAUCCACUAUACACGUACUAUUUACUAUUUGGUCAACUAUCCAGUCAAUCCCUGAAAACAAAAAUAUUGUCUAUUGUGCUCUUAAUCGACCUGUUCGGUUUGUACCAAGUAAACUUUCUGCUAACCAUCGAAAUAUCCAACAACUUUAACUUUCCGAUAAAAUUGUUGAAACUACUUAUUUAUCUAGUGUAAUUAGACACAGAAAUCAAACUUUCUCUCCAACUUCCUUCUGAUAGAAUUAAAAUUCUCAACUACACACCAAGUCUUUUCUUCUUAUAGAAUUAAAAUCUCCAACUACACACCAAGCCCUAUGUACCCCUUUAUUUAUAUAUUCUUUUUACUAAUUAAAAAAAUAUUUUAGUAAAAUAAAAAUGUUAGAAAUUAUUUUCAAAAGUUCGAAUAAUACACACUAUUACAAGUUUACUUUAUGUUCAUGUUUUUUAUAGAAUAAGAAAUGAUCUAUUUUUAUAUUUCAAAAAUAUUUUAUGAAAUUGAAAUAAAUAUGAUUAGUAAAGAAAAUUUAUAUUAAAAUUAUAAAAUAUCUAUUUUUAUCAUAAUUUCUAUCAUAACCACACGUCUCCAAUUUUAUUAAAAAAUAUUUUGAAAUCAACAAUUUUGUCAAUUUUGUCAAUUUAUAAAUAUAAAAACAAAACAAAGAAUCAUUCCUAUUUAAAAUUAAUAACAUAAUGAAUUGGGUAUUGUACAUACACAUUUAUUUAUUGCCAAUUGUAACUGCAUGGGUUAUACAUAUUACUGCACCCAUUAUUGAGGGACUGUCAUGGUACAAAUAAAACCCUAUCCACACCUAGAAUUAACAAGCACAAAACUCUUAUUCCUUUAUCUCCUUCACAAAGUUCUUAAAGUUCUCAUAAGAUGUUCCUCCUUUUGCUAUGUUCUUCAUCACUUUCUCCUUCAACAUCACACACCUGUGUUUUAUGUUCUCGUCAUUAAAGAUCUGUUCCACUUUGGUUUUCAACUCUCCCCGUGACACAACUNNNNNNNNNNNNNNNNNNNNNNNNNNNNNNNNNNNNNNNNNNNNNNNNNNNNNNNNNNNNNNNNNNNNNNNNNNNNNNNNNNNNNNNNNNNNNNNNNNNNAAUGGCCUCACUAUAUCAUAAUCACGUAUAUACCUACCAAUUACAAAUCUAUGUCAUGAUCAGUCUAAAUUUUCGGCUAUCAUACUAACUUCUAUGAAUAAGAAAUGUAGAAUGUUUCUCUGUUCACAUCAGUAAUUUAUUCAUUCUAUAUCUUGUCACAUUUCCUCGCACUUUCUCUGAUUCGACUUUUCCUGUUUUUAUCAUUAAACUUUUGUUUUUUUACUUUAUUAAUUGAUUUAGCAUUAUGUUGUCAUUAAACUAAGAGAAUUGUAUAAUUAUUGUAAAAAAUAUCUUUUUUAAUUUGGAUGUAUUUGAAAGGGAAAGGUAAAAAAUGAAAAUUUGGAUGUGAACACAGAAACGUUCUACAUAGAAACUUUCUACACAGAAACUUUCCACAUUUCUAAAAUUUGACAAGUACAUAUAAACACUAAAAGUGGAAAUAUACCAUUUUUUGGGUUCCAAGAUUCCUCUUAUAAAAUAUUCUGUUUUUUUUUUUGGUCUGUAAUCAGUUUUUAUUCAUAGGCCGAUUAUCUUUUCUUUUUGCACCCCAUGUAUGUAUAUAAGACACAAUUUUACUCUUUCUAAUUACUCAUUUUGAAUAAUAUUCUGCUUUUCAUACGAGCGUUUCUUCUCUUCUCUGUUCUUCUCCGCUUCUUUGAUUCUAUCAGAAUCAUCAAAGAUUUCUUUUCCUUUUUCUAUAAUUGUCAUUGAUAUUUUGUAAUAUGGUAUUAAAGCUCUUCAUCGUGAAGGGUUCUGUUGUGCGCACUCUGAUUCCUUCUUCAUUCUUGAUAUUUUGUUCUUCCGCAAAUUUUUCAAUAUUUUUUUUUUUUUUUUUUGACUAAUGAGUUUCUCUUUUGCAUUUUUGAAGUUGGUCUCAAUGAGUACAAAAAAUCCUGAUCGAAGCAAAAACCCUAACCUUAACCAGAAUAAAAAUCCCAUUCAAAGUGACAAUCUCGCUCACAACUUCUUAUACUUCACUCGAGUAAAAACCCUGCAACUCCUCUCGUAUCUCUAGUUCUUGAUUUGAUAAAUUACCACUCUUGGAGUCGCUCAGAUAUCACUGUGUUAAGUGCAAAUAACAAGGUAGAGUUUAUCAAAGAUGUGAUACCUCAACCCUCUGAAUCGGAUCCCUUCUUCUCGUCCUGGAUGUGCUGCAAUGCCAUGGUGGCGUCUUGGCUUGUGCAUUUGGUUUUUGUUCCCAUACGUAAAAGCAUCAUAUGGAUGGAUAAGGCACUAGAUGUCUGGAAUGACCUUAAAGCUCGCUUCUCACAAUGUGAUAUGUCUCGCAUUUCUGACCUCCAAAUGGAGGCCUCUCCUAUCAAUCAUGGUGAUCUUUCUGUAACUAAUUAUUUCACCAAACUUAGGGUUAUUUGGGAUGAAUUAGAUAAUUUUAGACUUGAUCAUGUAUGCACCUGUAAUGGUUUUUCUGUUAUUGUACAAAGAAAAAGAGAGGAUCAAGCCAUGUAGUUUUUACAUGGCCUCAAUGGUCAAUACAAUAACGUAAAGGCCCAUGUUCUUCUCAUGGAGCAUGUCCUUGCUAUUACUAAGAUUUUUUCUAUGGUUGUUAAACAAAAGCGUCAAUUUAAUAAUAGUUUAGUUGCUCAUAUAAAAAAUAAUAAUUAUGUUAUUCAUACCAAUGUCAAUUUUGUUACUUCUUUGGAAAACUGGAUCAUAAUGAAACUGUAUCUUUUAAGAAAAAUGGUUAUCCUAACCAAGAUUGUAAGGGAUCAAGAUCUGGCAGUAAUAACAGAAAGGUUUGUACCUACUACAAUAAGAAUGGGCACACUGUAGAUGUCUGCUAUAAGAAACAUGGAUACCCCCAGGUAUAGAUUUUAAUAUGGUAAAUUUUCUCAUGCCAACGAUGUUGUUGCUCAAGAAGACAUUGUUGGUGGUCAAGAUCAGAAUAAAAAUAAUGGUAGUGGUGACUUCCGAAUCACCCAAAGUCAGUUUCAAAUCCUUUCGAAUAUUUUGAAGAAUGUAAAUGUCUCAAAUAGUCAAGCUCAAGUGAACCAGGUUGGUUCCAUUUCUGUUGAUCUCAAGAUCAAAAUUCAGCUGUGACAGGUAAUCUUUAUGGAUUUCGAAGUUUUAUCUUCAAUAAGCAUGCUUGGAUUCUAGAUUUUGGUGCAACAAAUCAUGUUUGUUUUGACCUAUCUAAUUUUUCAUCAUAUAAUGUUAUUAAAACCAUUAUUAUUAAACUUCCGAAUGGAAAUUUUGUUAUUGCUUCCUACUCUGGUAUAAUAACUUUUAAUGAUAGAUUUGUUUUGAAAAAUGUCUUAUAGGUGCCAAAUUUUUCUUUUAAUUUGAUUUCCAUAUCUCAAUUUACUACAUCUCUUAAAUGUGAGCUUAGUUUCUCCUCUGCUGAGUGUUCAAUACAGAAUUUCAUAACCAAAGACAAGAUUGGUAUAAUUGAUGUUGUGGUUGAUUUAUAUGUCUUCAACAAAGCUGGCAAAAAUAUUCUAAGCAGUGCUACAAAACAAAUGAAUAUUUGGCACUUCCGAAUGGAUCAUCCUUCAGAAGAAAGGUUAAAAGUUUUACAAACUUAUUAUCCUAAUAUUCAUAUUGAUAAGGACUACAUUUGUGAUGUUUCUCAUCAAGCAAAACAAAGAAAACUUUAUUUUUCCCUUAGUGACACUAGAAUUGUUCAGUCUUUUGAAUCACUUCAUAUUGACAUUUGGGGUCCUUGUUCGGUUGUUUCAAUGCUUGGUCAUAAAUUUUUCCUUACUAUAGUAGAUGAUUUUACUAGGUAUACUUCGAUUUUUCCCACAUAAUAAGUCUGAAGUCAGGGUUAAUGUUACCAAUUUUAUAACUUGUGUUGAAAAUCAAUUUUCUACUAAAGUUAAAAUUAUUCAUACUCAUAAUGGCAUUGAUUUUUUCAUGCAUGAUUUCUUUGCAUCCAAAGGUAUUAUCCAUCAAACUACUUCUUUUGAAACAUCAAAACCUUUUGAAUGUCACUCACACUUUACUUUUUCAAUCUAGUCUCCCUGCUGUUUUUUGUUAUUUUGUUGUGCAACAUAUUGCAUUUCUUAUUAAUUGCAUGCCUACUCCACUACUUAACAAUGUCACUCCCUAUGAAAACUUAUACAAAAGUUGCGUGAUAUUUCUCAUCUACGUGUUUUUAGAUGUUUGUGCUACUUUUCUACCAUUCUUGCUCAUAGAAAAAAAACAGGACAAUCGUGUUGUUUCAGAUGUUUUCCUUGGUUUUAAACAUAAUACAAAAGGUUUCCUCUUCUUGAACCUCAAAAGUCACAAAAUAGAUUUAUCUAUAAAUGUUAUUUUUCAUGAAAAUUCUUUUCCUUAUUACACCAAGUAUGUACAAAAUAAUGAUUCCAAUAGUCUCUCUUUAUGCCCAGACUUAUGAUGAUCUUAACAUGCAAUCUGAAAAUAAUGUUCAUGAUGUUUUACUUGAUAAUACUGUUGAAACUAAUGCUGAGAUUGAACAAAGUGAGAAUGUUACUGCUUCUUCUAGAAGAUCAACUCAUAGUAGAAGAAUGUCAGCUUAUUUACAAGACUUUGAGGUAUCUAAUAUCAGUAACAAUACGGUAAGUACUAAAUACCCAAUUAAUUCCCUUUUAAAUUACAAUUCUUUGUCUGAUAAUUUCAAAUAUACAAUCAUGUUGAUUUCAUCUACCGAGGAACCUCGAAAUUAUGAGGAAACUAUCAUGCACACAUCCUGGGUCCAAGCAAUGAAAGAAGAACUUAAGGCACUCGAAGAUAACAAAACUUGGUCUGUAACCGAGCUUCCUCUAGGAAAAACUGCCAUUGAAUUUCGUUGGGUGUAUAAAGUUAAACACAAAGCAGAUGACUCUAUUGAACGCUACAAAGCCCGUUUGGUAGCAAAUGGCUACACUCAAAUCGAAGGUCUUGAUACUUUUGCUCCUAUAGCAAAGUUAACCACUUUUCAAUUGCUUCUUGCCUUGGCAGCAGCUCACAACUGGACACUAAAGCAACUUGAUAUUAACAAUGUUUUUCUGCAUGCGAAAUUAGAUCAAGAAGUAUACAUGGUUUUGCCUCCAGGACUUCACUUUUCAUCUACAAAUCUGGUUUGUCACCUCAGAAAGUUGUUCUAUGACCUCAAACAAGCAGGAAGGCAGUGGUAUGCUAAGCUUUCAAACUUUCUCUUUUUUUUUCCGCUUGUUGUCUUAAAAUAAGGAACUAAGGAAAGAGUGAGAAAUCGUAUAAAAACUGUACAUUAAUAUUAAUUUAAAAAAUUAAAAAAUAAUUUUAUUUUUUAAGUAAUUCAUAUGAAAUGACAAAAUACUCCACUAUAUUAAUAAAAUGAGAUAUAUUAAAUAAGGGUAUAAUCGCAAAAAAUUUGUUUACACUAAAAGGCGGUUAUAAUGGGGAAUCCCCUCUAUAUAUAUAAGUAUAGAUUAUUGAUAAAUAGUUUCUAAAUUGAUAUCUAAUUAGUUAUCAAUUAUUUAGAUUCUAAAGUUGGUAACUAAUUAGAUAUCAAUUUAAAAAUCAUUUAUCGAAAAUAGAAACUAAUUUAGAUAACAAUAAUUUUUUUAGUCUCUAAAAUAAUAUUUAAUUUAGUAAAUAUGAUUAUUAUUGACAAUUAUUAUAUUAAUUUAAUAAAUAUAAAAACUAAUUAUUUUUUGUCUUUAAGAUUAAUUUUUAUUAAUGAUUUCACUCUAAAACUGAUUUCACACCACACUGGAUUUUUUUCCUUAUUUUUUUUAAAGAAAAUAUGAAUUUUAGGUUAUUAUCAGUCUCUUUCUUUCUCUUGCUCUCUCUUAGGCUCUUUAAUGAGAGUUUGAAAUUUCUUAACUCCAUUUUUCCUAUAGAAUAUUUAGCACUUAUUUAUUAGCUUUGUUAAGAUUUUAAGUCAUCUCUUCACUACAAAAAAAAUCACUUUUAGCGACCACCAAAUUCGGUCGCUAAAAGCACUAUAAUCGGUCGCUAAACAUAUUUGCGACCGAAACGGCUACCAAAUAAAAUUGGAAGCGAAAACCCUAGUCGCAAAGCAUCUAACGAUCGAAUUAUAAAGUGGUCGCAAAUUUGCAACUGAAAUAUCAGUGGCUAAAUCGGUUGCAGACAAUUUGGUCACCAAAAUCCAGGAACCAAAUUAGUGACCACCAUUUUCGGUGGCUAAAUCGGUCGCAAACAAUUUGGUCACCGAAAUUCAUAACCAAAUUAGCGACCACUAUUUUCGGUGGCUAAAUCAGUGGCUGAAAUGAAAGGUGAUAGCGACCACCAUUUUUGGUCGCUAAUGAUUAAAAUAUUUUUUUAAUUACAGCGACCAUCAUUUUCGGUCGCUAAUGAUUAAAAUAUUUUUUUUAAUUAUAGCGACCAAUUCUCUUUCGGUUGCUAAACAACAACUUUGUAGAUAUAACAUAACCACCAUAUCAAUUGGUGACUAUUUUUAUAUAUAUUAUUAAUACUUAUUAAAAAUGUAUUACUAUUUUUUUUUGAAUUUUAACUUUUAGUUCUUAAAGACAUUAGGUUAUUGAGUUUAAAAUUAUAUUUACAACUUAAACCUAUGAUUUUUACUCUACAUUAAUUUCAAUUAUCCAUAAAACUAGGGUUAAACUGAAAUGAUAUAGAUUAUUUUUUAAGAGAGACUGAGGUAGAAGAAUGUAGACAAAAAUAUUUAAAUAUAUACAUGAUCAUUAAUUAUUAAUUAAUUAGUAAACAGCUUUGAUGUUAAUGUUUGUAUGAAUAAAAUAUUCCUUUUAUUCCUUCAUUGUAACUCUCUUUAUUUUUUUAUUCUUUAGCUUUUUUUUUGUUAUGUUCUUGGUUAAUUUUUUAAAAAUUUGAAACAGUUUAUUUCGGCACAUUGAAAUAUUUGAAUUGUAACAUAUUUAAAAACUAAACUAACCAUUUUAUAUAUCUUGCUAGAAACAAAAUACAAAUCUCACUAAGCAUGCUCAUUUGUUUUCGGUGAAAUUUAUUAUAGUUUAAAAAANNNNNNNNNNNNNNNNNNNNNNNNNNNNNNNNNNNNNNNNNNNNNNNNNNNNNNNNNNNNNNNNNNNNNNNNNNNNNNNNNNNNNNNNNNNNNNNNNNNNNNNNNNNNNNNNNNNNNNNNNNNNNNNACUUAUGCAGUUAUUUUAUUUUCAACCAUUAAACUUAAUACAACAACGUAUUUUAUAUAUAUUAAUUAUCAAGUCAUUGAUUACUCUUUUAACAUAAUAUAAGUCAUUGAUUUACUUCACUUUAGAAAUAUAAAACUUUAAUAAAAAUAUUAAGUAAAGCAGAAAUUAAAGAAAUAAAACUUAAAACUGUACACUAUGCAUAUUCUUCAAUCUACUUCUCAAGUUUCUCAAAAUGAUGCAUGUAGCUGCACACCUAAUGAGUGAAUGAAACUAACCCUUCCUCAUUAUUUUAUUUAUAUAACUCAUCCACCUUUUCCACUUUUUGGCAAACAUUUGAUUCCAUCUAAAUAAAUAAUCAGUUAAAUAAGUAGGAAAGUAACCUCACCCGUCAGUUUUCCUAACCUUGUGUUCUGCAUAAUCUCUAUUUCCGAAUUCAUUCACGUUUAGUCAAAUUGAAUUUUAACUUUGAAAACAGAGACAUCAUGAGAGGCAAACCAACACCAGCUCAGCUUAUUCCCUAUCUAUCUACCAAACAUGAAAUAAAUUCCCCAAACCCAACAAUCUUAUAACCCAACAAAAUUAUACUAUGAGUAAGUUAAAUGUUAUAUUAAAUAUAGUUUUUAAAAUGAUAAUUAAAAAUCACUAACUAUGGAAUGUAAAAAAUGGUUAUUGUUAAAUUACCUGCUCAGGUGCACAUAUCCUCACCUAACAGUUUGUUCCAAUUAAUUUACACUUCCGAGUAUGAAUUGGAAGGAAUAGUAGUCAUCUAAAAUCCUUUUAUUUCUACUUUCCUGCCUUACAUUUGUGUAUUAAUCUAAUCCCCAAAAGGUUCCAAAAUGAGAAACUCUCUUGCAUUUUUUUUUUGCCUCAGAUCUUCUGUUUCAUAUUAUUCAGUUUUCAACAUCAAGUGCAAACAAAAUCCACCAUUGAAGCAUGCAAGGAGUUAGUUUCAAAUUGUCAGCUAAAAUCACCCGCUGGAUCCACACAUAAUUGUAUCAAGUUUCUGAACUUCCUAUACUAUUCAACAAAUCAAUUGAAUUGUCAAUUCCAGCAAGCAUUAUAGGAAAAUGAAAAGUGAAAACUGCACCAAAUAACUAAUGAUUUUCACACUAUAAUAAAAAAACAAACAAACACCAGUUGCUGCAGGUUUCUAAAACCUACAACAUUCAAGAAUGAACCAAUUCACCGAAUCAAAUACUAAAAUUUGCACCGAAAUUAGUGCUCUGUUUCAACAGCCCCAUGAUUGAAUCAAUUAUGCAACGAACCAGCACUCAGAUGCAAAUACACUAAUUACAAACAAGAUUAGAUGUGCACAAAUCCUUACUGCACCCAUUAUUGAGGGACUGUCAUGGUACAAAUAAAACCCUAUCCACACCUAGAAUUAACAAGCACAAAACUCUUAUUCCUUUAUCUCCUUCACAAAGUUCUUAAAGUUCUCAUAAGAUGUUCCUCCUUUUGCUAUGUUCUUCAUCACUUUCUCCUUCAACAUCACACACCUGUGUUUUAUGUUCUCGUCAUUAAAGAUCUGUUCCACUUUGGUUUUCAACUCUCCCCGUGACACAACUCCAUUUUGAUCUUUGUCAAUCCCCAACCCAACCUUUAACUCAUCACAAAUAUGUGUUUUGUUGUAAAGUUGGUCUCCGAAGUAUGGCCAACCCAAUAAAGGUACCCCACUGGACAAACCUUCCAUGGUAGAAUUCCAACCACAAUGAGUGAGAAAACAUGCUAUGGCAGGGUGACUUAAAACCUUUUGUUGAGGAGCCCAAUUCACUAUCUUACCCUUAUGCCCUUGGAAUUCAUGAGGGUAUGCCAUUUUAUUGUCUUCUCUUAUAACCCAAAGAAAAGGUCUAUUGGUGAGGUCUAGUCCAAGGGCAAGUUCGUUGAAUUGGUUUUGGUCAAAAAGAGUGAUACUACCAAAGGCAACAUACAACACAGAACCAUCAGCUUGUUCAUCUAGCCAACUCAUGCAGGACUGGUCUUCUUUCCAGAAUUGUCCCAUUGAUUUUGUAGCUGCACUUUUGUUAUCAUCAUUAUCAUUGCUUUUCAACAAUGGCCCAAUUGGGAUGAUCUUCGGAAGAAAUAAAAAUGUUCCUGGUUCAAGUUCGUGUGUGGUGUUGCAAAGCCACCACUGUGUCAAAUGUAAACUUGGUGCGUAAUGCAGCAGAUACUUAAGCAGUUUCUUACCAUUUACACCCAUAUUCAACCAAAAAAAGUCUUCUGGAUCCAUCUCAGGCAUACUUGUUGAAAUCCGAAUUCUCUUUUUCGUGGUUAAUGUUAAACCUUCAGUGAAAAACCAACAAAAACACAUUAGCUUAUACUAUAAACGUGUAAAUUAAAUUACAAAAACAUAACAAUACGAUAAUAUUCUUACCUAAAUCAGAAUCUAUAAUGCCAUCAUCAAUAAGCAUCACACUUAAAUUCUCUCUAAAAGAAACACUCUUCUUUGCAAUUCUCUCUAUUGUAUUUCUUUCUGUGGUGUCUCUUACAAUUGAGAGAGCAUCCUAUUUAUAGGCUUUAGGAAGCUCUUCUAGAAAAGUCUUCAUUAUGGCCUUAAAACCCCACUAACAACACAAUUAAAAUCCCACUCACAACUUUUGACCUUUUACAUAUCCAAACUCUCAUUCUACUCUUUUCUAGUAACUUCUAACUUUAAAACCCACAAAUUACAUUAAAGUUUAUUCAACAAAACUCCCCCAUAAACUUAAAUGUUUCUACCAUCCAUCAUGCCAAUCAUCUUCUUGAAUUUGUCGAAAAAGACUUUCGGUAGCGGUUUUGUGAAGAUAUCAGCAACUUGAUCUUGACUUGCCACAUGCACCAAUUCCACACUUCCUUUCUUCACAUGAUCACGAAUAAAGUGAAAACGAACGUCAAUAUGUUUGCUUCUUUCAUGGUUCACUGGGUUCUUUGCCAACUCAAUUGCUGAUUUGUUGUCAACUUGAAUCACAGUUGCAUCUAGUUGCUUUAGCUCCAUCUUACUCAACAAGUUUCUUAACCAUAUCGCAUGACAUACACACCAAGAUGCUGCCACAUAUUUAGCUUCACACGUCGAUAGCGUCACGAUCGGUUGCUUCUUUGAAAGCCAAGAAAAUGCUGUGUUGCCCAUAAAGAAUACAUAUCCCGAUGUACUUUUCCGAUCAUCUAUGUCUCCGCACCAAUCGCUGUUAGAGUAACCCACCAACUUGUAAUCUUCUGCUUUUGAGUAGAACAAUCCGAGUGAUACAGUACCUUGGAUGUACCGUAGGACUCGCUUCAACGCCUUCCAAUGUGAGUAAACCGGUUCCUCCAUGAAUCGACUUAUGAUGCCGACACUUAAUGAAAGAUUCGGCCUUGUGCAUGUGAGAUAACGAAGGCUUCCUACCAAACUCCGGUAUCUACUUGCAUCGACACGUUCUCCUCCAUCGAACUUUGAGAGUUUUGCACCUGGUUCCAUUGGUAUUGAUACUGGGUUGCAAUUUUCCAUCUUGUAUUUCUUCAAAAUCUCCUUUGCAUAUUUCUCCUGUGAUACAAAAAUACCUGUAUCUUUUUGUCUAACUUCCAAGCCAAGGAAAAACUUCAUCAAUCCCAAAUCUGUCAUNNNNNNNNNNNNNNNNNNNNNNNNNNNNNNNNNNNNNNNNNNNNNNNNNNNNNNNNNNNNNNNNNNNNNNNNNNNNNNNNNNNNNNNNNNNNNNNNNNNNNNNNNNNNNNNNNNNNNNNNNNNNNNNNNNNNNNNNNNNNNNNNNNNNNNNNNNNNNNNNNNNNNNNNNNNNNNNNNNNNNNNNNNNNNNNNNNNNNNNNNNNNNNNNNNNNNNNNNNNNNNNNNNNNNNNNNNNNNNNNNNNNNNNNNNNNNNNNNNNNNNNNNNNNNNNNNNNNNNNNNNNNNNNNNNNNNNNNNNNNNNNNNNNNNNNNNNNNNNNNNNNNNNNNNNNNNNNNNNNNNNNNNNNNNNNNNNNNNNNNNNNNNNNNNNNNNNNNNNNNNNNNNNNNNNNNNNNNNNNNNNNNNNNNNNNNNNNNNNNNNNNNNNNNNNNNNNNNNNNNNNNNNNNNNNNNNNNNNNNNNNNNNNNNNNNNNNNNNNNNNNNNNNNNNNNNNNNNNNNNNNNNNNNNNNNNNNNNNNNNNNNNNNNNNNNNNNNNNNNNNNNNNNNNNNNNNNNNNNNNNNNNNNNNNNNNNNNNNNNNNNNNNNNNNNNNNNNNNNNNNNNNNNNNNNNNNNNNNNNNNNNNNNNNNNNNNNNNNNNNNNNNNNNNNNNNNNNNNNNNNNNNNNNNNNNNNNNNNNNNNNNNNNNNNNNNNNNNNNNNNNNNNNNNNNNNNNNNNNNNNNNNNNNNNNNNNNNNNNNNNNNNNNNNNNNNNNNNNNNNNNNNNNNNNNNNNNNNNNNNNNNNNNNNNNNNNNNNNNNNNNNNNNNNNNNNNNNNNNNNNNNNNNNNNNNNNNNNNNNNNNNNNNNNNNNNNNNNNNNNNNNNNNNNNNNNNNNNNNNNNNNNNNNNNNNNNNNNNNNNNNNNNNNNNNNNNNNNNNNNNNNNNNNNNNNNNNNNNNNNNNNNNNNNNNNNNNNNNNNNNNNNNNNNNNNNNNNNNNNNNNNNNNNNNNNNNNNNNNNNNNNNNNNNNNNNNNNNNNNNNNNNNNNNNNNNNNNNNNNNNNNNNNNNNNNNNNNNNNNNNNNNNNNNNNNNUGAUCAUCUAACUUCACAUGUGGACAUCGAUUUUGCACAUAGAUGGCGCAUUGCACAGCUUCCGCCCAAAAUUCCUUUGGCAUCUUUUUGCUCUUAAGCAUUGAUCGAACCAUGUCGAGAAUGGUCCGAUUCUUCCUCUCGGCACCAUUUUGUUGAGGAGUGUAUGGUGCAGUUAGAAAUCGCCUUAUGCCUUGCUCCUCGCAAUACUCCAUGAAAGUCGUUGAAGUAUACUCGCCACCUCUAUCAGAUCGUACAACUUUGAUCUGUUUAUCAGUUGUCCUCUCCACCAUCACCUUGAACUUUUUGAACACCUCAAAUGCCUCGNNNNNNNNNNNNNNNNNNNNNNNNNNNNNNNNNNNNNNNNNNNNNNNNNNNNNNNNNNNNNNNNNNNNNNNNNNNNNNNNNNNNNNNNNNNNNNNNNNNNNNNNNNNNNNNNNNNNNNNNNNNNNNNNNNNNNNNNNNNNNNNNNNNNNNNNNNNNNNNNNNNNNNNNNNNNNNNNNNNNNNNNNNNNNNNNNNNNNNNNNNNNNNNNNNNNNNNNNNNNNNNNNNNNNNNNNNNNNNNNNNNNNNNNNNNNNNNNNNNNNNNNNNNNNNNNNNNNNNNNNNNNNNNNNNNNNNNNNNNNNNNNNNNNNNNNNNNNNNNNNNNNNNNNNNNNNNNNNNNNNNNNNNNNNNNNNNNNNNNNNNNNNNNNNNNNNNNNNNNNNNNNNNNNNNNNNNNNNNNNNNNNNNNNNNNNNNNNNNNNNNNNNNNNNNNNNNNNNNNNNNNNNNNNNNNNNNNNNNNNNNNNNNNNNNNNNNNNNNNNNNNNNNNNNNNNNNNNNNNNNNNNNNNNNNNNNNNNNNNNNNNNNNNNNNNNNNNNNNNNNNNNNNNNNNNNNNNNNNNNNNNNNNNNNNNNNNNNNNNNNNNNNNNNNNNNNNNNNNNNNNNNNNNNNNNNNNNNNNNNNNNNNNNNNNNNNNNNNNNNNNNNNNNNNNNNNNNNNNNNNNNNNNNNNNNNNNNNNNNNNNNNNNNNNNNNNNNNNNNNNNNNNNNNNNNNNNNNNNNNNNNNNNNNNNNNNNNNNNNNNNNNNNNNNNNNNNNNNNNNNNNNNNNNNNNNNNNNNNNNNNNNNNNNNNNNNNNNNNNNNNNNNNNNNNNCACGACAAUCUUUUGCAAAAUGCCCCACUUUACCACAAUUGUAACAUUUGUCAGAGUUACAAUCCUUCGCAUAGUGACCAUAUUUGUGACAUUUGUAGCACUCGAUGUUGGAAUAAUUCGAUCGGCCGCCUCUUCCUCUACCACGUCCUCUUCCACGCCAAUUUGGUUGGCUUGACUGUUCCUUCUCCUUAUAGUAUACCCUUCAUGGUUGCUGCCUUUUCCACCACGACCGUUUCCACGACUUCCACGACCACGCCCUCUAUAUUGAGAAUUUUGAUGAUAGAGUACCUUUUCGUCUUUGAUCGACGCCUUGGUUUGAAGUGCUUGCUCGAGUGUUUCCUCCUUCUUCUUCUUCUUUCGUUGCUCGUGUGCCUCGAGAGAACCGGCGAGCUCGUCGACUGUGAGCGUCGCAAGGUCCUUUGACUCUUCUAUCGCGCACACAAUACUCUCAAAAUUGUCUGUUAAUGUUCUCAAAAUCUUCUCCACAACUCGUGNNNNNNNNNNNNNNNNNNNNNNNNNNNNNNNNNNNNNNNNNNNNNNNNNNNNNNNNNNNNNNNNNNNNNNNNNNNNNNNNNNNNNNNNNNNNNNNNNNNNNNNNNNNNNNNNNNNNNNNNNNNNNNNNNNNNNNNNNNNNNNNNNNNNNNNNNNNNNNNNNNNNNNNNNNNNNNNNNNNNNNNNNNNNNNNNNNNNNNNNNNNNNNNNNNNNNNNNNNNNNNNNNNNNNNNNNNNNNNNNNNNNNNNNNNNNNNNNNNNNNNNNNNNNNNNNNNNNNNNNNNNNNNNNNNNNNNNNNNNNNNNNNNNNNNNNNNNNNNNNNNNNNNNNNNNNNNNNNNNNNNNNNNNNNNNNNNNNNNNNNNNNNNNNNNNNNNNNNNNNNNNNNNNNNNNNNNNNNNNUCCAGUUGUCAUAUCUGGUCGCCUUCGUUAACCGUGGUAGCGGUAUUUGACCCGUCACAUUCGCCAUUGGCUCUUGAUACCAAAUUGUAAAAAAUAGACACUCACUCACACUUAAAUUCUCUCUAAAAGAAACACUCUUCUUUGCAAUUCUCUCUAUUGUAUUUCUUUCUGUGGUGUCUCUUACAAUUGAGAGAGCAUCCUAUUUAUAGGCUUUAGGAAGCUCUUCUAGAAAAGUCUUCAUUAUGGCCUUAAAACCCCACUAACAACACAAUUAAAAUCCCACUCACAACUUUUGACCUUUUACAUAUCCAAACUCCCAUUCUACUCUUUUCUAGUAACUUCUAACUUUAAAACCCACAAAUUACAUUAAAGUUUAUUCAACAAUAAUGUCAUCAUCAAUAAGCAUAGGGAUGCUGUAGACCAAGGUGAAAAUAGCUGCUGAUGCAGGACACAACACAGCUCCUUUGAUUCCCAGUUUAUUCCCAACAUCCAAAGCCCAAGCCAUGCACAAAUCAGCCACAAUGAAGUUGAUUCUGUUCUCACCUUUCACAUGAAUAUCCUCUAUCAGCUUCUCAAGUGCUUCUGGCAUGGUUUUUUGAAUGGCCUCACACAACAUGCCCACAUCGUUUCUGUCAUCAUCAGGUCCAAAACCAUCAGGGAUUGAAACCAACUUCAGCACUGAUUCUUCUCCAUCAAGGCUAGAACUAUCUUGUUGUUCUUCCAUGGAACUCACUACUCUCCUGUGGUUAAAAUCUGUGUUCACAAAAAUGACUUUGCAUCCAUUCUCAAGCAGCUUCUGUGAGAAGGUCAUCAUGGGAUUCACAUGCCCUUGUGCUGGAUAUGGUAAAGCUAGCACAGUUGGAGCUCCCAUGUUCAGUGUUUUUGUUUGGUUUCUAUUGAUUCUGAUUUCUGAGGCCAAUUAUGCAUUCAUCUGUUCAUGUAUAUAUAGGCACAGCCCCUCACAUUAAAAACGUUAAUCAAUGGCCUCACUAUAUCAUAAUCACGUAUAUACCUACCAAUUACAAAUCUAUGUCAUGAUCAGUCUAAAUUUUCGGCUAUCAUACUAACUUCUAUGAAU
This 94669-nucleotide long non-coding RNA is filed under the name Phaseolus vulgaris (common bean). RNAcentral's name for it is "long non-coding RNA (PVUL_LNC003300)". Lineage: Eukaryota; Viridiplantae; Streptophyta; Magnoliopsida; Fabales; Fabaceae. The record is from RNAcentral.